This 93778-nucleotide long non-coding RNA is filed under the name Ananas comosus (pineapple). Its description in RNAcentral is "long non-coding RNA (ACOM_LNC030206)". Lineage: Eukaryota; Viridiplantae; Streptophyta; Magnoliopsida; Poales; Bromeliaceae. The record is from RNAcentral.
ACAUAUAUAUAUAUAUAUAUAUAUAUAUAUAUAUACAUACAGACAUAUAUACACAUACAUACAUACAGACAUAUAUACAUAUAGACAUAUAUAUACAUAUAUACAUAUAGACAUAUACAUAUAUAUACAUAUAGACAUAUACAUACAUACAUAUAUAUAUAUAUAUAUAUAGAGCAGGACUGUUGUGCUCUCAGGAGCACGGAGGCCUCCGUGCUUCUGAGCCGUUUUCGAUGAUGGAAUUUCCGAAUCGACGAUCGGCUCCGUUAGACUUGAUCUAGCGUAUUUGAAGUUUUUAGAAAAUAAUAUUUGCAAUUUUUCGAUAUCAUUUACAUAGUGAUCGAAAGGGUUCAAAAUCAAUAAUUUUUAACGGCUGAAAAUAAAAAUCCUAUAAAACAUGGUGAUAUAACACUAAAAUUUUCGAUCAAAAAUAUUGAUCUUGUUGUAGAUAGUAUAAAGAAUUUUGUAUUAAAAUUUCAUCUGAUUUGAAUACUUUUACACCGUUAAACUUGAAAACGGCAUAUAUCAACCAUUAAAAAUUAUUGAUUUUGAACCCAUUCGAUCACUAGGUAAAUGAUAUCAAAAAAUCGCAAUAUUUUCUAGAAACUUCAAAUACGCUAGAUCAAGUCUAAUGGAGCUGAUCGUCGAUUCGAAAAUUCCAUCAUCGAAAACGGCUCAGGAGCACGGAGGCCUCCGUGCUCCUGAGAGCAUAGCAGUCCUACUCUAUAUAUGUAUGUAUGCAUGUAUGUAUAUGUAUAUGUGUAUAUGUAUAUGUGUACAUGUGUAUAUAUGUAUAUGUGUACAUAUGUGUGUAUAUGUAUAUGUGUAUAUAGGGUAAAUUGCAUUGUUACCCCCUGAACUUUUGGCGAAGUUUCACUUUACCCCUCGAACUCCUAAAAUGGACAUCUAACCCCCUAAACUCUAAUAUUUCAUGUUAUCCCUUCCGUCAAUUUUCCAUCAAGCUCCGUUAACCGAAAACUGACGGAAGGGGUAAAACGAAUGAAAUAUUAGAGUUUAGGGUGUUAUAUGUAUAUUUUAGGAGUUUGGGGGGUUAAGUGACACUCGCCAAAAGUUCAGGAGGUAGCAGUGCAAUUUACCCUGUAGGACUCUUAACUAUAAAUUAUUUUAUGAUAAUAUGUUACUUAUGGAUUGACUACUAAUCCUCAAGUUAGUGAUCAUGCUUGAUUUUGAAUUUAUAUAUAUUUUUAUCUUAAAAUAAAUCAUAUCAUAAUUUAUCCUACAUUUUAUUGUAAUAAAAUAAAAGCGAAAGAAAUGAAUUAGAGUGGCUUAAAGAUAAGAAAAGAGCGAUACUAACAACCUACGAUGCUCGAACACUCUACUAUCCUGAUGUAUUCGCUAACAUGGUUGAUUUACAAUAGGUGUUCUCACUCGGAUAUAGAGAUUUUAAUUCUCAGUUAAUUUUUUGUAUUACUCGUUUGUCCCUUUUAUCUCUAGAAGCAUUGAUCUAAAGUAUUAUUAUAAAAUAUUAUUUUAUAUUUUUAUAUUAAAAAUUUCUAGUUGGCUGAAAUGAAGUACAAAAAUUUUAUUUUAGACUACAAUAAAAUUACAUUGCAUAGUUUCAUAGGAAGUAAGUGCAUUUUCUAGAACAAUAAAAUUACAUUGCAUAAUUUACCAUAAUGUAGGUAAAUUAUGGUAUGAUUUAUUUAGGAUAAAAAAUAUAUAUAAAUUCAAAAUCAAGCAUGAUCACUAACUUGAGGGUUAGUAGUCAAUGCAUAAGUAACAAAUUAGGAUAAAUUGUAUUGCUACCUCCUGAACUUUUGGCGAGUUUCACUUAACCCCCCAAACUCCUAAAAUAGACAUCUAACAUCCUAAACUCUAAUAUUUUAUUCGUUUUGCCCUUUCCGUCAGUUUCCGGUUAACGGAGCUUGACGGAAAACUGACGAAAGGGGUAACAUGAAUGAAAUAUUAGAGUUUAGGGGGUUAGAUGUCCAUUUUAGAAGCUCGAGGGGUAAAGUGAAACUUUGCCAAAAGUUCAAGAGGUAACAAUGCAAUUUACCCUGUGUAUAUAUGUGUGUAUAUGUAUAUGUGUAUAUAUGUAUAUGUGUGUAUAUAUGUGUAUAUAUGUAUAUGUGUGUAUAUAUGUGUAUAUAUAUAUAUGUGUGUGUGUGUGUGUGUGUGUGUGUGUGUAGUGCUAGGCUCCUGCGCUUUCGAAAGUACAAAGGCCUCUGUGAGUUAUUUUUCGAUAAUAGGACAUCCGAUUCGGCGAUCGGUUUCGUUAGAGAUGAUAUACAGUAUUGGAACUCUCUAGAAACCAAAUUUUAUAAGUUUUUGACUUUUUUUGCCUCAUGAACGAGUAGCCUUAAAAUGAACUGUUGAAAUUAAAAAUUUCAUAAAAAAUAAUUAUGAAAGACUUAAAUUUUAAAUCGAAAAUAUUGAUUUUGUUUUUGAUGUUAAGUAGAAUUUUCUAUUAAAGUUUCAUGUAAUUUCGAUUGUUCUACACCGUCGAACUUGCAAACGUGCCACAUCGGCCAUUAAAAUAGUCAUUUUUUAGACCCUUUGAUCACUGGGUAAAUAAUAUCAAAAAAUUAUGAAAUUUAGUUUACAAGUAGUACUAAUAGCGUAGAUUAUGCAUAACGGAGUCAUUUUGAAUCGGAUCUUCCAUCAUCGAAAAUAGCUUACAAGCAUGGAAGCCUCCAUACUUUCGAAAGCGCAGAAGACGUACUCUAUAUAAAUAAAACAAUCAAUGAUAUAUAUAUAUAUAUAUAUAUAUAUAUAACAAUCAAUGAUUGCACUGGUAUAUAUAUAUGUAUAUAUACACCAAAGUGCAAUCACUGAUUUGCUUAUGUCAGAUUUCUCCCUAUCUCUUUGAACUCUGAAGUGCACGAACCACUAGUUUUAUGAUGACCAACCAAGGCAAACAACUAACUUGACUCAGUUUGUUAUUGUAAUCUUCAAAGUAGUUAGGGGUACAAGAUUUUCUAUUUAUGAAUAUCAUUUCUGAAUAAUCUUUUGUUCUUCUUGAACCUCAAUUGUGUGUCUAUAAUUUCCCGGCGCAGUUUGCCAUACUUUGCUCAUUCUUUUUUUACCUGCCAGGUCACGUCGCUGAAGGGUCGAGUAAAUAUUGCUAGUGGUACUCCAAGCAGGUAAUUUUGAAAUUCCCCAUCUUAUUUAGCAUGGUUUUUAAGGUUGUUCCUUAACAUCCUUUAUUUUAGCUUCUUUAUGGCAAGAUUGUAGCCUUUUGGUUACAGUAUAUUUUUUUUGAAUAUUCAAACAAUUUUGUUGGGCGUUGCAUGUGAAAUCAUGAAAGAACUGUGAGCUGAUUAUUUCUUAACUGAUCUUCCCUUAGACUUUUGCCCUGUUUAGGAAUGCUUUCGGGGGAAGAUGAGAAAUAAACAAAACAGUCAACUUAUUAUGCAUAUUCUCAAGAAACCGCAAAUCAAGUGAAAAAGUUAAAAGAAAUCAUAUACCUAUGCGACAUUAAAAUUUCUUGAACAUUGAAGAUGAGUAAUUUACAUUUUAUAUAUUUAAUAUGCCUGAAGGGUGUAGUUAAAUGAAUAAUAUUUAGCUAUUACCCGGGGUGAGGAUUAGAAUUCACGGAAGAGUGUUAUCAUCGCACAAUGAUAACCUGUGAUUACCUAGUCAAAUCUGGUUGGUGGUUGGUAGGGAUCGCUUGUUUACAUUUUCCCUCCUUGCAUUGGCUUUAAGAUUCUGAGCUCUCUUCUUUGCUGUUAUCCUUGAAACUGCAAUUAUGUUCCUUUCAAUGGGCUAGAACCAAAAUCAGGAUGACUUCUUAGUGGAUUUUUUUUUAAAGAUGAUUCUUUUCCCCCUACAGUUAUGAGCAACCUUCCUAGCAAUCUGUUAUUUGAAGAACUUUUCCUACAUAAUUAAGUGAUAAUUGUAAUUUGUCCAUUAGAAAGAAGCAAUUUUUACGAUAUUACCUAGUAUCUGCAUUGUAUCAAAAUUUUAUGCCAGUAAUAAGUGUAACAAAUUUAACUCAAUCACUAAUAUUAGCAACUUAUUAGGCCUAAAAAACCAGUCCAAAAUGCUGAGUUUCAAGUUACCAAUCCUACUGUACUAGUUCUUAUACACAAAAGUAUAGGCCCUGCAAUAAUCUAGUAAGACUAUUGGGGUGUGAUGAGGAUUAACAACUAUGCGUGCCCCUACUGUGCGCGAGGAUUAUAUGUAAGUGAUGUGGACGGAUCUAGCCAUUCAUAGUAUCUAACGUGACCAAUAUAGAAAGGGCUAGCGUAGCAGAGUAUCGUACCUUGAGUGAUGCCAUGCUCAAAAGAGAAGUUCACGGGAUUUAAUUUAUGCCAAGUAUGGCCAUAUAUAUAUUUAACAGGAUAUGGUUUAUGGGGAAAAGGGGAAGGUUUUGCUAAAACCCUCUUCAAGUGCUUCUAAAUUAACAAACAACAGAAAUCCAGUGAACCAUGUACUACUAUACGAAAAUAUUCUAAUCAACGGUGUUCUCAAUGUGAUUAUGAACAUGGUAGUUCAUCAGUUAUUAUCACCAUUUUUUUUUCCCGUCAUUUUUUUUUCAGCGAUAUAAACACUCCCACCCUGCGCAUCUCCUGCGCCUGCUUGUGCUGUUUCAUCUUAGUAUGUUGUCUCAAAAGGUUUUACUUUUAAUAAUACCUCAUUAUGUUCCUUCUUAUAUUUUCUCAGGAUCAAGAAGCUAAUAGACUUGGAAGCCAUGUCAUUAUCGCGCCUACAAGUCGUUGUGCUCGACAUGCAAAGAGAUGCCAAGUCUUUCUCCUUAUUCACACUCCCGCAAGUCAGGUUGAUAUCUACAAAUCACCCGAAUUUAACUCGUUUUAUGUUCUCGACCUCAUCUCUUCUUUUUUCAUUUUUAUACAUCUGUUUGAACUUUUAUUUGUUCUCCGCAGCACCGAAUUCUGGGACUUGUAUCGGAGUCAUCUGGAGCCUAAGGUUCUUUGCGGUGACACGAGGAUCUGUUUCUAUGGCGCGGUACGGAAGAAGGACGUAAACAAAGCACUCGCAUCAGCUGAGUAGUUAUCGACGAGUACAAUCAUGAUCACAGUAUCGAGAGCGGCGCAUCAAAUCCAUAUCGGUAAUCGACAAACACUGUAAAAUCUUUUCUUGAGCAUGUUUUGUUUUAUUUAAUUUAAUUGUUCUUAAGUGAAGAGAAGAAGAAAACGAAAUUAAGCAUCGGUUGUUGUGGUAACUUUCUUAGGCUUGUAACCUGAAUGUUGCUGAACUCAAGUCUCAAUCAUAGAAGACCCCCCCAACUAUAGGCAAUUUUGAAAUAGCUCCCUAACAAUUUCUCUCUUAUGGGACACUAAUUUUUAUUUAUUUUUAUUUCAGGUAAAAUUUUAGUCAAUUGAAUGUUUUGUUAAAAUUAAGAGCUCUACUAGCUGUUUGUUGUCUAGUAUUAUUGCACUUGCAUAAGAUUGAAUAGUUAGAGCUAUGAAAUUUGAUGGAAUGAUUAAUCAAUUUAACAAUUAUUUUAGUUGAAUUGACUGAAAUAAUUCAAAUCAAAAUAAAUAGAAGUUGAUGUGUUGAUGUAAGAAAGGGGUGUAUCACAGUAUCACUACAGAGUUCUAAACAUUACCAAUUUAUCACUGCAAAAUUGAAAAUACAUAUCUCAAGUUCCAAUUCAUGCAAUUUGGCUAUCAUUUCACAGGAUGGUUUUUUAUUUUUUUUUUAUUUUUUUAUUUUUUUUUUUUGGUUGAAGGUUUAAACUUUAGGUCCCUUGUAAAACGAGUUGUUUAAAGGUCUUUAUAUAAUUAUUAUUAUUUUUUAGAGGUUUAAACUUUAGAGGUUGCAUAAAAUGGUAUAGAUGUUAGAGUACAAGUUAGAAUAAAGAUUAUUAGAAAUGAAAAUAGGGGUAUUAAAAGCAAUGAUUUAAAAAGUGGGUCGAAUCGGACGGUUCAACUGGUCCGACCGCGAUCCAGUCUAUGAAGAGGUUUCAUUUAAUCAUUUGAACUAGAUAAGUUAAAAAAUUAUUAUGAACCGUUCGAAUUGACGGUUUAACCAUUAAACCAGCGAACCGUUCAGGUUUUAAUCCAAUCAGCAGGAUAUUUUUUAAUCAAAUUAUAUUAAAAUUAAAUUGCUUAACUUAUUUUAAUUUCUAUUAACACAAAUUCGCAUUAUAAAAGUGAAGCUUGAAUAUCUACAUGUCUUAAAUUGGUUUAGAAAUUAGUAUUUUAUAAUUAAGUAUGAUGCGAGAAUAAUAUAUACAUAUAUGUAAUGCACGUGCGAAUGUGCGUUGCACGUCAUAUUUAAUUAAAUUAAAUUUAUAUUUAUAUUUUAAAUUUAAAUUAUUAUUGGUGAUAUGUGUCUAUUUAUUAUUUGAUUUUGUUUUUAACUUUAAUUUAUCUCCAAAUAAAUUUUAUAUAUUUUCAAUGGCUAAAUUACAUAAAAUUUUCAUGUCAAAAUUCGAUUUUUCACUUUUCCUCCUGUUAUUUAAAAAUCUACACUUUACCCGCUUAUAAAAUAAAAAUUGUUCACAGGGGAGUACGGUGUGAAAUGUGAUAACAAAAUGACCAUUUUGCCUCACUAUUUUUGCCUCCUCCCUCAUCUUGCUCAUCCCGCCGCCUCGAUCGGCCGCGGUUCGCACCUCGAUCAGCCGCGAUUCCUCUUCAUUUUCUUCUCCACCUGAUCACCUUCUCCUCCUGCACCCUUGUCGCCCCUCUAUUUCGGCGACAGUACGGAUGGAGAUGUGGGCGAGGGCGAGGCAGUGAAGGAGAGCGAGGCGGAGGAGGGCGAAGCACAGUAGAGAGGGCGGAGGGUAUUUUUGGCAUAAAAAAUAUUUUAUAACGGAACUCUAACAGAUCAUUAACGAUAAAGGAUGAAGUAAACAUUUUUUAUUUUUUAAGGGGAAAAGUGUAGGUUUUAAAUGAUAGGAGGAGAGUAAAAAAUCAGAUUUUGAUAGAGGGGUUUUCUGUAAUUUAGCCAUUUUAAAUUUAGUUAUACUGUAAAUAUUUUUUAUAUGUAUUUUGUAAUAUACAAAUUUUCCUUGAAUUUGAACCUGAUUUAAAAUUUUAAUUAAUUCAAAAUUUUAAAUUAAUAAAUUUAAAUUUAUGAAAAAAAUUCAAAAUUUGAAGUUAAUUUUGAGUCCAUAUUUGAAUAUAAAUGGUUAUAGAGACAUUGAUUUAUUUAAAAUAAUUAAUGAAUUCAUAUUUAAAUUUAUGAACAAAACUCAAAAUUUGAAGUUAAUUUUGAGUCCAUAUUUGAAUAUAAAUGGUUAUAGAGACAUUGAUUUAUUUANAAUAUUAGUAGAAUGUUGAAUGAUAAAAAUAUUUCAUAAAAAAAUACUUAAAGAGAAAUUAAAAGUUUGUUUCAUUACAUUAUUUAUUUUGUGUAAGAAAAUAGGAACCAAAUUAUUUUUUCCACCAAAAUAUGAGUUUGUCAGCAACUUGAAAUUUGAAAUACGUAUUUUUGUAUAUAGUGUGUAUAUAUAUAUAUAAAAUAAAAUUUAUUGCGUCAUGCUGAUGUCACUUGAUCAUUAGUCCCCGCUGGCUGAAUUAGUAACUCCUGAGCCAGUAACAUUUUCAUGUCUAUGUUCGAUUCGAUUUUUACAAUAUUGAUUCAAAAUAUUUAUUGGUCGAGAAGCUGUAUAUAUUUGCAGAUGAUAAAACUUUAAACAAAUAAUUAUGACUUUUUAGGGGAAAAUCUGAUAUUUUAUUAGUUUUGCAAGAAUUUUUUAUUUUUUUUUGAGAAAAAGAUAGCACACUACCCGCUUCAUUCAUUGGAACGGUGAAUUAAGCUACAUGGGUGAGACAGCAAGGCUUCUAAAAGAGUGAAAAAAAAUAAAAAAUAAAAAAUAAAAAAUAAAGAAUAUGUUGACAAGUAGAGAAUCAAUAACACUUAGAUAAAGUAGAUGUGAGAUAUACAUUCCACUUUAAGAUGUACCAAUAAUAUUGUACAUAUGCUAAUUAGAUUAUGAAUUAAUAAAAUAAUUAAAAUUAGAUUUGGAGUUUAGAGUUUAAUUAGGCAUGUUCUUACUUGGAAACAAGCUUGUUCCAAGAGGACGGAGGAGCUGCUGUUCCUGAGUUAUACCUGCAUGAAGCAAAUGUUUCGGAAUUAUACUUUUUUAUUCUUAAAAUAAAAAAAUAAAAAAAACCCUACAAUUCUCUCUUCCUCAAUCAAAACGGUGUUUAGGAUAAAGCCUCCACUUGGUUCGUUUGGUUCAAAUAUAAAUAAUAACUAUUUAUUUUAAAGAUAGAUACAAAUUCAGAUAUAAGCCAGAAUUAGACUAAUUUUGUGUUUGAAUAAAAAUUGAAUUAUUUCUGAAAAUAAGAUAAAUAGUAUUUGGAUUGUUAGAUUGAAACAGAAGGAGUAAAAAUUAUAAUUUUAAAAUAAAAAUAUUUUAUCUAAUUAUUUAACAUCAAAAUAUUAAUUAAAAAUAAUUUAAUAAACUAAUAAAUUUAUUAGCUACACAUAUAAGAUAAUAAAAAUAUAUUAAUUAAUUAAUUAUAAAAAAUAAUUUAACUUUCUAAUUAGUUAGUAAAUUAUUUUAGUCAGAUUUUAGUAAAGAAAUUAAUUAGACUAGCCAAAAUAUUAAUGGUUGAUCAAUAUAAAUAUUAGUCUAUGAAUAAACACAUUAAAGUAUUAAUUUUUAAGUAGCUAAUUAAUUAUGAAUAAUAAAUUAAUUAACUACUUUAUUAUUUAAGCAAUAGAUAAUAAUCUAAUUGCAUUAAUUAAAUUAAUUAAUCAUUUAAUAUCAUAAUUAACAUUAAACUUAGACUUUAAUUAAGUUUGUUCCUAUUUAAAAAUAAGCUUGUUUCUAGAAAAAAACGGUGGAACAACUGUUUCAAACUUAUAUCAGCUUUACCCUCCUCUCCAACGCCCUCAUCAACACCUACACCAAGUCCGGGUCCCUCCCCCUCGCCCUCCUCGCCGCCGCCCCGCGGCCCUCAUCAACACCUACGCCAAGUCGAGUCCACCCCUCGCCCUCUCGCCGCCGCCCCGCCGCGACGUCUGCCUCGUGGAACACCGCCUCUCCGGGUUCAGCAAUGGAUAUGAAAAAAAAAAAAAAAAAAUUUGCUUCUAUGGAUAUAAAACAUGAAGAUUUGCAAUUUUGAGUGAACCGUUUGGUCGAAAUAAAAGGACAACCCUUGUUGCACACUUUUCACUAGUUUAUUUUUUUUUUCUAAUCCAGUUCUUAAAAUCUAAUAAAGGGUUGUUUGGCUUGAUGUCCUUAUUAAGUACUAUAUAAUAAAUAGAUUUGCAUGGACUCCAUAUGGUUGUACGAAGUUAAAAGUGAUAGAAACUUAUGUUUGAUUAAUCACAGUUGAAAGCUGCUUAUUCUGUUUCUCUGAUUUAAGAUUUGAGUGGGCAAAUAAGUUUACCCUUUCUUCAAAAUUUAUUCUCUCCAACUGCUUCAUCCUACAUUGGAUUUGGAUAUACAUUUGAAGUUUGCCCCCCCCCCGCCCCCAAACUGCAGGCCAAAUUGUAGUGCACAGAUACAACAACAACAACAACAACAGACGAAAUAAAACUUUCAGAUUGGCACGCAGUCGCAAUUGCGACGCAAGUCAUAAUGCAAGCAGCACAACCAGAAAUAUAGCUCCUAAACUUGACUCCUAAGAGAACAUAAUUAGAAAACGAAAACAAAAACUGCUACAGAUAUCUCAAAGAUUUGACUACACAAUGGAAAUUAGCGCCCGCUUUUGCUUCAGAAGCAGCAGCCGCAGCAGCCCUCGAAGAUUUGACAAAUAGAUCUACUACUAGUCCAGCUACAUUGAGAAGCGAAAAUGCGGUUCAAACCCAAAAGCAAAACAAAGUUCCGACUUCUAACUCCAACAUAGAAAUAAGCAGAUAUCAGUAUAGCGAUUCCAGAAUAGCACUAUUAAGACGACGCUUUAUCAAACAACACUGUUUGGUACACUUGCGAACAUUUAUGUAAAAUAAGCCAAUCAAAAUCGAGUUCAUCGUUUAAACUGAAUCAAGCAAUUUGUUCUUGAGUUUUAAGAAUCAAAUGGAAAACAUUAAAAAAACAAAAAGAAACAAUAAACAGCCGAUAACAAGGCUAAAUCCAUUCAUUUACUCAGAUUGGCCUUGGAAAAAAAAAAAAUCUGGGUCCUCUUUUUAACCGAGUGAUUUUUUUCCUAUAAUAUAAUUAAGAAGAAUAAGUAUACUACCAUCACUUGUUUAUCAUAAAACUGAGAAAGAUUCUCGGAAAAGUCGUAACCAUCACUUGAAAAUCACAAUCGUAGUUCUAUAAAUAAGUUCCUAAAAUUGGACUAAUACCAAAUUACUCGAAGUACUCUUUUUGUAGUUUAGCAAAAACACUAGCAAAAUCUCAAGAUAGUACAAAGUUCAAAGCAGAAUCCAUGAAAAGCACUCUUCUCUGAAUUGUGCAGCAUAAUUUGCUCAAUUUUAAGAAAAUAGUAUGCGAUCCAUAACCAAACUGAAUUAUAAAUACUAACUAGGAAAAUACUUUCGAAAUUGUCCACUCCAAAACUUGUCUUGUGAAUGAGCAGUGUUCAACGAUUCGCCUUCGCAACACGCUCAAUCUCGUCCUUCUUCUUAAUAGCAUAGCUGGAAAAAGGGGGGAGAAAAAAAAGGGAACAAACAGUGAAUGAUUUCAUGUCAGCAAAUACUUGUAAUUAGAGGACAGGAAGAAUAGAAAAGCCAAGCAGCAUUAGAUGACUUUAUCGCCUCGAAUCACAUUUAAUAAAAUUAUGGGUUGUAAUGAAGGCGAAAUGUAUGGGCCGAACUCACAGCGUCUUUAUGAUGCGAUUAAAAUGUUUCGAGCGUAAGAUUGUAAGUAAUAGAUAAAAAGGAGGCAAAUAAAAGUAUCAAGAGGUCAAAGUAAUAACAUUAACAUCAAUCCAACUUAGAUUUACUGCUUUGCAUCAUAGCAACUGAUAGUAAAAUUUCAAAAAAUGCUACAAAUUAUUUAAUACCAAAGUAAUGAGUUAUUAAAAAAAACCUACAACAAACAUAUAUAGUGAUGCCCAAGGGAUUAGAAGUAGCUAAUUGUCUGCAUUGCUGAAUUACAUCAACAAAUCAAAAUUAGCAGCUACCAAGGGACCCAGGUCAGUAAAAGAAUGUACUCAGUACUACCGCAGGCGGUUCAAGGCACCAUGUCUGCGAAACAAUUUGUUACAUGGGCACAUCGUUUUAUGAAAAAAACAAAAAUUGAAAAAUACAAAGCUAUUAACCCACAUCACCAGGAAUUAGAACAUUAGACCGGAGAAUAGAGAGGUCCAUAUUUUCUCCAAAAAGGCAUAGGUAUUUAGAAGGGCGCCAUUCAUAUUUAGCUCAAAAUAGUAUAAAACCUAACAAAUUAAAGAGCUAUUGAAACAAAAGGGAGCAAAAAUAGAAACCACAAGAGGGGAAAGUGAAAAGCACAUAUACCUAUUUGAAGAGCCCUUGGCUGCAUUGAUUAGCUCAUCAGCAAGGCACUCUGCGAUGGUCUUGAUGUUUCUAAAAGCACUCUCUCUGGCACCUGUCGUCAGAAGGUAUAUAGCCUGGUUGACCCGUCGGAGGGGAGAAAUAUCAACGGCCUGCCGUCUAACAACACCAGCAGACCCAAUACGAGUAGCAUCUUCCCUCGGCCCACUACAGAUGAAGUAAAAUACAAUAAGCAGUAGAAACAGUAUACUGAACAAUGUCUAGCAUAGCAAUCAGAUGGAGUAAAAUACAAUAAGCAGUAGAAACAGUACACUGAACAAUGUCUAGCAUACAAAUUGGCAAGAGAAAGCUUAUUGAAAAUAAAUAAAUCAAUAAGCUUGCAUAACAUAGUAGUUCCCUAGUAACAUGACCUACAUGAGACAUGAACUUCAAGCGAUCACAAAUAAAACUGUUAUUGUUAUUAAAACAGCAGACCGAAAUUACCAAAUCUAUGGCCUUCAUUCUUCAACAGUAUAUGGAAUAUGUGGUUAUGUUUAUUUGAUCAGUGCUAAGUCUGAGGCAUUUGAAAAGCUCAGUAAAAUAUAAGAAAGAAGUUUUGGACUACAACGUUGAGGCCAAUGACUCAAAAUUUUUAAUGCUUUCAUUUUGACAUUGAAAAAGAUAGACAUGGGGUACUUAAAAGUUCCAAUAGCAAUAACUUCAACCCUAAAAAGCUGCUCUCCAGAGCAAACUGCAAUAUUCCACAACAUCACUAAUAAAAUAUUUCACUCAAAUUCCAUUUCUGGGUUUCAAUCAAAAUCUGAACCAAAUGUUUACAAAUUGCAUGUUUCAAAUUGGUUUGCUAUUCUGGAUAGUCAAAUAAUUCACCUGUUAAUGAUGGCAUCCACAAUAAUUUGGAUUGGGUUCGCGUCAGUCAACAGAUGAAUGAUCUCCAUGGCAUGUUUGACGAUGCGAACAGCCAUUAGUUUCUUCCCGUUAUUGCGGCCGUGCAUCAUCAGAGAAUUGGUCAGCCUCUCGAUAAUAGGGCACUGGGCCUUGCGGAACCUCUUCACCGAGUAUCUUCCAGCUGUGUGAGGAAGAUAGGUAGCAUGCUUGGUCGAAGUCACAGCAAUGUAAUCAGCAAGCGAAAUGUCAGUCACCUGCAAAUAUAUAUUUAAUGCAUAAAACAAUGUCAAAGCAAGUUCCACAUGCAAAUAGGAUGGUAGAGAGCUAUUAAAAAAAAAAAAAAAAAAACCACAGAAAAAUCUAGGGUUAAAUACAGGUAUACCUUUCUAAAGUUUAAAAAAUAACUUACAUAUCGCUCCAAAUUUUAAGUCAACUUGCAUACCCUUCUAAAACUGGUCUUAGAAGUUUGGAGGGAUGUAUAAGUAAAAUUGAAAUUUAGGGGGAUAUAUAUAUAUAUAUAUAUAUAUAUAUAUAAAAUUGAACUUCUGUGUUUUUAAGAGCACGAAGUUGUUGGUGCUUCUGAGUUUUCGGUCUUUGGAUGAAAAUUUGUAGAGUUAGGAUAAUAGUGGUCCUCUAGAAUUUGGUAGAUGGUUGAUAAAAUAGUAUGAUCUAAGAGGUAGAAUUGAUCAAAGGAGUAGAUCUAGCGGUGAAAAACUUGCAAGUACCAAGUGUUUAGUACUUUUAAUAGCAUCAUAACCAGGCUCUCUCUCUAUAGAGAGAGAGAGAGAGAGAGAGUAGAGCUCCUAUGAUUUUAAAACUAUUGAAGCUUAUUGUACUUAUGAUUUUUUAGCUAUUAGAUCGCCUCAAGAUCCAUGCAGUACUAAUAAAAAAGACUUAAUGGGACACAAUAUUAAUAGUGUUGCAUGGAUCUUGAGGCCAUCCAAUAAUUAAAAAAUCACAAGCAUUAAUGCUCUUGUGUUUUAAAAGCAUAGGAGCUCAACACUCUCUCUCAUAUAUAUAUAUAAUAGAGCUAUUAUGCUUCCGAAAGUAUAAAGGAGUUGGUGCAUUCAACUUUUUGGCCCUUGGAUUAAGGCUUAGUUUGGUAUUGACGUCCAUCUGACGCUAUUAGAUAAAAUGGAGUUGAGGUUAAAGUAUAUAGGGAUAUGCUUCUGUGUUCUCCGGUGGGACAACAGAAAAUAUCUCGUAACUGACUCAUCGCNAUCUAUAUAUAUAUAUAGAGAGAGAGAGAGAGAGAAAGAGGUUGUUGUGCUCCUCCGUGCUUCUAAGCCAUUUUCGAUGAUGAAAUUUUCCUCCUAAGGCAUUUUCAAUGAUGGAAUUUCCGAAUCGACAAUCAGCUCUGUUAGACUUGAUCUAGCGUAUUUGAAGUAUCAAGAAAAUAAAUUUUGCAAUUUUUUGAUACCGUUUACCUAGCAGUGUUUGAAAAGGCGCAAAGGCCUUAUGGAGCCUAGGCGCGAGGCGCAUAUCUAAUAAAAAUAAAACUCUUAAAAAGCCUAUUUUAAAUGCAUAUUUUACAUUAAAAAAUUCUAAAAUAGUUAUACAAAAACAAAAUUACCAUAAAAAAAGUAAAGAAAUCGCAUGCAUAAAUGUUCUUGGCCUAAAAAUAAAAAAAUUACAUUUCAACUUUCAGCUUAAAAGUGUUUGCUGCUGCUUCUUUCUUCUUACCGCUGCUACUUAUUGCCAUUGGAGGGUGGAAGAGAGAACGACCAAGAGAAAAGGAAAUGAAGCCGUUCAAUUAGAAAUUAUUUUAAAAAUUUUCUUAACAUUUUAGAAUAUAUUGAAGAAACUGAAAACCCGAAAACCCAAACUCUAGAUACAUUAAGCGUAAAUAUCACGAGGCGCGUCUGAGGCGCGCGCCUCACUCCCUAAUGCGCUGAGACUCGCACCUCGCGCCUAGGCGCGCCUUUUCAAACGUUGUUACCUAGUGAUCAAAAGGGUUCAAAAUCAAUAAUUUUUAAUGGUUGAUGUCUGCCGUUUUCAAGUUUAACGGUAAAAAAGUAUCCAAAUUAGAUGAAAGUUUGACAGAAAAUUUUUUAUACCAUCUACAGCAAGAUCAAUACCUCUAAUCGAAAAUUUUAGUGCUAUAUGACCAUUUUUUGAGAUAUGUUUAUUUUGAAUCAUUUUAAUCGCUAGGAAAAUGAUAUCGAAAAAAUCACAAAAAUUAUUUUAUAAAAACUUCAAAUAUGCUAAAUCAACUCUCUAACGAAGCCGAUCGUUGAUUCAGAAAUUCCAUCAUCGAAAAUAGCCUUCGUGCUCCUAAGAGCAUAGCUGUGUGAGUGUUGGGUCGGGUCUGCAUGGCUGUGUCUGCGUGCCUGUGUGUUCGUGUGUACGGGCGUGCGCGUACGCACACGCGGGCCAGCAUGUGUGUGGGUGUGUGCGUGCGCGCGCAUGGGAGCGCGCGUGUGUGUGCGUGUUAGUUUUAAACUUUAGAAGGUUACACCAGUAUCUAACCCAAAAAUCUAAAGAGCUUCUAAUACUUGCGGCGUCAGAAUCUACAAAAACAAAAGAGACAUUGUUGACAAAGCUCAGGUUUUGUCGCAAUAUUCAAGUCCUCACAAAAGUGAUUCUGAGAUGCUAAGAAAAGUUAACGACCGCACAUCAUGCGUUUAAUCAUCAAUUUCAACAUUCAUUAGCAUAAAGAAAUACUCAAUUUUCCAUUUUCCCUCGAAAUACGUAAGAAUAUCUUGAGGCUUAUAAGGCAUAACAUUAGCUUUCCUUGCACAAAGCAAAUCACAAAGAGCGAAUUAAAAGAAUAGAUCGUCCAUUCAUGUUCUCUACUAUUCUCAUUAACAGCCAAUCUAAAGAUCUACCAUUAAAACCACCUACACCCUAACAUCAACAAUCCAAUGUUACAUCUCCCGAUAUAGCAAAUCCACCAAAAACACAACCAAAACCCUAAUAAUUUAGCAGGACGCUCCAAAAUCAAACUAAUCUCAACCAAUCUAGAAGCAUCUCAGAAUCCAGAUCAAAUUACACGGAUCACAAAGAUCGUAGCCACAAAUUAGAGAACCCAAACCCCUAGAAUCUAGAGAUCUCGCAAAAGAGAACGAAAGGAGAGUUGGGGUGGGGAGAAGAGAUGGAAUCGUACGUUGAUGUCCUCGAAGGCCCAGCGAUUGAAGAGCUUCACGUCCUGCUCGGUCGCCAUUGUCGCCGUCGCCGUCGCCGUCGCCGUCGCCGUCGCCGAAAGAGACGAUGAGCUCGCGAGAGGAUGCGGAGGAUGAGGAGGAGGAGGGAACGCGAAAGCGAGCGAGGCGGCGCCCUAAACCCUAAUUUGCUCUAUUUAUACACGAGCAUCGGUUUUUUUUUUGGAAAACUUUAAACAGCACCCUGUGAUUCAGCGUUUUCUCAUUUUAGUACUUUAUCCUUUAAACUGUACCAUUUUAGUACCUUGUAGUUUCCUUUUUUUCUUUUCAGUAUCCCCUCUGUUAAUUUUUUCGUUAAAUCAAUAAAAAAGUUAAAACUACAGGAUACUAAACUAAAAAUUUUGUAAACCAUAAGACAUUAAAGUAAAUAUUCGAUAAACCGCAGGAGGUAUCUAUUUUUUUUUCUAUAUAUUUUAACAGAGGAUUAACAGAAAGAGAAGAAAAAAUCACAGUACUAAAAUGAUACACUUUAAACCACAGGGUAUAUAUUUUAACAAAGAGUUAAAACAUAGGGGAUAAUGAAAAGAGAAAAAUAAAACCACAGGGUACUAAAAUAAUACACUUUUAACCAGUGUACUAAAAUAAGAAAGUGUUAAACCCCAGAGGAGAUAUUCGAAGUUUUUUUUAUAAAAAAAAAGGAAAAAUUUUAAAUACCACCACUAUGGUUUCACAUUUUCUCGCUUUAGUACCCUGUGGUUUAAAGUGUAUCAAUUUAGUGUUCUGUGGUUUAAAAUACUUCAGAUACCCUAUCUAGGUUUAUCGAAUAUUUACUUUAGUAUUCUUUAGUUUCAAUUUUGUCAUUGAUUUAAUAAAAAUAAUUAGUGAAAUCACACCUGAGGCCGUCCGCGUGCCGGGAGCAAGAGGGCGCGCGGCGGCGGGCCCUCUUGCUCCCAGCGCCAGCUAAGGCGGUGGAGGAGGAGGAGGACGACGACGAGAGCGGCGACUCGCGAGCCAUUUUUUUUGUGCGAAUGAGGCAAGGCUUCUUGGGGGCGGAGGUGGAGGCGGAGGAGCCGGCGCCGAGGUUGGCGGUGGUGGUGAGCUGCUAGCGCUCGCGGCGGCGGGCGGCGGGGACCCACAUGCUCUUCACAUGGGUUGAGCAGUCGAAGCCGCGGCUCUUACAGCACGUCCGGCAGCGUCGGUUGGUGCAGUCCUUCUUCACCUGGUUGCCGCAGUCCUGGUAGGUCGACGACGAUGACGACAACCCCGCCAGCCCGACCCCCGCGCCGCUAAGGAUGCCUGGCGAGUUGAACAUCGGGACGGGCUUCCUCAUGUAGAAGAUGGCGGCGACGGGUCUGCUAGGGAGCUGCGGCUGGGGCUGCCAGAAUUGGAUGCCGGAGGCGGCGGCGCCGGGCUUGAGGGUAAUGAGGCCAAGUUGGGAGAGAAAGAAAAGAUAAUUUAAGAAAAUAGUUUAAUAAGGUAGGGGCAAAAUAGGUAUUUUAAUUAGGUUUUAACUUUGGUAUACAUUUAACCCAUAUUUAACCCGAGUUAGUUUAAUAGGGGAUAACAAUGGGGGUAUUUUAGAAUAACGGUGGAACAUAUGAGGGGUAUUUUAGAAAGAAAAAAGAAAGUAGGGGUAAAUCGAAUAUUUUCAAACGUACGAGGGGUAUAUAGACAAUUAUCCCUAAAGUUUAUCCUUAAAAAAAAUGGACGAGUCAGUUCGGUUCACCAAUUGAAAUGUAACGGUUCAUCUCAAAUUACGUGUGUAAAAUUCAGUUUGGUUCUAUUUGUUUAAAUAUUAAAAUUCAAAAGAAAUUGAAUUAAUAUUGAUAACUUAAUAUAUAUUAGCCUUAAAUUAAAAAAAAAACCUUGCAUUAAUAUUAAAUAAUAAUCAAAUAAUUAGAGAUAUUAAUCAUUAUUGUAUUUAAAGAUAUCUGGAAUAAAUUUAUCAUGAUUAUAUAUUCUUUUUAGUAGUAUAAGAAGAUUUAAACUAAAAAAAUAAAUGUUAUUGAAACCAAAUAAACCGAACCGAACCACCCGAAUUAUUCAGUUUGGUUAGGUUUUUAGUCCAGUAGUUCCUGAAUAAUUUAAAAUUGAAUAGAAUUUUAAAUUUAAGAGAUAAUUUUAUUUGUAUCCCUAUAAAAUUUUAAAAUUAUGUAUUCAUCCCCGUAAAGUUUUAAUAUCAAAAAUUUCACUCUGAAUUUUCAAAAUAUUUACAUUUAUCUCUAGAUGUUGAUUACUUAUUUUUUAUUUUUUAGGGUUAAUGUCAUAGAGGUCCUGCAAAUAUAGUGAAUAGCAAAUAUACCGCUAUAAAGCUUAACUUUCAUAUGUUGUUCCUGUAAAAGUCUUGAUGUUUUCAAAUAUGUUCCUGUCAUUAGAAUCCGUUAGAAAAUUUUAGUUAAUCAUAGAUUAAAUACUUAAUCCUGGUUAGUUUUUGAUAUUUUACCCCUCUUAUAUUAUACUGUUAUGACUUUCGGAGGGACAUAUUUGUGAUGACAAAAUUGAAAAUAUAAACAGUUCUCUAACGGUAAUAAACAAGAGGGACAAACUUGAAAAUAUUAGAACUUUUAUAGGAACAAUAUAUGAAAGUUAAAUUUUGUAGGAAUAUAUUUGUCAUUCACUAUAUUUGUAGGGACUGAUAUAAAAUUAACCCUUUUUAUUAUUAUUAUUAUUAUUAUUUUUAAAAGGUUUAAAAUUUAGAGGUUGCACAGAAUGGCAUAGAGUAAGAGUUAGAAUAAAGAUAUAUUAGAAAUGAAAACAGGUAUUAAAGGCAAUAAUUUAAAAAGCGGGUCUAACCCGCCGAUUCGACUGGUUCAACCGCGAUCCAAUCUAUAAGAAGGUUUGGUUCAACUCUUAGAACUAGAUAAGUUAAAGAUCAUUUUGAGCUGUUCGAACUGAUAGUUCAACCUUCAAACUAACAAACCGAUCAGGUUUGAAUCUAACUGGCUUGAUAUUUUUUAUCAAAUUAUAUUAAAAUUCAACUGCUUAGAAUCAACUUAGCCGGAGCUCGAAAAUUUAUAUCUAUUUAAAUUGGUUUAGAAUUUAGUAUUUUAUAAUUAAGUAUGAUACGAGAAUAUAUAUAUAUAUAUAUAUAUAUAUAUAUAUAUAUAUAUAUAUAUAUAUAUAUAUAUAUAUAUAUAUAUAUAUAUAUAUAUAAUAAAAUUAAAAAUAAUAAUUAAAUAUUCAUGGCGUAAUGGUUUAGUCAGUGGUUGAUCCACUAGUUGAACUAGUAGCGCGGGAGCCAACAACAUUUUUGUGUUGCUGUUCGAUUCGAGUUUUAAAAUAUGAUUAAAAAUAUAUAUUGGUCGAGAAGCUGUAUAUAUUUGUAAAUGAUAAAACUUUUAGGCAGAUAUUAAAAUUUUUAGGGAUAAAUCAAAAAUUUUAGUAUGAGAUGUACACUCCACUUUAGGAGGUACCAGUAGUAUGGCUCAUAUACUAAUUAGCUUAUGAAUUAAUACAAUAAUUAAAAUUAGAUUUAGAGUUUAAAGUUUAAUUAGGCAUAUUUUCACUUGAGAAUAAGUUUGUUCCAAGAGAAUGGUGGAGCAAUUGUUCCAAAGUUCUACAUGCUUGAAGCAACUGUUUCAGAAUUAUACUUGCUUAUUCUAAAAAAAAAAAAAAAAACCACAAUUUUCUCUCCCUUAAUCAAAAUGGUGUUUAAAGAGAAGCCCCUUCUCACGCUUAUUUACCUACUCUGCUUCAAAAAUAUAUAUAUAUACUUUGUUGUACCCCGACCAAACACUUUUUGAAAGUAUCAUUAACAUAAGUUAUAAGUCACAAGAAAAGAAAGCAUAGAUGCAAGAGUUUCAUAAUGGAGAGGAACCGGGCAGAGCACAGGGAGAAGAGAAGGGACAGAGCUUUACCUCCAGGGUUCAACAACACCACCCCUAGCAUCAAGAAGACGGCUGUUGGAGGUGGCUACCUAAAGGGACUUACACGUUGCAGCAGGGGAAGGAUUUGAGAGGGCGAGAGGAGACGUUGCCAUCAUCCGAGAAAGAUUGGCUCAUUAAUAGGGGUGUAGAUUUAGUGCUGGAGCCUGAGGAGGAGAGACGUUAUCAGAGGCUUUUGGGUUUCCUAUUUAGGCUUCAGGGUUUGAAUGGUAGGGAGGCUGGGGCAGAUCGCGUUGGUGGGGAAGUGACUACAAAGAUGCACUCCUGACCCCAGCUGAGCCCCCGAGCCACACUCACCAACAACAUGUUUAUUUCAAGGGGGACCAUAAUAAAAGGGCUGUGAGAGGAGAGUGGCGUAGUUUUUCCGGCAAGUGCUUCAGAUGCCUGAGUUCCGACCAUAAAGUAAGCGACUGUCGAGACCCACUCAGGUGUUUCCGGUGGUGUCUCCGCACCGGACAUAAGGCCUUUCGGUGCAAAGUUAAAUCUCCUGAUCGCUGCAACAACAUGUUGAGAGCCCGCCAUGCACGUGGACGCGUUCCAUCUCUAUGGGUGGUCGUUCCUUUCACGGAGGACUACUACUCGCGCAGGGAGCUUCGACAAAAUGCAAUACUGGCAGACAUUGUCCACCCGGCAAACCUCGGGCGCUCGCCGCAGCAGACGGUGGCCAAUGCGCUUGCGGAUCGUUUUGGCGGUUACCCGACUGACUUUGUGGUGGCACGUCAUAGGGAGCACGACUUCACGGUGUUCCUGCCGGAGUGGGCCUCGGCGGAGAGACUGGUAAUUAAGAAGACGGAUUAUUACUUUGGAGGGCUUCUGGAUGAAUUGUUUCGAGUGGGGACAAUAUCGACAUACUACUCCGCAUAGGCUCCCCUUCAAGGCGUGGAUAAAUUUAAUCAACCUGCCCUUCGAAUGUUGGUCGAUCCCUAGAGUGGCUGCUAUCGUCGGGGGAUUUGGCCGGUUUCUGAGGGCCGAUGAGAACUCCAAAUCUAUGACCGAUCGACCUGAGGGCCUACGUACCGAUGUCGUAUCGGGGUUUUAGCAUUUUGGUGCCAACUGAACCUCUUAGGUGGGGCCAGCAGUUUGGGCUUGACUUUCAAGCUAUUGCAGGGGUUUUUACGGCGACGAUUUACUCUUCUACAUCUGCUUUGAAAUUAUUGAAUCGAUCAUCUGACCGUGGGCUAAUGAACCGCUGGCCCGAGACCGAAACGUUGCAUCAUCAGGAAGAUCGUCUUGACAGGCAUGGGCCAAGUGAUUUUGCUGCCACCAGAUCACACCCCCGGAACUACUAGGCGUUUGAGCCCACGACUAGCUAACGUUCACUCGGGAUCUAUAACCCAAAAGGCCAUAACAAGAAAAAUAGAGCUUAGGGAAGGAGUUGGGACAGGUGGACUGAAGGGCUUCCACACUUAUGGGAGAAAGAAAAUUGCGAAAAAGAGUAAAAAGUGUGGUGUUCUUCUCAACGACUCUGAUGCACAUGCGUUUGAGGACUUUCUUCUGGGCCCUAUCUGAGAGGCCUUCGUUCCCCAUCCGACAUCUGGAGUCGGGACUUUUGUCUGUUUUGUUGUUUUGUUAUGUUAAACAUCUGUAGUUGGAAUGUUAGAGGACUUGGGGAUCCCGGUAAAAGACGUGCCGUGAAAUGUGUGGUGUCCACACUCAGGAAAGCGGUUGUUUGCUUACAAGAAACAAAAAUUAGCUCAUGUUCUCUUUCAUUUUUGCGUAGCUUCUGCGGGUCUUUUUACGACAAAUACCAGUUGAUUGAAGCACUUGGAGCAUCUGGCGGCCUCUUGACCUGUUGGAGUUCUCGGAUGUUCUUCGUGCAGUGAAGUGUUUCUAAAGCAAUAUUCCAUUACCAUCCGACUCACACAUGUUCUAAGCGGAACUAGUUUUUACGUCACUAACGUUUACGGCCCUCUAACCUGGGAAGGAAAGGAGGAGUUCUGUUCAGAAUUGGCACGACUUAAAGAUGAGUGCAAAUAUUGUUGGGUCUUAUGUGGGGAUUUCAAUUUCACAAGAAAUCAAUCGGAACGCAGGGGUAAAACCUGGAGUGUGAAAGCAUCGAAUAUGUUCAAUGAUCUAAUUCGAUAUCUCGAAAUGUUGGACCUACCAAUGAAGAACCAAGCUUUCACUUGGUCGAAUAUGCAAACUCGCCCUACCAUGGCAAAACUCGAUCGAUUCCUUAUUUCAACCGAAUGGGACCAGUAAUUCCCACUCUCCGAGGUAGAGGCAGUUCCGAAAAUUACUUCCAACCACUGUCCAAUUCUUCUAUCAAUAGGAGGCAAAAUCAAACAUAAAUUAUUCCGAUUGGAAGAGGUUUGGUUACGUAACGAAAACUUCAUCAAGAAUAUACCUGUGUGGUGGAAGGAAGUACAGAAUAACGAUUCAGCGCUUCUCUCUUUUAAUGCUAAACUCAGACACUGUCGAAAGCAGAUUAAAAAGUGGUGUGCAUCUGAUUUCUACAAUAUCUUAAAAUCUAAAUCUGAAAUUAUGUCUGAGAUACAGAAGAUUGAUGAAAUAGAAGGGGAAACCAUUUUAACGUCGGAACUUUAAGAGAGAAGAGAGUCACUCAAAGCCCGUCUCAUUAUAAUCCUCAAAGACGAGGAAGGACUUUGGAAACAACGUGCCAAGCAACAAUGGUUACAAGAAGGAGACGGUAAUACGAAAUUCUUUCAUGCGAUUGCCAACAACAGGAGAUGUUCAAAUGAAAUUGGGACGAUUGUCAAUGAGGGAAACUGUUUUAUUAACGAAGAAGAAAAGAGACGCUAUUUUUGGAGAAAAUUCAAGGAACUAUACACACCAGAACCUCAUGUACCAAACUCUGUAGGGGACUGGAGCGGCCUAUUUCAGAAAAGGCGGGUCGUCGACCCUGAUCUGUUAACCAUCCCUUUCGAUAUAGAGGAGAUCAAAACGGCGGUGUUCCAACUUGGAGGGGAUAAAGCGCCAGGACCGGAUGGCUUCCCCUUGAGUUUCUGCCAGACCUUUUGGGAUGUUGUCAAGAAUGAUAUCCUUUUGAUCUUUCAAGAGUUUUAUGUGGGACGGCUCUCCACACGUGCUAUCGACUACACUUACAUCUGUCUUAUCCCCAAAAAAGAAGGAGCGGCGAGGGUCAAUGACUUUAGACCUAUUAGUUUACUAAACGGGAUCCAAAAAAUUAUUAUCCAAAGUUUUAGCGAACCGUUUAGAAGGUGUGAUGCACGACCAUAUCUCUACUUCACAAUCGGCAUUCUUAAAAAGGAGACUCUUGGCUGACGCAUUUGUAACAACACAUGAGUUAAUGGCUUGGGGCUUUAAAGAGGUUGUGGAGGGAGUAGGGGUAAAAGUAGAUUUCGAGAAGGCAUACGAUAAAGUCAAUUGGUCUUUUCUCAGAAUGAUUUUGGAGCUGCUGGGCUUUAAUGAGAAAUGGUGUGGUUGGGUUUGUGAAUGCAUUUGUAACUCUAAGUUGGCUGUCUUAGUCAAUGGCGUUGCAACUAAUUGGAUCAAAUCUAAAAGAGGUUUACGACAAGGCCAUCCGCUAUCACCUUAUCUCUUCUUACUUGUGGUCGAGUAUCUCGCCAGGAUGACUGACAGGGCUGAGAAAUCUAAUCUUCUUAAGGGAAUCGGACCAACAGAAGAUAGCGCUGGAACCUUAAUACAAUACGCAGAUUAUACUUUUUUCUUUUGUGAGGCGAGGAAGAGAUAUAUGUGCAACCUUAAAUUUUUGUGGAAUCUCUUUGAGUGGGCUUCUGGGAUAAAGAUUAAUAAAGCAAAGUCAGAGCUUUUUUACAUGGGGGGAAAGAACGGAAAAGACGCUAGACUCGCUGGCAUUUUGCAGUGUAAAGUUGGAAAUUUGCCAACUAGAUACUUAGGCCUACCGUUAACUCACAGAAAACUUAGAAAAGAAGACUGGGUAAGUGUCAUUAAUAAUUUCCAAAGGAGGAUCGACGGUUGGCAGGGUAAACUUCUUUCUAGAGGCGGCAGGCUGAUUUUGGUCAAUUAUGUUCUUUCUAAUUUGCCGACGCACUUUUUCUCCCUUUUUAAAGCACCAAAAUGGGUCUUAAAGUUUUUGGAGGCACUGCGAAGAGACUUUUUUCGAAAAGGGCAGAUAAACUAUACUGGGGGAAUCCAUUGGGUUGCUCGAAAAAACGUAUGUAUGAGUCGGAAGGACGGAGGCUUAAGUGUGAAGGAUUUGGCUACAAUGAAUGAUGCACUUUUAUUUAAAUGGUGGUGGCGUUUUCUCACUGAAAGAGGUUUACCUUGGACUAAGCUGAUCAGGAGCUUAUACUAUAACAGAAGACGACCGCUGACCGAAGGACGGUCCUUUAGACCGGCCUCACAAUGGUGGAAAAAUGUGGUGAAUUUGAAGGAAGUUUUCAAAAGUGGAUUGAGCUACGGGCUGGGGGAUGGAUUACUCAUUGAUUUUUGGGCUGACAGAUGGUGUGGCGACGCAUCCCUAAAGUCAUACUUCCAAGACAUCUUUUCCCAUGUGGAUCGCAAAGAAGUGAGGGUCUGUGAUUGCUUCGCUGCCUCAGGAUGGAGGUGGAGAAAGAUUCUAAGAGGAGCGAGGCGAAACACUUUGUAUAGUAAAAGGCAUGUUUUGGAGUUGAAGAACACCCUAUCUAACAUAAGGGUUGUAAAUCAACCUGAUGUCAUACAAUGGAGAUGGAAUUCAGGUGGUAAAUAUUCAGUCAAGUCAAUGUAUUCAUUCAUCAGGUCUGGAGGAGUCAAAGAUGUUGUGACGCCGGCUCUUUGGCGACUGAAAAUUUCGAUGAAAGUCAAAAUUUUUCUCUCGCUAGUAUUAAAAAAGAGACUCCCUACUGUGGAUAACCUAUUUAAAGGGGGUUGGGCAGGUCUCAAUGAGUGUGUCAUGUGUGGCAAUGAACUGGAAAUAGUUGACCACUUAUUGGUGGAGUGUGUAGUCAGCAAGUUCCUUUUUCUUUCCCUCCUAGAGGCGCCCUCCGUCUACCCAUCAUGUGAGGAUAUCAAGUUCGUUUGGGAAGAGUUGAUGAGGAGGCGGUCAAAGAUGGACACGUUGAAGUCUCAAAUUCUUGUGGCGGCUAUCUGGUGGACGAUUUGGUACGAAAGAAAUAAUUUUAUUUUUCGAAACCUGCCCAUGAAUGUUAUUUCUGCUGCUCAUCAUAUUAGAGCUCUAGUGAAGGAGUGGACUGAUUUUUGCAGAGUAGGGUGACGUUGGUUAUUGUUCUUUGUUGUUCUUUUUUUGUUAUUCUUUUAGUUUUUCUUUUAUUUCUUUCUCCUUCGUUUAGUCGCCUACAUGAGGCCCUAGCUGCCUCCCUCUAUGUAGCUAAGUUCAUUUACCUAAUGAAUGAAGCAGAUAUCGUGCUACCUUUCUCUCAAAAAAAAAAAAAAAAAAGCGUGUCGUGCUGUACUAACGUGAUGAAUGUUUUUCUAUACAACGGUUUCUAGAGUACGAUCAAUCUAGACCGGGCAAUGCCGCAUCAGAUCACAAACUGGUCAAAAAAAUAAAUAAAUAAAAUUCUUAAAUUUCUUUUUAAAAAAUUUAAAAAUAUUUGAAUUUUAUAUUUGAAAUCUUCUUCCCAGGCCAUUCUACACCUAUUUAUGGAAACCCAAAAUGCGCUUCUUCAAAAAUAAAAAAUAAUAAUAAUAAUAUUCGAUGCGACCGUUGCGACCAUUUCGAAUCCCUCAUUCAAAAUCGAAGCCCUUCUCCACCGCCCACCACCCGUUCGACGAAACUCCCCAGCGAACCUUCGCCCUCCUCCUCCUCCGCUCCGGCGACCCCUCCGCCGCCGCCGUCGCCGCCGCUCGCCAGGUCUCCGCCGCCUCCGCCGCUGCCGACUCGCCGAGGCGGCUCCACGCCCUCCUCGUCGCCUCCGGGCUCGCGUCCUCCUCCACCCUCGUCUCCAACGCCCUCAUCAACGCCUACGCCAAAUCCGGAUCCCUCCCCCUCGCCCUCGCCCUCCUCGCCGCCGCCCCGCGCCGCGACGUCGCCUCGUGGAACACCGCCCUCUCCGGGUUCACCAAUGGCGCCGACGCUUUAAGAUUCGCGCGGCGGAUGGCCCGCGCCGGGGUCCGAUUCGACGCCGUCACCUUCAUCACCGCCCUCACCUUCGCCGCCGAUAUCCGCGACACCGUGUUCGGGCUCCAGCUCCAUUCCCUUGCACUAAGAUCCGGAUUCGGAGCUGAUACGUUCGUCGGGAACGCCAUGAUCACGGCUUAUUCGAGAGGCGGCUUAUUAGAUGAUGCGCGUAGGGUGUUCGACGAAAUGCUGAUGAGGGAUUUGGUCUCGUGGAAUGCGUUGAUAUGCGGAUACAACCAAGAAGGGGACUCUGGGUUCGAGGCGAUUAGGGUUUUCCGUCGGUUGGUGAGAGAAAGCGAAUUGAGGCCCGAUCGGAUAUCGGUUGCGAGCGUAAUCCCUGCUUGUGGGCUCGAGGGUUUGAUCGGUUUUGGAUCCCAAAUUCACUGCCUUGCUGCUCAAUUGGGGCUCGAGGCCAAUGUUUCGGUGUCCAACGUUCUUAUGUCUAUGUACUACAAGUGUGGUGCUACAGAUCGCGCUCGAAGAGUUUUCGAGAACAUGGUUGAAAGGGAUGUGAUCUCGUGGACUACUAUGAUUUCUAUGGAUUCGGAGAACGCCAUUUCGUUGUUUACCAACAUGAGGCUAAACGGGGUUCGGCCUAACGAUGUCACUUUUGUUGCGUUGAUCUUUGCGGUGUCAACCGACUGGGCGCUAAAAGAAGGCCAAAUGAUUCACGGGAUCGCUUUUAAGACCGGCAUUUCCGCAGAAGUGAAUGUUUCGAAUAGCCUUAUCACAAUGUACGCAACGUUGAAGUGUACGGAGGAUUCGAGAAAAGUAUUCGAUGGAAUGCUCGAUAGGGAGGUUGUCACGUGGAACGCUUUGAUUUCGGGCUAUGCGCAGAACGAGCAAUGUGAAGAGGCUUUGGAUACUUUCUCUUCUUUGAUCCUUCACUUGAAACCGAAUCAGUAUACAUUCGGAAGCAUUCUCAGUGCGAUCACCGUCGCCCAGACCGUGUCCUUAACUUACGGUCGGAUGUGCCAUUGCUAUGUAAUAAAGCUAGGGCUGACCACCGACGAGUACGUCUCCGGUGCCCUAAUCGACAUGUACGCGAAACGCGGCAGCAUCGACGAGUCUCAAAAGGCAUUUGACGAGACAAUCAAUAGAAGCCUUAUCGGAUGGACGGCAAUAAUUUCGGCACAUGCGAAGCAUGGAAACUACAAUGAAGUGAUGAAUCUCUUUGAGGAAAUGAUCACCUCCGGCAUAAAUCCCGACGAAGUUGUAGUCCUCGCUGUUCUUACGGCUUGCGGCUGCAAAGGGAUGGUAGACAUGGGGCGAAAGAUCUUUGACUCGAUGAUAAUCAAGCGAAAAGUCGAGCCUUGGCCCGAGCAUUAUGCUUGCAUGGUGGACAUGUUGGGGAGAGCAGGGAGAUUACUCGAAGCGGAGGAACUCAUAAAGCAAAUGCCGGAAGGACCGAAGGUCUCGGCAUUGCAAAGCUUGUUAGGGGCUUGUAGAGUUCAUGGCAAUGUUGAGAUAGCGCGAAGGGUCGCAGAGCUUUUGAUGGGCACGGAGCCGUCAGAAUCGGGGGCCUACGUCCUGAUGUCGAAUAUUUACGCCGAGAAGGGGGAAUGGGAGAAUGUGGCGAAGAUACGAAAGGGAAUGCGAGAAAGGGGAGUGAAGAAGGAAGUAGGGUUCAGCUGGGUGGAUGCCGGCGGUACCAGCGAUUCACUGCAACUGUAUAAGUUUUCGUCGGACGACAUGACCCAUCCGAUGGCGGAAGAGAUUUAUAGAGUUGCAGAUAGUUUAGGGUUUGAGAUGAAACUUUUGGAAAGUGAUGUGGAAAUGCAAGUGAACUCCUUAUUUGGUCGAUGAGUUAAGUUGAUUCUUUGGACUUUUUAACAAUCUUAUGAUCAUGAUCAUAAUCAUGAUCAUUUUUCGAGUACUAUAGCAUCACCAUCUAACCAUGAGAACUCCAACACAGGGACUUACAAAGGUUGAGUAACCUGUCAAAGGUUAGAAAUGUAGUUAGUAUAUCAUACAGCAGCAAUUUAUUGACAGUAAAAUUAUGUACUGAUCAGUUGCAGCAUCAAAAUUAUUUUCUAUACAUAAUGGAGUAGUUUAUUCUCAGAUUAUUGUUUCAAUCAUACACUUUGCACCAGAAGAUUGUCACACGAAUGAGUUUCAGUUUCAAUUGAAGUAUCUAUGACCGACUAAUGGAAGUGCUGGAAGAUCAUCAAAGCAGAAGUGGAAUCCACCAGCAAUAAUGGUUGCUUUGAUAUUUAUUCAGUGCCAAUUUUCUCCUGGGAAGGUGGUCUUCUUUUGCUUCUAUAUAUAUAUAUAUAUAUAUAUAUAUGAAACAUGUAGCAUUUGCAAUUUUGAGUGAACCCUUCGUCGCAAUAAAAUGUAGAACCAUUGUUGCACUUUUCGCUAGUUUCUUCUUCCUUUUCUAAUCCAAUUCUUAAACCUAAGGGUUGUUUGUUUUGAUAUCAUUAUAAAUGUUAUAAUGCAGUGUAAUUGAAGAUGUAUGCAGCUGGAGAUUCAGCAGAUAUACUUGCAUCUGAUCUAUGUAGUUGUAAGAAAUUUAAAGUGAUGCAAGAAGAAUCUUUAUGUUUGAUUAAUCAUAGUUAAAAGCUGCAUUUGCAUACUUUGUAUACUUUGUUAUCUUAUACGCGGUAUGGUGAUAUUUUUCGUAAAAUACUAAGAUUUUUUUUUUUUGUCUGAUUUAAGAUGUGAGAGGCUAAAUAAGUUCACCCCUUGUUCAAAAUUACUUUCUCCACAUUCUACAUUUGAUUUGGAUAUAGUCUGAAGUUUGGACCCAGCUGCAGCCCAAAUAGAACUAACUGCACAGAUAAAACAACAACAAACCAAAUAAAAUUUCUAGAUUUGCAUGCAGUCGCACCUGCAGCGCAACUCAUAAUGCAAGCAAACAAAUAGCUCCCAAACUUUAAGCCUAAAGAGAAAAUAGCAGAAAACGAAAAAAAAAAAAAAACUGCUACAGCUAUCUAAUUUGUCUAGACAGUGGAAAUUAGAGGUUGCGCGGCACAAAAGAAGAGUAGCAUGCAAUGGGAAAAUCCACUUUAGCACUUCGUAAUGUUUCAAUUGAAUGCUCUUUACAUCACAAUUUAUAGGAAAUAUUAAGCAACUGGAUUUCAAACUUGGGACACAUCUGGUUUCAACCAUCAAGCCCUUAAUUAACUGCACUACAUAUCGUCGGUACAAUAUAUUAUUUUAUGAAUGCACUGUGUCUACCGUAUGUACUGAAUAUUUGUGAACAAUCAGAUUCAGAGCACAUAUUCGGUGCUUCCAUCGACUUCAUCUGUUCUUAAAGUUCACCUUAUCUUACGAAUAUUUCACACUAAUCAGCCCCUACUCGGCACGUUUCUAGUGAAGGAUCUGUGCAAGUGCACCUCAGCGUUCUUACAAGAAGUCGAAGCGCACCCCCUUUUCUCCCUUUUUUUUUUUUGACUUUGCAAUCUCAUGCAUUCGUUCUCCACUGUAUUUCAGAGAACAAGUUCAUCUAGUGAAUUUAGUGCAGCUUUUGCUUCAGCAGCAGCAGCAGCCGCAGCCGCCUCAAACAUUUGUCAAAAAGAUCUACUAGUCCAGCUACAUCCAGAAGCAAAAAUACGAUUCAAACCCAAAAGCAAAACUAAGUUCCAAUUUAAUACUUCUGACUCCGACACAGAAAUAAGCAGACAUCAAUAUAGCAAUUCCAGAAUAGCACUAUUGAGACGACACUUUAUCAAGCAACACUGUUUGGUACGACAGAAGCUAUGAAGAUGGUAGGGAACAUUACAUAAAAUAAACCAAUCAAAAACAAGUUCAUGGUUUAAACUGAAUCAAGCAGUUUGUUCUGAGUUUAGGAAUCACAUGGAAAACAUUUGAAAAAAAAAAAGACAAAAACACUAAGCGGCCGAUAACAAGGCUAAAUCCAUUCAUCUACUCAGAUUGGACUUGAAAAUCUGGGCCCUCAUUUUAACUGUGAGUGAUUGUUUCUUAUAAUUAAGAAGAACAAGUAUACUACGACCACUUGUUUAUCAUAAAACUAAGAAAGCUUCUCAGAAAAGUCAUAACCAUCACUUGGAUAUCACAACCGUAGUUCUAUAAAUAAGUUCCUAAAAUGGCCUAAUACCAACUUACUCGAAGUGCUCAUUUGUACUUCAGCAAAAACACCAGCAAAUUUUAAGAUAGUAUAGAGUUUAAAGCAGAAUCGAUGAAAAGCAAUCUUCUCCGAAUUGUGCAGCAUAAUUUGCUCAAUUUUAAGAAAAUAGUAUGUGAUCCAUAACCAAACUGAAUUAUAAAUACUAACUAGGAAAAUACUUCCGAAAUUGUCCACUACAAAACUUGUCUUGUGAAUGAGCAGUGUUCAACGAUUCGCCUUCGCAACACGCUCAAUCUCAUCCUUCUUCUUAAUAGCAUAGCUGGAAAUUAAAAAAAAAAAAAGAAUAAACAGUGAAUGAUUUCCAUGUCAGCAAAUACCUAAGUCGGCAGGAAGAAUAGAAAAAGCCAAGCAGCAUGAGAUGACUAUAUCACAUCAAAUCACAUUUAACAAAAUUAUUGGUUGUAAUGAAGGCGAAAUGUAUAGGGUGAACUCAGUGUUUUUAUGACGCGACUAAAAUGUUUCAAGCGUAAGAUCGUACGUAGUAGAUUAAAAAAAGAGGUAAAUAAAGGUAUCAAGAGGUCAAAGUAAUAACAUGAAUCCAUGAAAAGACCAACUUAGAUUUACUGUUGUGCAUCAUAUAAGAGUGAUACCCAAGGGACUAGAAGUAGCUAAUAGUCUGCAUUUCACGCUUCUUUGCUCAAUUAUAUCAACAAAUCAAAACUAGCAGCUAGGUAAAUAAUAAUCACAAGGGACCCAGGUCAGUAAACAAAUGUACUCAGUACUAUCAGAGGCGGUCAAGGCACCAUUUCUGCGAAACAAUUUGUUACAUGGGCAUAUCGUUUUAUGUAAAAACAAAAAUUGAAAAAUACAAAGUAAAGCUAUUAAUCCACAUCACUAGGAAUUAGAACAUUAGACUGGAGAAUAAAGAGCUCCAUAUUUUCCUCCAUAAAGGCAUUCUUAUUUAGAAAGGCGCCGCCAUUCAUAUUUAGCUCAAAAUAGUAUAAAAACUAACAAAGUAAAGAGCUAUUGAAACAAAAGGGAACAAAAAUAGAAACCACAAGAGGGGAAAGUGAAGAGCACAUAUACCUAUUUGAAGAGCCCUUGGCUGCAUUGAUUAGCUCAUCAGCAAGGCACUCUGCAAUGGUCUUGAUGUUUCUGAAAGCACUCUCUCUGGCACCUGUCGUCAGAAGGUAUAUAGCCUGGUUGACCCGUCGGAGGGGAGAAAUAUCAACGGCCUGCCGUCUAACAACACCGGCAGAUCCAAUACGAGUGGCAUCUUCCCUCGGCCCACUACAGAUGGAGUAAAAUACAAUAAGCAGUAGAAACAGUAUACUGCACAAUGUCUGGCAUUCAGAUUGCUACAGAUGGAGUAAAAUACAAUAAGCAGUAGAAACAGCAUACUGAACAGUGUCUAGCGUACAAAUUGGCAAGAGAAAACUUACUGAAAACAAAUAACUCAAUAAGCUUGCAUAACAUAGUAGUUACCUAGUAACAUGACCUACAUGAUACAUGAAUGAGCUUCAAGAGAUGACAAAUAAAACUGUUAUUGUUAUUAAAAAAGAAGACCGAAAAUUACCAAAUCUACGGCCUUCAUUCUUCAAUAGUAUAGGGAAUAUGUGGUCAUGUUUAUUUGAUCAGUGCUAAGUCUGAGGCAUUUGAAAAGCUCAGUAAAAUAUAAGAAAGAAGUUUUGGACUACAACGUUGAGGCCAAUGACUCAAUAUUUUUAAUGCUUUCAUUUUGAUAUUGAAAAAGAUAGACAUGGAGUACUUGAAAGUUCCAAUAGCAAUAAUUUCAACCCUAAAAAUGCUGCUCUCCAGAGCAAACUGCAAUAUUCCGCAACAUCACUAAUAAAAUAUUUUUCAUUCAAAUUCCGUCUCUGGGUUUCAAUCAAAUCUGAACCAAACGUUUACAAAGUGCAUGUUUCAAAUUGGUUUGCUAUUCUGGAUAUAGUCAAAUAAUUCACCUGUUAAUGAUCGCAUCCACAAUUAUUUGGAUAGGGUUCGCGUCAGUCAACAGAUGAAUGAUCUCCAUGGCAUGUUUGACGAUGCGAACAGCCAUUAGUUUCUUCCCAUUAUUGCGGCCGUGCAUCAUCAGAGAAUUGGUCAGCCUCUCGAUGAUAGGGCAUUGGGCCUUGCGGAACCUCUUCACCGAAUAUCUUCCGGCUGUGUGAGGAAGAUAGGUAGCAUGCUUGGUCGAAGUCACAGCAAUGUAAUCAGCAAGCGAAAUGUCGGUCACCUGCAAAUAUAUUAUAUAUUUAAUGCGUAAAACAAUGUCAAAGCAAGUUCCAAGUACAAAUAGGAUGGUAGAGAGCUAUUAAAACAAAAAAAAUAAACCACAGAAAAUCUAAAUAGAUUCUAAUACUUGCAGCAUCAGAAUCUACAAGAGAAGAGAAACAAUGUUAAUGGAAAUUAGAAAAGAAAGCCAAACAAACAGAUAGCUCAUAAAUGAUUCUGAGAAGCUCAAAAAAGUUAACCACCAUACACCAUUCAUUUAAUCAUCAAUUUAACAUUCAUUAACAUAACCAAAUACUCAAUUAACAAAUCUUCUUACAUCGAAGUCCUCUUAAGGCUCUAACAACCUAGCAAAUUGGCUUUCCUUGCAUAAAAAGGAGUCAAUAUAUCAAGGAUAAAGCAAAUAAAAAAAAAAAGAAAACAAAAAGAAGGUAAAAUGUAUAAAACUUGCCUCAACUAUCACCCCUUUCGAUCUGACAACCUGACCUUUAAGAAUUUUGAUUUUACUACCAAACCUUUUAAUUUAUUUGAUUCGAGCCAGUUAAUGACCAUUUAACUUCAAAUUUUGAACUUGCAUUUAUCUUCACGAGUUUAGUUUACCUAUUUUAGAAAUUCAGGUAAAUAUAAAUUAAUUAAAGUAAGCAAUUAACUUAAAUUUUAUAUCCGAAGAGCUAUCAAAUUACUUAAAUCAAAUAAAUUAAAAGGUUGGGUACUACAAUCAAAUUUUUAAAAGUUCGGGAAGUCGAAUCAAAAUGGUCUAUAGUUCAAGCAAAUUUUAUACAUUUUUACCUAAAAAGAAUAUAUAGGGAUAAUUCAUUAUUUUCUAAUUUGUUCUUUAACAGCCAAUGAAAUGAUCUACCAUUCAUACUUCAUCCUUUUACAUAAGAUAAGGUCCCAAAUAAACCCUACAAAUCGCCUAAACCCUAACAUCAACAAUCUAAUGGCACAUCUCCUAAUAUAGUGAAUCUAUCAAAAACACAAGCAAAACCCAAAUAAUGAAGCAGAACGCUCCAAAAUCAAGUUAAUCUCAACAAAUCUAGAAAAAACCUAGACCAAACUACACGGAUCCCAAAGAUCGUACCCACAAUAUAGAGACCCGGAACCCUAGAAUCUAGAGAGAUCGGAAAAGAGAGAGGAGAGUUAGGGUUGGGAGGAGAGAUCGAAUCGUACGUUGACUUCGUCGAAGGUCCAGCGAUUGAAGAGCUUCACCUCCUGCUCGGUCACCAUUGCCAUUGCCGCCGCCGCCGCGAGAGCGAGAUGAUGAGCUCGCGAGAGGAGGGAGGGAGGAGGAGGAGGAGGAGGCGGCGGCGAAGGCGAAAGCGAGCGAAGAUGAGCCCAAAACCCUAGUUUGCUCGACUUAUAUAUGGGCAUCGUAUGUGUUAGCUUUUUUUUUUUUUUUUUUUUUUUUUUUUUUUUUUUUUUUUUUUUUUUUUUUUUUUUUUGGCGUCUGUGUUUACGAGUGAGCGUUAUUCAGUUCGGACCGAAGUGGCGAACCGAAUCAAUUGAAAUAAAACCGGCAUUUUACGGAAAAACUUCAAAUAUCACCCCGUACUUUCACUCUUUCUGAUUUUAGUAUCAUAUAAUUUAAAGUGUAUCAAUUUAGUGUUCCUGUAGUUUCUUUUUAUUUUUUUAUUAUCAAUUCUACUAAUUUUUUUCGUUAAAUUAGUAACAACAAAGUUAAAAGUUAAAACUAAAGGGUACUAAAGUGAAAUUUUGAUAAAUCUAGGUGGGGUAUCUGAAGUUUUUUAUAAAUAAUUUAAUGAAGGGCAUGUUUAGUUGCCCCGUAAGUGAAACAAUAAAAGUGGUAUUUUGACGAAGUGGGAUUAUUUCGAUUGUUUGGAUUAUAAAAGUAAAUAUAUAAGUGACUUUUGAAAAGUAAAUCCAUAAAGUGAAUUAUAACUAAAAUUCACUUUUUUUAAUUACUUCGGCAAAAAAAAUUCUGAAGUAGCUGAAAGUGGGCUACCCACUCCACGUGACUUGCAAACCACAUCCAAAAACCUUCUUCCUUACCAUAUACAAAAAAUAAAAAAAUAAAAAAUAAAAAAACAAUCACCGUAUCUUAACAAAAAAAAACCAACACAUUUAAAAAAACAAAAACAAAGAAAGAGACGUGCCGUAUUCCAUACCAUCUACAAAAAAAAAAAGAAAAAAAAAACUACGCAUUUAAAAAAAUCAUUUUAUUCUUUUAUUUUCUUAUAUAAAACUAAACAAUAGAAGUCAUAAAAACUGUAUUUUUUUCUUUCACUUUUUUGAAACCAAAUACUUGAACUCAAAAGUGACUUUUAUAAAAGUCACUUUUGGAAAAGUGAUUUUUUUUCACUUCGAUUACUUACGGACAACCAAACAUGCCCGAAAUAUUAAAAAGCUGACGAAAAGAUAAAAAUAAAACCACAUGACACUAACUUGAUACAUUUCAAACCAUAGGGUACUAAAGUGAGAAAGUGCGAAACCACAGGGGUGGUAUUUGAAGUUUACCCUUUUUUACAUUUAGCACCCACAAAAAAAAAAAUUCUCCAAAUAGUCCUACAAAAUUUAUAUUUACAAGAUUGAUCCUAUCCCUAUCACGCGAGAGUGGAUAACAGCGAAUGGUAAGUUGAACACGAUAAACCAUAUACCGUAUUUGGACACGGUAUGUGGUUCACCGUAUUUCAUUAUUUUUCUAUCACGAUAUUACGUAGCACCCACAAAAAAAAAUUCUCCAAAUAGUCCUACAAAAUUUAUAUUUACAAGAUUGAUCCUAUCCCUAUCACGCGAGAGUGGAUAACAGCGAAUGGUAAGUUGAACACGAUAAACCAUAUACCGUAUUUGGACACGGUAUGUGGUUCACCGUAUUUCAUUAUUUUUCUAUCACGAUAUUACGUAAUAUUUGAGAUUUACGAUUCAGGAAGGACACAAUGAACUAUUUACCAUAUUCAAACACGUUGAAUUAUUCACCGUGUUCGUACCGUGGUGCUUGCAUAGGUGGGAUAGGGUUAAUCUUAAGGCUUCGUUUGGUUUGGGUAUAAGCAAGAACUAAUUAUACUGGGAAUAGGUACAAGUAUGGAUUUUUGUAGGAACAAACGUAUUUUUUUGUUUGAAUAAAAAUGUGAGUAUAAGCUGGAACUAGAAAAAUUGUGUUUAAAUGAAAAUAUGAGUAUAAGCUGGAAUAGUUGGUAGUUAUAAAUAGAAAAUAAUAAUAUUACCUCUAUAAUUGAAUUUAAAUUAUAAACUUAGAAUUUUAAAUUAAAAAUUUUAACUUUUAAAUUUUAUAUUUUGAAAUUAAAUUUUUAAUUUUUAAUUUUCAAAAUUUUAAUUUUAAAUAUCAAAAUUUAAAUUUAAGACCAAAUUUAAAUUUGAAAGAUAUAAAAUAUCAAAUUUAAAAUUUAAACUUUAUAAAAUUUAGGCCUUUUUGCAUAAAAAAUCCACUAAUUUUGGGCUUUUGCAAAAUCGGACCACUUUUUUCGUUUUUGCAGAUUCGGUCCGCUUUUUCAGCAAACUGACCAAAAUACCCUUAUUACUUUUUCUCUUUCCUCUUUCUCUCUUCUCUUCGUUCUCUUGUUCUUUUUUUUUUUUCCGCCGCGGACCCGUCGGGCGCGUUCUUUUUUUUUUUUUUUUCUCUCGUUCUUUUUCUUUUUCUUCUUCUUCUUCCUCCUGCUGGAGCACUUUUUUUUUCCCCUCUUCUUCUUCUUCUUCUUCUUCUUCAUGUAAGAGCACAGGGCGCGCCACGGCGAUUUCCGGCCUCGCAAAGCGGCAUCCACCCAGCAGCGUUCUGCAGGGAGGGGUCGGCACCGGCGACCGCGAGCACCGCGGCGAGGGUGGGGGCGCGCGGGAGGCGGGCGGCGAGGUGGAACGGGGUGUCGCAGCCGAGGACGUCGCCCCGGUCGAGGGCGGCUGUCACGCGCGCUGCCCGGCGCUCCGCUCGGGCGGCGUCGGCCGCCGUCGCGAUCUCCGACGGCUGCUUCUUCUUUUUCGUAAUGGUGUAAUGGUGCACGCGGGCCGGUGCACGCAGCGGCGGCGGACGGGCAUGCGGGUGCACUGCGGCUGCUUCUUCUUCGUCGUAAUGGUGUAAUGGUGUAAUUACACCAUUAAUGGUUACACACACCAUUAAUGGUGAAAUUACACCAUUAAUGGUGUAAUGGUGUAAUUUCACCAUUAAUGGUGCACGCGGCCCACGGAGCGGAGCCGCAGGUGGAGCUCCGUUGGGCGCAGCCGACCGAGGGCCUCCUCGAAGGGGGAGCAGGACACCCGCGGAGAGGUUGAGGGAGGAGAUGUCGAGGGACGCGACGGCGCGCUGGGACCCGGGCCGCNCGCCCGGCGCUCCGCUCGGGCGGCGUCGGCCGCCGUCGCGAUCUCCGACGGCUGCUUCUUCUUUUUCGUAAUGGUGUAAUGGUGCACGCGGGCCGGUGCACGCAGCGGCGGCGGACGGGCAUGCGGGUGCACUGCGGCUGCUUCUUCUUCGUCGUAAUGGUGUAAUGGUGCACCAUUACACCAUUAAUGGUGUAAUGGUGUAAUUACACCAUUAAUGGUUACACACACCAUUAAUGGUGAAAUUACACCAUUAAUGGUGUAAUGGUGUAAUUUCACCAUUAAUGGUGCACGCGGCCCACGGAGCGGAGCCGCAGGUGGAGCUCCGUUGGGCGCAGCCGACCGAGGGCCUCCUCGAAGGGGGAGCAGGACACCCGCGGAGAGGUUGAGGGAGGAGAUGUCGAGGGACGCGACGGCGCGCUGGGACCCGGGCCGCGCGGGGGAGCAGGACACCCCGCGCCACGACACGCAGGGCUCAGACGAGCUGGCGUUGGACCACGAGGCGAGUGCGCCCGACGGGUCCGCGAGCGCCGACCUCACCGCCAGAAGCGCCGCCACCUCCGCCGCCGCCGGCGACCCCUCCUCCGCCGCGCCGCCGCCGAGGACGACGACGAAGAAGAAGAAGAUAUAAAUGAAAUAUAUUUAUUGACUUAAUAAGUUUGAUGCAUGUGCUAUUGGAUUCGUUCAUAUUGGCGUAUACUUACAAGUUAUGAGGUAUGAAGAAUGCUGAUGUUUUCAUGUUUAAAUUACCUAUUGCAUACUUUUUUUUUCUCUGUUUAUCACGAAAACUUAAUAUUCUUUGUCCUACAUAUCUAUUUGGAAAAGGACAAUGUAGGUAUAUGGAAAUCUAUAACUGGUGUGGUGAUUAAUAACAGUGGCUGGAUAUCUCUAAUAUGUCCUAGAAUAUUGGUCGGACUACCUGACCAGAAGAAAUUUUUUAACAAAAUCUAUAAUUGCCAGCAAAAGUUGUUUCUUUUCUUUUAGCUGGGUCCGUCCUUAAACAACUAAUUUUAACUUUUCAGAGAGAUGAUCCAGCACAGACCAUAUAAUCAAAAGGUUGACGUGUACAGCUUCGGCAUUGUGCUGUGGGAGCUCAUCACCGGGAUGCUCCCAUUUGCAAACAUGACAGCUGUCCAGGCUGCAUUNUAUCAGAAUUAGCCCUUCAUUUCAGAAAGAAAUAGAAAAAUUAAUUGUCGAUGGUGCGGUUGCCGCCUUGGGCUCCGCCAGCUUCCCCUCAUGCACGCUGACUUCGCUGCCCGCUCCGCGCGGCAGCGCCGGCGCCACGCCGCGCUGCUGGCGCGCUUUGAGGAGGCCCUCGGGCGGCUGCGCCCGGCGGAGCUCCACCCGCGGCUCCGCUCCGCGGGCCGCGUGCACCGUUAAUGGUGUAAUUGCACCGUUACACCAUUAAUGGUGUAAUGGUGUAAUUUCAUCAUUAAUGGUGUAAUGGUACACCAUUAUAUUACACCAUUAAUGGUGUAAUGGUGCACCAUUACACCAUUACGACGAAGAAGAAGCAGCCGCAGGUGCCCGCGUGCCCGCCCGCCGCCGCUGCGUGCACCGGCCCGCUUGCACUAUUACACCAUUACGAAGAAGAAGAAGCAGCCGUCGUAGAUCGCGACGGCGGCCGACGCCGCCCGAGCAGAGCGCCGGGCGGCGCGCGUGACCCCCGCUCUCGACCGGCGCGACGUCCCCGGCUGCGACACCCCGCUCCACCUCGCUGCCCGCCUCCCGCUCGCCCCGACUCUCGCCGCAGCGCUCGCGGUCGCCGGUGCCGACCCCUCCCUGCAGAACGCUGCUGGGUGGAUGCCGCUUUGCGAGGCCGGAAGUCGCCGUGGUGCGCCCUGUGCUCUUACAUGAAGAAGAAGAAGAAGAAGAAGAAGAAGAGGGAAAAAAAAAAGGUGCUCUAGCAGGAGGAAGAAGAAGAAGAAAAAGAAAAAGAAGGAGAGGAAAAAAACCUGCAGGAAGAAGAAGAAGAAGAAGCGCCCGCCUAGCGGUGCUACGGCCGUCGCUUUUUUUUUCGGCGAAAAAAAAAAAAAGAACGAGAGAACGAAGAGGAGAGAGAAAGAGGAAAGAGAAAAAGUAAUAAGAAUAUUUUGGUCAGUUUGCUGAAAAAGCGGACCGAAUCUGCAAAACGAAAAAGGUGGCCCGAUUUUACAAAAGCCCAAAAUAAGUGAAUUUUUUAUGCAAAAAAGCCUAAAAUUUAUAAUUUAAAAUUAUAAAUUAUAAAUUUUAGAAAUUUAAAUUUAAAAUAAAAAUCUCGUACUGGGGGGUGGAAACUGGAAACAACUUGUUCCCACCCCCUCCAAUCUUCUUUCGGUACAAGAGGGGGGAUAAUCCUCUUAUCCCUCUCUUGUACCUGAUCCAAACGGAUACUAAAAGUAUAAAUUUUUUAAAAUUAUUUGUGAAAGAAAUAUUUUGAGAUGGCUUAAAUGUAAAAAAAAAAUCCAAAUGAAACGGUUCAUCUCAAUUUUUUUUUUUUUUUUUUUUGUCAAAAACGAAAACAAUCCCGAAGCGGAAGUGCUCCGUUGCGUAACGGAGAAGUUUUUUUUUUCAAAAACGAAAACAAUCCCGAAGCGGAAGUAUUCCGUUGCGUAACGGAGAAGUUUUUUUUUUUUCAAAAACGAAAACAAUCCCGAAGCGGAAGUGUUCCGUUGCGUAACGGAGAAGUUUUUUUUUUUUUUUCAAAAACGAAAACAAUCCCGAAUAGGAAGUGUUCCGUUGCGUAACGGAGAAGGGUGAAAGGGCACUUUGGGUGGGCCCCACCACCGCGUUUGGGCCAAUCAGAGCUCGCUUUGCGUUUCCGCAACUUCUCGGCCCCGCGAUCCCGCGCACAGCGGCAUAUUCGCUCCCCUCCACCUCCACACCCCCCCUUGAAGAAAUUAUUGUCUACACCCGGUGUAUGCCUACACCUUAUGCACCGUACAAACAUCCUACAAUCAUGGUCACCUAAAAAAAAAUGUUAAUUUCAUAUAGAUCCCUACAAAUAUAGUGAGUUGCAAAAAUAUUUGUAUAAAGUUGGACUUUUAUAUGUUGUCCCUACAAAAUUCAUAAUGUUUUCAAAUAUAUCUCUGCUGUUAAAAUUCGUUAGAAAAUUUUAGUUAAUCAUAGAUUAAAUACUUAAUACUGCUAAGUUUAUGAGAUAACUUAAUAUUUUUACCUCUCUUAUAUUAUAAUAUUGUGACUUUUGAAGAGAUAUCUUUGUGAUGGCAUAAUUGAUAUUUCCCUUAAAAUAUAAAUAGUUUUAGAACGGUAACAAAUCAGAAGAACAUAUUUGAAAAUAUUAAAACUUUGUAGGGACAAUAUAUUACAGUUGAACUUUGUAAGAAUAUAUUUGUAAUUCACUAUAUUUGCAUGGACCUGUAUACAUUUAACUCUAAAAAAUAUAUAUUAAAAAAAUGGCUAAAAUGCAGAAUUUUUUUUCAUAAAUAAUUGAUUUUGUAUUUUAUCCUUUAUUAGUCUUUGAAAAAAAAUCUGUAUUAUUUAUUCCAACACUCUUAGCAUUCUGUCAUUAUUUAGUUACUAUUUUGUGCAUAAAUUGUAUAACAUAGUUAAGCAACUUGUUGAGAUAAAUAUUACACUCUUGGGAAUGGUGAAAAUAUAUAAUUUUUUUUUCAAAAUAAGUAACCUUGUGCAAAAAAUAUUUAAUUAUUUAGUAAUUAAUUUUUUAACAUUUACGGAUAAAACGAAUACAUUAGUAGUUACUUGUUGGAUCAUAUAAUAUAGGCACAAACAGUGAUGAAAAUAGUUACCGUGCAAGUUUAAGUAUUAUAAUUUUAGCUGCCGUUUGGUUUGGGAUUAAGAAAAAACUAGUUAUUCCAGAAAUAGGGUUAAAUUCAGAAUUAAGGUGGGGUUAGAGUAUUUUUGUGUUUGGUUGGGGGUUGGAGUUAGUUCAGUAAUAAUGAAAAAUAGUAUUUGGUUGGAGUAUGUGGGAUAAGAAGGAUAGUGGGUUAUUAUGAAUAGAAAAUAGUGUUUGGUUGGAGUUUGGUGGGAUUAGAUGGGGUUAGCUAAUUCGGGAUAGUCCAUUUCAGGUGGGGUUAACUCCACCCAUUUUUGGAGGUAUUUGGAGAUAAUAUAGGGAUUAAGGGGCCAUCCCUUAACCCCUAACCAAAUAAAGGCUUAAAGUUUAGGAGGACAAAAUAAAAAUUGUUAAAAGAUAGAAGAUCUACCAAAUACAUAAAUGCUAGGUUUGUCGAAUUCUCGCUAACUUCUCGUGCCUCUUCCCGUUUCCGCCGGUUCUCUCUCCGACUUCGCGAUAUCCGUUCCCAUUUCUACCAGCUGCCCUUUCUCUUUUCCGAUCUCUCCAUCUCCUCGCGUUUCUCGCUACAGUUGCAAUCUUCGUUGAUGAACGUGGCGCGAUUUUUACCGGUGGGUAGAUCUAAUGAGAGCUCAUAAUUAUACCUUAUGGGGUGAGUUGUCGACUCUUUUAGCGCCACGGCUACUGUUUUUAGAAAUAUAUAAGCAAUUGCCCCUUUUAAUAAAAUUAAAAAACUGAUGACAUUGACGACAUUGUGGUGUAUGAGAUUCAUCCAUACACCUGGUGUAGGAAAUAGUUUCUUUUCUCCUCUCUCUCUCUUCUCCCUCCUUUAUAUCCCCCUCCUCUCUCUCUCUCUCUCUCUCUCUCUCCCCAAAUGGAAACCCUAAGGAGCCGGGUGGAGUCGUGGAUCAAGGACCAGGCGGAGCGGAUGGGCGCCACAUGGCCGCCGCCGCCGCUGCUCCCGCGGUGGCGGUGGCCUCGGCCGCCGCCGUGGCGGUGGGGCGGAGGCGACGAAGGCGGCGGCGGCGGCGGCGGAAAGGGGCGGAGGGAGGCGGAGCGGCGGAUCCGGGAGGAGUACGAGCGGCGGCGGGGGCAGCUCCGGGAGCUCUGCGGCGCCGUGAAGGUCGACUCCGUCGCCGAUCUGCAGGAGGUGCUCUGCUCCAUGGUGCUCUCCGAAUGCGUCUACAAGGUCGAAAACGAUACCUUGCCCUAGAUCCUGAGAUUUAGGUUAUUUUAUUGGCUAAUUUACACUUUUUGGUCUCUGGUCCUCAAACUUUAACUUUAAUUUGUUGUAAUUGCUAGCUCGAACUUCCUGAAUUGUUACAAUCAAGUUCAAGAACUCAAUUUAGUAAAUGGGCUAAAUAUUAAUGCGUCGCUAAUGUGAAAGUUGUGUAGCAGGGUUGUUAUUGAUGACGCGACAAUAAUUAAAAUGACACAUUAUUUUUACAUCAGUAUUUAGCUAACUAAAUUCGGUUGUGAGACUUGGAUUGCGACAAUUCAGAAAGUUUGAGUCCUAAAUUGCAAUAAAUUAAGUUCGAGGACCAAAGUGUUUCGCACCUCAUAGUUUGAGGGCCAAAAGUGUAAUUUAGCCUUUUUUUGUUUAAUUUGGUUCAAAUGUAUUGAUUAAUCCUCAGUGAUUGGCCAUUUUGAAAUAAACACCUCAAUUGUUCUUCUUUUGAUUGCCACACCCUUAACUUCUAAUUUGUGUUGCUUGAGUUUUCUAGUACGUUAAGUAUUUUAUAAAAUUUAAUAGCUCUAUUAGUUAUUAAUGACUAAUUGUUCUAGUUUUAUUUGCUAAAAAGUGAUUAAGUGAUGAAAUCGAUGAAUUUGAUAAAGUUUGCAAUUUAUUUGACCAAAAUCAUUCAUGUUAAAGGAAAUUAUAAGUUAAAGAAGUGUCAACACAAAAAGAAAAGAAAGCUAGAAUUAAGGGGGUCAUUUGGAAAGGCCUAUAGUUGGGGGGUCUCCAUACAUUUUAACAUGUAUAUAUUUUUUGGGGGUGAAAAUGAAUGGACACCCCUCAACUAUAGGCCAAAAUGAAAUGGGCCCGUUAACUAUAUUCUCACCCCUCAACUUUUGAUUGUUUUGAUUGUUUCGAUUUGAAUUAAUCUAGCUUGUUAAGUUGAAAAUUUUGUUAAAUUUAACAGCUUUAUUAGCUAUUAACCAUUAGUUAUUCUAGUUUUUAUUCACUGAACAAUGAUCAAAACUAUUAGAUUUGAUGAAAGAACUAAUGAAUUUAAUAAAAUCUCAAUUUAAUUCACUAAAUCACUCAAUUUAGAAAAUAUUAAAAGUUAAGAAGGUGAAGGUGGAAAAAAAAACUUGAGGAGGCCGUUUCAGAAUGGGUUAUAGUUGAGUUAGGCUCUAUUUGGGAAUGCGGGGAGAUUGAGUUACAUGUGGUAAAAAGUAUGAUGAACAAACAUCUUGUUUGUUUUCAUAUAUAAUAUCACGUUCCGCAUAUCGUAAUGAAUUGAUUAUGAUAUAUUUUCUACGGUCAUGCCGUAAAACGGAGAAGCAAAUCUCUAUAUGCUUUCUUCCCAACGUUGUUUUGCCUACUAGUUUUAGAUGGGCCUCAGUACCAAAUGGGUCCUUGGUCUCCAUACAUUUUUACCUUUGUUUUAGUUGAAAAUGUAUGGAGAACUCUCAAUUAUUUGCCAUUCUGCAAUAGGCCCCUAAACUAUCCCCCUCAACUUCUUAGUCCUUCAAUAUAAGUCAGUUUUAUUAAUUAACAGUGAUUCUAUUAAGUUUGUCUAUUCCAAGCACUCUUUCGGCUUUUGGAAUAACAUUUAACAAUUGAUAGCUAACCGAGCUGGUAAUUCAACAAAAUUUCCAUUCAAUUUAGGAAAAUAGCGUAAACAACAAAUUACAAAAAGCCCCUACGGCAAUUUAGCUUGUGUAUCAGUCAUCCACUAUAUAAAAAAUUGUUGCAAUGUCAAUUCUGCAUUUUAUUCUCUUGUCAAGUAGGCCCAAAAAUUUUGGGAUAAUUGCUGAAUUCAGAUGCAUAAUGUUGUUGAACUGUGUUAGCAGACUGUAUAAAAUAGAUAAACUAUCCAGUUAACUUUCAAUUCUAAUGGCUUUAGUAGAGGAGAUAUCGUAGAUAGAUCAGACAUACUAUCCCAACUCAUUUUGGUGAAGUUUUGGAUCUGAAUUUAAUACUUCUCCAACAUCUUUGGGUCAAUUUGAAACAAAAGUAAACUAUAGGUUGACAUUGUGCCAUUUUAUUUUAUUGUAAUAAUAUUUUAUUUUACUGUAAUUUAUUAUUGUUUUCUUGUGCACUAGAGUAAUUGAUACAUGGGAUCAAAUGUAGGAGUUCUUUUUUUAUUAAUUUUUAUGCUUCUAGUUUGUCCUUUUCCUUUUCUCUUUAUAGAUUUGAAAUUGAUAGUAUGGAUCUUGUCUUAAUAAUUUUUUUUUCAAGAAGGUAAAUAGAAGCAAUGGUUGUUAAACUCUUUACUGAGUUUCACUCGAGUCUUCUCUUUGAAAUUUGCGCAUUGGUUCCCUGGACUUAGUAACAUCGCUUCACAGGAAUCCUUCCUGGGAAAACCUGUUAGUGGAUACACUUGGGCAAUCUCUUGGCAAUAAUAUUUAUCUUUUUACAAAGUUUGUGGGUAUUUUUCAACAUUAAAGAUAUCAAAGCAAGAAAACUUUAUGUUAGGAUGACUAGUUUUAAAAGAGAAUGGGGAUGGUCUGGCUGCCAAACAUAUCAUACAUGGUAUCCACAUUAACGUUGCCUUUAAUCGUACUACUGGUUUUUCAUGUGAAGAACUAUGAUGAAGCAAUUUUAACAAGGUUCGGGAGAACAUCUCUUAUAGUUCAAAGGUAUAAGACUAGAGUGAAACUUUAUGAAGAGUUCAUGGACGCUCAAUGCAAUUCACCCCGAGGCAAAAUAUAUCGUCAAUGUGCUGUUCUUUCCUCUUGGCGCAGCUGACAUUUCUCCUUUUAUCUUGUGUAUUACAGAGGCCUGCAUCAGAGAUGAUUAGGUAUAUUAACAAGUUCAAAUCUGAUUUUGGAGGGCAGAUUGUUUCCCUUGAGCGCGUGCAGCCUUCUUUGGAUCACGUACCUCACCGGUUGGUUGACAUUCUCAGUGCUUCUCGUAAAUUUUUAAUCACUUUUGUUGGCUGUAAACUGACAAUGAGCAGCUCUCUUUUAUGUUAACUUUUGUUUAUGUUUGGAUGGUGAAUUAGAAGUCCCUAGUUCUCAUCAUCUGCUUGAUGCGAGACCAGUCUUAUCAAAAUGUUGCUUUUAGCUUUACUUCUUUAGUUAGAAAAUAAUAGUCACUAUGUGCAGUUUUAAAGGGAAUGCUUGUAUAUGCUCAAAGUUGUGACAUGACAGUUAAGCAGAACAUAUUUUCUAGGUGACUUGAUAUUUGUGCUGGUCACAGAAGCUAGAUGAAUGUGUAGUUGUAUUAUCACGUCAUAAGAAAACAUGCUGAUGCAGCCCCAUGCACAUAGGCCCAGCAGGCUUGUGAGUCUCUGUUUGUUUUAAGUAGAAUUAGUAAAUUCCAUUCUUUAGUAAUAAUAGUCACAGGUAUAGAUCAUCUUUCUUGUAAGAUGGAUAUACAUCGAAGGCAUGUUUGGUUCAUGAUUGGAAUGAUAGUGGGAAAUGGAAUUGGAUUGUGUAUUGGAAUGGGAAAUAGAAUGACGAAUCAUCUUUAAAAAAAAAAUGUUUGGUUCAUUGUUGGAAUGGAAAUUGGAAGGGACAACUGGGACACUUAGGAUUUUGGGUGAGGGUUUUGGUUAAGGGUGAGAAGAGUAAUGAAGGGACAUAAGGUGGAGGUGUUUGUGAGAGAGAGCUUUGAGUGGUUUACUGUGGAACGGGGCCAAUCCAGGAUUCAAAACUAGAUUGGGCCAUACAUGGAUUGGACCAUUCCCAUUCCAAAGUGGAAUGGGAAUCAGAAUCGGAUUCCUGUAUAACAAACAAUAACUAUCAGAAUCAAUGAAUCUCAUUCCUAUUCCAGAGUCUAAAAUAGGUGAACUAAACAGGACCUUAUGUCGAUGUUGAUAUUUUUUACAGCAAUCUUGUUUAUGUUGCAGAUUCUAUCAUUCUAGUGCAACCUCUUUAUGCAUCAUAAUCGGAACUUCCAUGCUUAUGAUGCGUGCAUUUGCAUUUACAAAUUCUAAUCCUGCCUUUUACAUAUGUAUCACAUAUGUUAUGGAAGUGAUAUACAUUGGUUUAAAAAAAUAAACAAGGAGGCAGUUAUACAUAACAUAAGCUGUUGUCAUCAUUGAUCAUUUUGAAAAGCGAUGUUAUGUGGAAUCACCAGUCUUAGAUUUUCCCACAUUACUUGAUCAAUUCUUAACUGAACUUUGUGAAGCAUAGUAAAUAAAGUUCAGUACUCAUCUCCAUGUAUUGGAUAUUUCUUUUGAGUAUAUUUUCACCAAAAAUAUUUCUAGGAUAUUUUUCAAUGCUUGUGGAGGGAAUAUGUAUAGUAAUGAUGUUCUUUCAUGGAAUCCUAAGAUGAAGCAAAGUGAACUAGGCCAUUAUGCUUGCCUCAGAUUUACUAUCAGAAGUUGUAUCUACUGUGUACGCUGAAUCCCUACUGAAUGCUACACUCAUUUCAACAUUUUCCAUAUCAAUGGAACAACAUUUUUUGUUGGUGGUAUCCUUUAUCAAUCUAUAUGCUAAAUAAAUAGGCUGAAAUUCUUGUGGCAAAUAAAAUUAGAUUGGUGAAAGUUUCUCCCCCUAACUCGGCCUCCCUAAUUAAAUUCUUUUUUGGUAUGGAUUGAGUGAUUCUCCUCUCAAACUCAUGUAGGUAUCUAUUAGCUGAGGCUGGGGAUACAUUGUUUGCUACAUUUAUUGGAACUAAGCAAUACAAGUAAGCAUUAUUUUGCUAAAAUCCUGCUUCCCAAGUCUUUAAGCUACUAUUUAUUUACCUUUUGCCUUUCUUUACAGAGAUCUUAUUACUGAUGUAAAUAUAUUUCAAGGGGCCAUAUUCCAUGAGGAUAAUUCUGAGGAUUUUGAUUUGGUUGAUAUUGGUGAAAGUGAUCAAAAUGGCAUCCAAAAGAAGAGCGAGGAAAAUCUUGGCAAGCCGGUUCAGGAAAAACCAAAACGGUUGAAAACAUCAAAGCCUGCUGCACACAGGGUAUGAUUUAUUUUUCAGAUAUAUGAUCACUGAUAUUUCUUGUUGUUCCAAGAGUUCUAUCAAGAGUAAUGGCAUUUUGAUGAAUAACUCUUUUAGGGUUUCUUAGCUCGUGCAAAGGGAAUCCCGGCUCUGGAGUUAUACAAGCUUGCACAGAAAAAGAAUCGGAAGCUUGUUCUUUGCGGACAUUCACUUGGUGGUGCGGUAGGUGUAAGCAAACCAUUUUACAUCUUGUUCAUUUAUUAUUUAAUUAAUUUCUUAGUGUCAUUUUCUACUCUACUUCGAAUGACAGGUAGCUGCAUUGGCUACACUUGCAAUUUUGCGAGUUCUCGCAUCCUCUACACUAUCAAAAGAAAACGGAAAAGUUCAAGUGAAGUGUAUCACUUUCUCCCAGCCACCAGUUGGGAAUUCUGCUCUGAGAGAGUAGGUGUCAUAUCAUGAAAUUAAAACAAAUUAUUUUGUUAAGGUUUAAUUAACAAUUUCAUUUUUGAAGUUUGACCACGACAUCACUUGCAUCCUCUACUCUUGAUUUUAACAUCCUCUACUCUUGUACUAGUCCUGUCACUAGUCUUCCGUCUGAAAAAAGUUGCCACGUUAGCGACGUUGCUAGAGUUUGCUUACUGUGAAUUUAUUGUUGUUUUGAUUACAAUGACGAAGUGGCAUUUUCUCGGAUGACAAACCAAUGGACGGACUAAAUUGGUACAUAGGACAAAUGUCGGGCUAAAUUGUUAAAAUUAAAACUUUGACUGCAAUGUGCAUAGUUCGGAUCAAAUUUCAGGGCAAGGAUUAAAGUGCCCAUCGGCACGGGCCGUAUCCACCGUGCCGUAUCGUGCCAGCAAGAUAUCGGUACGAUAUAGCCCCCGUACCAAUGGCACAACUCAAAACCCUUUAUUCUGGAAAUUAUUAAAUAAUUUUCUCAAUAAAGUUCAAAAGAUUUGAUAAAAAUAUAUAAUAAAUAAUUGGCAUAUUUUGUUGCUAAAGAAAAUAAAUAUUUUAUACCGUUACAUGUCGGCACACAUAUAUUUUUUAUGACCGGCACUCAUCGGCACGGCUUGGCACGAACCGUGCCAUACCGUGCCGGCAAGUUUCCGGCACGACCCUGUGUCACGACAUUUAAAUACUUGUUUCAGGGAUUACUUUUGUAAUUGACCUGUUAGUUAAUUUUGGAGAUAUCAAAAGAUUUUUAUGAAGAGAAAAUGAUGUUGGUUAAUUUACCAGAUUUAACAAAAGCUAUACAGAAUACUUUGUUUUCUAAUUUGACAGGAUUUUAGACAGGUAACUAUUUAAAGGAAAAUUUGGCUUAUGAUAUUCCUUUUUCUUUGCGUUUAGUUAUGUGCAUCAAAAAGGUUGGGAAAACUACUUCAAAACCUACUGCAUACCCGAAGACCUGGUGCCACGGAUUUUAUCUCCUGCCUAUUUUCAUCACUAUAACACUCAGACGAUGCAAACAUCGUCGGAUGAAAAUUUAAAUGGUGCAAAACUUGAGGAGACUACAAGUGGACCAAGUCUUAAAAUGCCCAAAGAGGACAAUGGGCAACAGCUUGUUCUAGGCGUUGGCCCUGUUCAGACGUCAAUGUGGAGACUGGCUAAGCUUGUUCCUCUGGAGGCAGUUCGGAAUCAAUUCAAUAUCUUCAGAAGAAAUCAGAAUAAAGUUGGGGAGGCAUCCCUUGACAUAGAUAGUGGCUUACAGUCGAAGGGUGAUGAAUCAGAGGCAGAGCCACAGUCUCUCGAGAUUCAAGAGGGUUCUGAGGGGAUCACUCUUGCGCCUCUUCCUGAUACAGAUCAAGAGACUCUUGGCAAUCAUGUAGAAAGAAGAAGCAGACUUGACGAUGAAGAUUCUAGGCGAUGGCAUAGAUUGCCUAACCUACCUUCUUAUGUACCAUUUGGGCAGGUAGAUAGUUUGCACUUCUAUCUCUUCUGUGUAAUUUGGUUUAUAGACUUCUGUUGCCUACCGCUGUAUUUUGUGGAAUCCAGAAGUUGGACAGUACAUUUUGGAAAAAAUGUGCAGUGAGCCCUUCAACUAUAGGACAUUUUGAAAUACACCCCUCAACUAUUUUUUCUUUGAUUGAAACCUCAACUUUUGAUUUUUUUAAAAAUUUAAGUUACUUUCAUCAAUAAUGUUGGGAGUUUUGUUCAAUCUAAUGGUAGUUCUGUUAAAAUUUUAUCGUUAAAAUGCUUUUUUGAGCUGAUAGGCUGUUUUGAAAUUAAGUCAUUACAGCAUCUUUGCAAACAUGCAUGCAACUUAAGGACUUUAGCUUGAAAUGACAUAGAAGAAAUUAGUUGCACACAUCCCUUUUCCAUUCAUUUACUGUACAAUAGGGUGGAAGACCUAUGGAAUUUCCCUUCCAUCGAUUUUUGUCACUUUUAAACUUUGGUAACAUCAGAAUUUUGUUUCUAAUGCAAUUGGCCAGUUCUUGUUUAUGUUUGGUCUGUUUAACUGUGAGCUACAAAGCUUUUCAAACUUUCCAAUUGGUGAUCUUCUCUCCAUUAUGAUUUUUUUUUUUUCUAGCUCUACCUCUUGGGAGACUUGUCAGUAAAGUCACUCUCUGAUGCAGAAUACUCCAAAAUGACGUCGGUACGGUCUUUUUGUUAUCUUUUGUUCCACUUUAUUGGUACUAUUAUAUUUGUUAGUGUACAUCGUAUUUUUGGUUUUUUUUACUUUUACUGCUUUUGCAGUAGUGUCUUAGUUAUUUCUACCUACUCAUCUUUCUGCUAUGUCUUGGCAAAGGCAUUUGCAGGUGAGGUCGGUUAUAACAGAAUUAAAGGAGCGCUUUCAAUCACAUUCAAUGAAGUCAUAUAGGUCUCGCUUUCAAAAGUAAGAAAUUUGUCAAUCUUUUCCUUACUAGUUUUUGCUAUUCACAGCCUUUUCUUUCUGCCAUUUUGCUUUCUGUAAGUUAUUUUUUAUCAAACAGUUGCUAGGUCUUAUGGUUGUCAUUGCCAAGAUUUCGCUCAUUGCCAUUUAGGUUACUUUUCCCCCCCUAAUAUUUUGGUUAAUAUUGUGCCUUUAUUUUAGUUUUAGUUGGCGAAGUAUUAUUUCAAAGGGGCUUGCAAAGAAGAACACAUGCUUCCUAAACGUAAUAGAAGUUGGUUACUGGAAACAUGAUCUGGAUCAGCCUACUUUCUAAUGUCAAAAAUAUCCAUUUCAGAACUUCAAGCUUGAUGUUUCUCCAGUAACUAAAGAAUCUCAGCAUUUAUGUCAAAUAGGAAGAAGCUUCCUAACAAUUAAUAUACUAUCAUGUGCUGAAUAGUUUGUUUGGUCCUCUUAAUUGAGAUGUCCCUAAGUGUUCCUUUAAAUAUGCCUCAGUGAUUGAAAUUUGUAUUGGACCAGCUCUUUUUUGAGGUCAUCUACAAAGCUUUCCACUUUAGGAUUACUAUCUUCUGCACAAACUAUUGCUUUCUCAGCUCUUUGUUAAUGAAGACUGGUUUGAACUGUAAUUUGUUGAAUGAUGAUGUAGUGUUAGUAUAUGGUUAAUUAAUCCGUUACCAUCUAAAGUCAAUGAAGCACAUUUCAAUAUCCAAGAAUCUGUCAACCAUGAAAAAAUUCCGAAAGGUGAUAAUAUUCGCACUUUAAAUGUGAAGAAUCUCUUAAUUGUUGAACAUUAUGCAAGGUAACUGCAAUGUACAUCUAUUAUUUUGCCAACUAUAGUGUCAUCAUGGUACGAGGAUGUGAGUUAGCAGAAUAGGUACUAGAUUGGUUGAAGGGUGUACAAUGAUCACAUAAUAUUAAGUAUUUAUCAACUUGGACCCUGUGCUUUGAGUCUGUGAUAUAGCCAUCGAUCUUUCCUAGUUGGAGAACCACUUUCAAGGCAAUUGAACUUGCUCAUGUUUCACUAGAAGGAAAAUGUUUGACAGGAGGUCUUUCGUAGUCCUUUGAAAUUCAAAAAUUGUCCUGACAAGAAACAAUGUGUUUGCAUAUCUGUUCUAGAUAAUAGUAGAGAUUUUACUUGAUGCAAGUGCUUAGUGAUGAUAAAUUAAGAUUAAAUGUGUAAGAUAGGCCAAACAUGUCGAUGAUGAGAAGGAUUAAUGUAACUUUAAUUUAUUUGUGCAUUAUGCUCUGGGUUUCAUGGGCAGCUUAUAUUUACUUCUUUCCCAAACUGCCACUCAGACACUCAGUUAGAUCUUUUGUUCCUAUAAACAUGAUACAAUUAGGCUAUCUAACUUAAUUUCUAGUUUCUCUUAAGCUCAUCUCUUGCUAAACAUGAGCGAUACUGACAUAAUAGAAGAACUUUGAAUCAUUCUUGAUUUGCAUUAGUAAUGCAUAUUCUCUGCAUUAUUUGGAGAGAAAAGAGGGAAAGUUCAAACUUACGUUUUCUGUGUUUCAUAGAAUAUAUGAUCUAUGCAUGUGUGUGAACGCAUCGCCUUUCAUGGGAGUGGAGCAGUUACCACAUUUACAACAGUUGCUUGGCCUAGCAGCUGCUGAUUCGGUCGAACUUGGCAACAUUGUGGAGCCUCCUGUUAUCCGAACGGCAACAUCCAUUGUUCCUCUUGGUUGGAAUGGUGUUUCUGGUGAUAAAAACACUGAUCCAUUAAAAGUUGACAUUGUUGGACAUGGCUUACACUUGUGUUCUCUUGUUCAAGCUCAAGUAAAUGGGAAUUGGUAUGCCCUACUUGUCUCUAGAUAUUUAAUUCACUUAAUUCACUCCUACUAUCAACCUUUUGGUUUGUGAUUUAAAUAUCCUAUUAUUCUCCAAUGUAUUUGAAUAAAGGUGCUCAACGGCUGUGGAGUCACUACCUUCAGCACCUCCAUACUCAUCGAAUCAUGAAGCUGAACCCAAUUUACAAAAGAUGCGGGUUUUAAUUGGUGCUCCAUUGAAGCGAUCACCAAAAUUUCCAGUUGCUGAAGAUUCUUUAUUUCCUAUUUAUCCUCCAGUUGUGGAAUGCUCCAAUUCGACUCCAGAAUGUGAAUCCAGAUCAUUUUUCCAAGACAGAAGACGCUGUUGUGAUGGUUUGGAUGGUUUUGUCAUUUACUGCACUACUGAUUUCACCACCGUAUGCAAAGAAGUUCAUGUUAGAACCCGUAGGGUGCGAUUACUUGGAUUCGAGGUAGUCUUUAUUUAUUUAGGUCUAUAAUGGUAUGUGAAGCCUUUACUAUCUUGAAUCUGUAAAUUCUGUCUCUUAAUGGUUUCAGGGUGCCGGGAAAACUUCCCUAUUUAGAGCAAUGCUACAAUUUAGACAACGAAACAAUGGAAAUAUUGAGAGUAUAUGUCCAUACAUGGAUGCUCAAGAAGGGGUAGCAGGUGGAUUAUGCUAUGCGGAUUCAGCAGGUGUGAACUUGCAGGUAACUCUAAUAGUUUACCUUGAAUAGGAGAGUUUAUUUUGCGCUUCCUUCUGAAGUUGGUUAAUAGAAAGCCAGUUUGUUGCGUCGAUCAAUUGUACAAUAAUGAUAUUUGUACCUCCAAGCUUUUCAUCUUGAACUUGGUUCAGCAAAAAGUAAUUGUUUUUUUCUUCUUUUUGUUUAAUUUUUUCACUGAAUGAGAAGGUUCAAACAUGCCAGAUUUGCACUAAAUUGCUGGUUGCAUUUUACUUGUUGAACUUUUGAUAAUGCUUUUUUUCUUUUUCUUGAAGUACUUGUUAUUACUUAAAUAUUACUCAACUGCAAAUUACUCAUUGGUGUGCAUGCUUUCUAUAGUUAAAGGCAAGAUAUAUGUUUAUUAAAGAAAAAAGAAGAAAGAAAACUCUAUAUAUCAUUUAAUUACUGUAUGCUUGAAAACUGAAAAUGCAUGAAGAUACUUUUCUAAAAUGAAACAGGCAAUUUUUGAAAUUUAUAUGUAGUAACUAAGGAAUGUGUGGAGCGUGCCCUCAUAUCUACUUAAAAAUUUAGUAAAUUUUGUUUACCUUCUUCAACAGCCAUCUCUCUAUAUUAUUUUUAUUUAAUCUUUGUUUUAUCAUACAGGAGCUAAAUUCAGAGGCCAUUAAAUUCAGAGAAGAACUGCAGAUGGGUUUACGUGAUCUCGCCAAGAAAACCGACCUAAUUAUUCUCGUGCAUAACCUAUCACAAAAGAUACCUCGGUAUCACCACCCAAAUGCUUCAAAACCACAGCCGGCCCUUUCACUUCUCCUAAACGAGGCUAAGGCUCUUAAUAUACCUUAUGUUCUUGCCCUAACAAAUCGAUUCUCCGUCAGUGCUCAUCAGCAAAACACUUUAAUCGCUUCUGCUAUGGAAGCAUACGAAGCAUCUGCCGACACGACUCAAGUCAUUAAUUCAAGCCCCUUUUUCAUAGCAAGCAAUGCUAGUGCUGUGCAACCGAUGACAUCAGCUAAUGAGCUUUCGGGGAGGAAGGAGGCUGGUUCUCCAAGAAGUGUGUUUGCUCCUCUAAGUCUCUCCUUACUGCCACUCCAGAGAAGGGCGGGUGUUAUGCCUAUCGAGGGUGUUGGUGCGUUUCGGGGACUUGUUCAUCGCGUUCUACGCAGUAAUGAAGAAAUGGCCUUCCAGGUACUUGUUUUGUUCAUUUGCGUGUUUUACAUGAAAUUUUAUGUGGACCUUUUCAAACUAAGGCCGCUUUAAGUUAGAUCCUUUUCAUAUUUUUUUUAAUCAGCAUCUCCAUAUUUCCUUUGGUGGAUUAAUCAUUUGAUUCGAUGAUAACUUUCAGUACGUAAACAAUGCUCACAUGAUGACAGGAGUCUGAAAUAGCUGUUAACUGCUCAUGAGAUGCGAAAAUGACCUACAAUUCUUCACUAUAUUAUAGGAAAAGUUUUUUCCCGACCAUUGAUGAUGACCUUAGAUUGUUUUUACGAAGUUCUCUCAACUUUUACUUAACCAGCAUAUCUUUGGUUUUUUUUCUUUCUAUAUUUACACAUAUCGAUCCAAUCCAAUGGAUUUGCCAUUUGAUAUAACGGUAACUUUAUUUCAAAAACGAUGUUCAUGUGGUGAUACAUGUUUGAAAUUGUUGUUAACGGAUGGAUAGACGUGCUUAUGAGGUUUUGAUGCAAUAAGUGGUGGUCAAAAUGAUUUGCAUCAAAACGACCUAUGAAAUAUUUCUGAUUCGCGAUGAGAUAUAUGAAGAGUUGCUAGCGCAGUCUUUUCCUAUAAUCAUAAUUCAAUCUUUUUGCUAAGUUAUACUCUCAACUAAUACUGAAUUUCGACUCGCAAACCUCUAUAGGAACUCGUAGAAGAGAGGCUGUCGUUGGAACUAGCAAAAGAAAAGCAGGUCUUAACGGACGCAAUGCACGAGCCGCAGAAGAAGAGCGGCUCUAUUUCCGCUGCUGCAGUCGGUGCAUCUCUCGGAGCAGGCCUCGGGCUUGUAAUGGCUGUUGUUAUGGGAGCGGCUUCUGCCUUAAGAAAGCCGUGAAAAUUGCGUUGCGUUUCGACGUGAUCGGGUUUAUAAUAAUAAAUAAUUCACAACAAUGCCAGUUGAGGAAUGAGAAACAAAAAAAAAAAGGUUUAAAGAAGAAGAUUUUGCAGAAGGCACCAGAAAAAGUUGGGCAUUGCAAGACAGCACUUGUGUUUGGCAUGGAGCUGCAUAUAUGCUGUCCCUACAUCUCAUUUUCAUUAAUUAUUAUUAUAUUUGGUAAUUUUGAUAGGUUUCAUCACAUUACUGAUUAUACCACUACUUCUACCCAGUUUUUUUUUUUAAUAAUUUUUUCAUAUACUUUUGGGCAAGAAUAUCUUCUAGAGGUGGGUUAUGCUGGCAUGAUUUAUUAUUUUGUAUAUUCCUAGGCUUGUUUUGGUUGAGAUUGUUAUCUGUUAAUAUUCUUUAUCUUCUAGUUUUGCACUGUUUGGUUUGUAUUUGCUAUAUGUCAAUAUGAGUGUUUAAGGGAUGUUUAUUUUUAUUUUAUUGUAUUCUUUGGCUAUGAUGGAAUCAAAUAUCUGAGAUGUUGUGGUGCAAUUGUUAGGGAUUUAAGUGCCACCCCCAAACCAUUCUGUUUAAACUGAAUUACCAAACCAAGCUGAGCCAUUUCAAUGGAUUGGGCUUAGUUUUAUUUUCAAUUUGGUUUGGUUAGUUUAAACAAUUGAAACGUAGGCUUCGUUUGGUUCGGGUAUAAGCAAUAACUAGUUAUACCGGAGAUAGGUACAAAAAUGAAUUUUCGUAGGAACAAGGGUAUUUUUUUGUUUUGAUGAAAAUAUGAGUAUAAGCUGAAACUAGAAAAAUUAUGUUUGGAUAAAAAUCUAAGUAUAAGGUGGAAUAGUUGGUAGUUAUAGAUAGAAAAUAAUAAUUUUACCUCUAUAAUUGAAUUUAACAUUUUAAACUAAUAAUUUUAAAUUAAAAAUUUUAACUUUUAAAUUUUAAAAUUUGAAAUUAAAAUUAAAACUUAUAAUUUUCAAAAUUUAAAUUUUAAAUAUCAAAUUUUAAAUUUAAGAUCAAAUUUAAAUUUGAAAGAUAUAAAAUAUAAAAUUUUAAAUUUUAAAUCUAAAAAAUUAAAUUUAAAAGUUAAAAAUUACAAAUAUCAAAUUUAUAAUUUAAACAUUAAAAUUUAUAAUUUAAAAUUAUAAAUUUAAAUUUUAAAAGACUAAAUUAUAAAUUUUAGAAAUUAAAAUUAAAAUUAAAAAUCUCUCUCUAUCCGGGAGGAGUGUAACAAGUGUUCCACUCCUUGUUCCACCCCUUGGGGUGGAACAACAGGUUGGGGAUAACCCUCUUAUCCCCCCUCUUGUAUCCAUUCCAAACGGGGUGAAAAAGACCAAAUUGACUGAUUUUUAAUAAUUUAACUAAUAUAUGCUAGAAUACUAUUAAUAGCAUAAAGUCAUUGGUGCUAUAAAGUUUUCAGCCCUUGGUCGAAUCGAUGUACGUUAGGAUGAUAGUGGUCCUUUCGGGUUGAGUAAUUGGUUGGUUGAAUAAUAUAAUCUAACGGAUGAAAAUGGUCAAAGGGGUUGAUCUAAUGGCAGAAAACUUGAUAGUACAAGUAUUUGGUGCUAUUGAUAGCAUUGUAGCUGGACUAUAUAUAUAUAUAUAUAGCAGGAUUGCUGUGCUCUUAGGAGCAAGAAGGCCUUCGUGCUUCUGAGCCGUUUUCGAUGAUGAAAUUUUCAAAUCGAUGAUCGGCUCCGUUAAACUUGAUCUAACGUAUUUGAAGUUUUUAGAAAAUAUUUUUUGCGCUUUUUCGAUAUCAUUUAUCUAGCAAUCGACAAAGGACCAUUCAAAACUCAAUAAUUUUAACGGCUGAAAUAAAAAUCCUAUAAAAAAGGGUGAUAUAGCAUUAAAUUUUCGAUCAGAAAUAUUGAUCCUGUUGUAAAUAAUAUAAGGAAUUUUGUAUCAAAAUUUCAUCCUGAUUUGAAUACUUCUGCACCGUUAAACUUGAAAACGGCAGAUAUCAACCAUUAAAAAUUAUGGAUUUUGAAUCCUUUCGAUCAUUAGGUAAAUGAUAUAAAAAAUAUCCGCAAAAAUUAUUUCUAGAAACUUCAAUGCGCAGAUCAAGUCUAACGGAGCCGAUCGUCGAUUCGAAAAUUCCAUCAUCGAAAACGACAUCCGUGCUCCUGAGAGCACAACAGCCGUGCUCUCUCUCUCUCCUCUCUCUCUCUCUCUCCUAUAUAUAUAUAUAUAUAUAUAAUACACACACUAGCGUAUAGCGUGUAAAUGCACGUAAUAAAUAAAAUAUAAAUUCAAUUUAAAUUUGUAGAGAUUUGUUGUAUCAAAUUAUAGUUAUUAAUUAUUUAGUUGUUGUAAAUUAAAGUUAUUAGAUUUUGGUUAUAUAUAUAUUAUAUAUAUAUAUAUUAUAUAUAUAUAUAUAUAUAUAGGGUCCGGCUACUAUCCUAUUAAUAGGAUUGGGAUCCUUGUCCUAUCAAGUCGAUUUGAAUGAUCGGAACUUCAAAUUGAUAAUCGGCUCCGUUGAAGUUGAUCUACAUAAUUAGAAAUGUUUAGAAAUCAAAUUUUAUAAUAUUUAAAAAUCAUUAUCAAGUUCAUGACGUGGACUAAACAUUCUGCCUCGGAUUCAUGUGAAAAAAUAUAUAUAUAUAUAUUGCUAUUUAGCAGGAAAAAAAAUAUAGUAUAGUACAAUUUAUACUUGUGCAUAACAACUUUUCUGUAAAAUAGAUUUUUAAAAAAAAGUUAAUUUUGAUUUUCAAUGUUUGUAGUUUAGAAUUGGACUUUUUUACAAAAUAAUCAUCUAAAAUUUAAUAAUUUACGAAAUAAUCCUAUCAAAUUUGUAUUUGGCAAAUUAACUCUCAAAACGCGAUGAAUUAUUUAUCCCAUUCUGAAAGACUGUAGGGUCUUUUAAAGGCGGUGAAUGAUUCACCGCCUUCUUCAUAAUUUUUUGGAAAGGAGAAAAAAAAAAUGAGGUUGUUAAAAUUGUACGUAGAUUAUACGGAAAAUAAAAAAAACGAGGUUGUUAGAAUUGUGGCUGCUAGGAUUGUGUGUGGAAUAUUAGAAUUUUUGUUUGAUUGUUAGAAUUGUAUGGAUAGAUUAGUAAAUUUUUUUUUGAUUGUUAGGAUUAUAUGGAUAUAUUAUUAAGAUUUUCAAUUUCUUAAGAUUAUAUGUGAUAUUUGAUUAUUAAGAUUUUUUUGAUUGUUAGGAUUAUAUGAAUAGAUUAUUAUAAUUUUUCGGUUGUUAAGAUUAUAUAUGAUUUAUUGAAAUAUUUUUUUAGUUGUUAGGAUUAUAAAAAAAAACAAUAAACAAAUGAAAUGUGAAUAAUUCAUCGCUUUUCUGAGAAAUUAUGCUCUUUAUGGAAGCGCUAAAUCAUUCACCGUUUUUAAGAGAUUAAUUUUUUAAAUAUAAUUUUGGCAAGAUUAUUUCGUAAAUAAUAAAAUUUUAAAAAGUUAUUUUAUAAAAAAGCCCUUUAAAAUCUAUAUUUCUUUUUCAUAAAGCACGCAUUGGUCGUAGUUAAUUAAUAAUAGUAAUAUAUUGAAACGUGCAAGGCAGGAUCAAUUAUAUAGAAAUGCAUUAUAAUAUAUAUAUAUAUAUAUUGAUAUCAAAAAUUAAAUUUAAUUCAUAAUUUAAACUCUUAAUUUUAAUGUAAAAUAGAUGAAUAGGAAUGCUAUUUUUAACAAUUUGAUCAUAACCGUUUGUUUUUAUUUGAGAUAUUUUUUAAACAAAUUGAUUAUAAUCGUUCGUAGGAUUAAAUUUAUAGAUGGAUAGGAAUGCUAUUUUUUAAUAAAUUNNNNNNNNNNNNNNNNNNNNNNNNNNNNNNNNNNNNNNNNNNNNNNNNNNNNNNNNNNNNNNNNNNNNNNNNNNNNNNNNNNNNNNNNNNNNNNNNNNNNNNNNNNNNNNNNNNNNNNNNNNNNNNNNNNNNNNNNNNNNNNNNNNNNNNNNNNNNNNNNNNNNNNNNNNNNNNNNNNNNNNNNNNNNNNNNNNNNNNNNNNNNNNNNNNNNNNNNNNNNNNNNNNNNNNNNNNNNNNNNNNNNNNNNNNNNNNNNNNNNNNNNNNNNNNNNNNNNNNNNNNNNNNNNNNNNNNNNNNNNNNNNNNNNNNNNNNNNNNNNNNNNNNNNNNNNNNNNNNNNNNNNNNNNNNNNNNNNNNNNNNNNNNNNNNNNNNNNNNNNNNNNNNAUAUAUAUAUAUAUGGUCCGGCUACUAUCCUAUUAAUAGGAUUGGGACCCUUGUCCUAUCAAGUCGAUUUGAAUAAUCGGAACUUCAAAUUGAUAAUCGGUACCGUUGAAGUUGAUUUACACAAUUAGAAAUAUUUAGAAACCAAAUUUUGUAAUAUUUAAAAAUCAUUAUCAAGUUCAUGACGUGGACUAAACAUUCUGCCUCGGAUUCAUGUGAAAAAAUAUAUAUAUAUAUAUUGCUAUUUAGCAGGAAAAAAAAUAUAGUAUAGUACAAUUUAUACUUGUGCAUAACAACUUUUCUGUAAAAUAGAUUUUUUAAAAAAGUUAAUUUUGAUUUUCAAUUUUUGUAGUUUAGAAUAGGACUUUUUUACAAAAUAAUCACCUAACAUUUAAUAAUUUACGAAAUAACCCUAUCAAAUUUGUAUUUGGCAAAUUAAUUCUCAAAACGCGAUGAAUUAUUUACCGCAUUCUAAAAGACUGUAAGGUCUUUUAAAGGCAGUGAAUCAUUUACCAUCAUCUUUAUAAUUUUUUGGAAAAGAGAAAAAAAAAUGAGGUUGUUAAAAUUGUACGUAUUUGGCAAAUUAACUCUCAAAACGCGAUGAAUUAUUUACCGCAUUCUGAAAGACUGUAAGGUCUUUUAAAGGCAGUGAAUCAUUCACCGUCUUCUUUAUAAUUUUUUGGAAAAGAGAAAAAAAAAAUGAGGUUGUUAAAAUUGUACGUAGAUUAUACGGAAAAUAAAAUUUGUUUGGUUGUUAGAAUUGUAGGGAUAGAUUAGGUAAAUUUUUUUUGAUUGUUAGGAUUAUAUGGAUAUAUUAUUAAGAUUUUCAAUUUCUUAAGAUUAUAUGUGAUGUUUGAUUAUGAGGAUCUUUUUGAUUGUUAGGAUUAUAUGAAUGGAUUAUUAUAAUUUUUCGAUUGUUAAGAUUAUAUAUGAUUUGUUGAAAUAUUUCUGUAGUUGUUAGGAUUAUAAAAAGAAACAAUAAACAAGUGAAAGGUGAAUGAUUCAUCGCUUUUUUGAGAAAUUAUGCUUUUUAUGAAAGCAGUGAAUCAUUCACCGUUUUUAAGAGAUUAAAUUUUUAAAUAUAAUUUUGACAAGAUUAUUUCGUAAAUAAUAAAAUUUUAAAAAGUUAUUUUAUAAAAAGCCCUUUAAAAUCUAUAUUUCUUUUUCAUAAAGCACGCAUUGGUUUAGUUAAUAAUAGUAAUAUAUUGAAACGUGCAAGGCAGGAUCAAUUAUAUAGACAUGCAUUAUAAUAUAUAUAUAUANUCAAGAAUGAUUCAAAGUUGAAAAAUAAUUUACAUCUCUGUUAGCUCUCCUUUCCAAUUGCUUGAAGACAAAUAGAGGAUAUAGACAGUAUAGAUCGUGCAAAAAAAAAGAAGAUGAAUGAUUCAGUUGUUGAUCCCGUGCCCGCUUGCUUGAAGACUUAUAGAUUUUGAUUAUCCAUAUUUAUUUGCGAUGAAAAAGAGGAGAUAAAUGAUAUACGUUAAUGAGAUAUCUGAGCGGGAAUUAAUAUAAAGUCAAAGAGAUUGUAAAAUCAUUAUAUUACCAUCCAUCGUGCUCACCGCCAAACAAAAAAAAAAAAUCAAGAAUGAUUCAAAUUUGAAAAAUAACUUUCAUCUCUGUUAGCUCUCCUUUCCAAUUGCUUGAAGACAAAUAGAGGAUAUAGACAGGGACGAAGCCAUAAAUUAAGAUUACCGCGGUAGGAAAAAAAUUUGACCUCGAAUAGUAAGAUAAAAAAGUUUGUCAGAUUCAUUGAUCAGUUAUUACUAACAGCAAUAACGACAAUAUACACAGAGAGGAACAAGACUGUAAGAAUUGAAGGACAAGGACCAAAAAAUUCGAAAAAAAAUUGAGACAAAUUUUAUUAAAAAAAAUUAAUUUGGCCCCUAAAAUUAAAAUAUAUAACAUUUUAAUUUUUUUUAUAAAGAACUUUUAUGUAAUUUUAAAAAAUUGAGGGGGGGCCAUGGCCCCUCAAUGGCUCCGCCCCUGGAUAUAGACAGUAUAUAUCGUGCAAAAAAAAGAAGAUGAAUGAUUCAGUUGUUGAUCCCGAGCCCGCUUGCUUGAAGACUUAUAGAUUUUGAUUAUCCAUAUUUAUUUGCGAUGAAAAAGAGGAGAGAAAUGAUAUACGUUAAUGAGAUAUCUGAGCGGGAAUUAAUAUAGAAUCAAAGAGAUCGUAAAAUCGUUAUAUUACCAUCCAUCGUGCUCACUGCCAAACAAAAAAAAAAAAAUUCAAAAUUCAAAAACUAACUUACAUCUCCCCUUCCUAAUUGUUUGAAAACGAUAAAGAAUAUGGAUAGUAUAGAUCAUGCAAAAAGAAGAAAAUGAAUAAUUCGGCCGUUGAUCUUAUACCCACUUACUUGAAAAUGAAUAAAUUGAAGCAGAAUAGAUCUUUGAUUAUCCAUAUUUAUUUGUGAUGAAAGAGAGGAGAGAAACUAUAUACGUUAACGAAAAAUAUGAACGGAAAUUAAUGUAAAAGUGCGAAAAAAACUUAAUUUAUGGAUUUUAUACUCCCGUGUGUAUUUUAAUACUUAUUUGAAAAGAAAACUUAUUUGAAAAGAAAAGAUAUUUUAAAAUUAAAUGGGACAAUAAUUUGUAUUUUAAUACUUAUUUGAAAAGAAAAAAUAUUUUAAAAUUAAAUAGAGAAAUAAUUUGUAUUUUAAUACUCAUUUGAAAAGAAAAUAUAUUUUGAAAUUAAAUAGGAAAAUAAAAUUUUCCCACACGUUAUCUGUUAGUUAAAAAAUUAAAUUAAAGUAUUAAAUAGAAAAAUAAUUUUUUCCCACCCAUUAUCUGUUAGAGGAAAACUAAAUUAAAAGAAAUAAUUUGUAUUUUAGUACUUAUUUGAAAAAAAAAAUAUUUUAAAAUUAAAUAAGAAAAUAAUUUUUUCCACCCGUUAUCUGAUGGAGAAAAAAUUAAAUUAAAGUAUUAAAUAGGAAAAUAAUUGUUCUCCAUCCAUUAUCUGUUAGAGAAAAAAUUAAAUUAAAGUUUGUUUGUUACGUUUCACUCAUUAUGUAUUCAUUUUCAAUGUUCUUAUUCUUAUCCUUAUGUAUUUAUUACCAACGAUUUCUAUUUUUAUUUUUAUAUUUGGAAUUUUGAAAUGGGCCUGUCGAUAAACCGAAAUUUGAAAUACGUGUUUUUAUAUAUAGUAUAGAUAGAUAUAUAUAAUUAGGUCAGAAUACUUUUAAUAGUAUUUUUUCCCUUUUAUUAUUAAUCUUUGGAUGAAAAAUUAUUAGAUUGGGAUGAUAAAAAAAUACGAGUGAGACUACUAUGCUUCUGGAAGUACGGAGCCUUCCGUGCUUCUAGAUCGUUUUUGAUGUUGCGACUUUCGAAUCGUCGAUCGGCUCUGUUAAACUUGAUCUAGAGUAUUUGAAAUAUUUAGAAAAUAACUUUUGCAAUUUUUCAAUAUCAUUUGCCUAGAGAACUAAGGGGCUCAAAAUCAACGGCUGAAAAUAAAAAUCUUACAAAACGUGAUAAUAUGACGUUAAAAUUUUAGAUCAAAAAUAUUGAUUUUGUUUUAUAUAGUAUAAAGAAUUUUCUAUCAAAAUUUUACGUGAUUUGGAUAUUUCUACACCGUUAAACUUGCAAACGGCUCACCACGGCCAUUAAAAUUAUUGAUUUUCAGUCCCUUCGAUCAUUGGGCAAAUGAUAUCGAAAAAUCAUAAAAUUUAUUUUCUAAGUACUUCAAAUACUCUAGAUCAAGUUUAACGGAGCCGAUCGACGAUUCGAAAGUCGCAACAUUGAAAACGACCUAGAAGCACGGAAGGCUCCGUGCUUCCAGAAGCAUAGUAGCCUCACUCAAAAAAUACUCCAUACAUAUCCAAAAAAUACAAAAUAAUUAACUGACUCCAACUCCAAACAUAUUAUGUUUGGAGAAUAGCAUGCUUUAAAAUUAGAUCUAUCAAAUCAACAAUUGUUUAAAUUCAAAUAAUAAAUUCAAAAUAUGAGUUUGAUUCAUAAAUUUAAAUUUUAUUUUAAAUCUUAAAAUUAAUUCGAAUUUUUAUAUUUUGGGUGUACAUUAAAAAAAUUGUAUGUCAUAGAACACAUAAAAAAUAGUUAAGUUGUAAAUAUUAUCUUGCUACACAUUCUCAUUAUUUUUAAUUGGUCCAAAAAUUUAGGAUACCUGUCGAAUUCCAAAUGUAAAACUUUGUAAAAAUAAAUUUAGUUAUACCUAAUGCGUACAAUCAUGAAAAUUGUAUAAAAUUAUUUCAAUAUAAACUAUAAUUUUGACUAUAUUAGCAAAAUAAGAAGUCUCUUUUCGCUAUUUUUUUUAUCUGUCUUUUGAGCUUUAAAUUAGAUAGAUAGAUAUUGAGACAUAGAACAAUGUGACAUAUCAAACUCAUUUUUAGUAAAGUUUUAUAAUUAUUUAAUUCACCGAUUAUUUCAAAAUUUCGGACUUAUAUAAAGUAACAGCGUCCCUAAUUUUUAAUAUGGAAAAACUUCAAAUAGCGCUCGCUCGUGUGGUUUUACAUUUUCUUACUUUGGUACUCUGUGGUUUAAAGUGUAUCAAUUUAGUACCUGUAGUUUCAUUUUUCUCCUUUUAUUAUUUCUUUUACUAAUUUUUUUCGUUAAAUCAGUGACAAAGUUAAAACUAAAAGGUACUAAAGUAAAUAUUCGAUAAAUCUAGGUGAGGUAUCUGAAGUUUUCUGUAUAUAAUUUAACGAAAUAUAAUGGAGGAGCUGGCGAAAAGAAAAAAAAUGAAACCACAGGGUACUAAAUUGAUACACUUUAAAUUACAUGGUAUUAAAAUGAGAAAGUGUGGAACCACAGGAGUGGUAUGUGAAGUUUGUCCUAAUAUGCAUUAUAGGUCUAUAAUUGGAAUGCGGUAAAGCGUAAGGGGGUUUUUGUAAUUUAGCCGAAGAGAGAGAGAGAGAGAGAGAGAGAGAGAGAGAGGAGGAACUGUGACGAAACCAGGACCCUAUUGACCCGGUGGCCGAACCGCCGACCGGUGACCCAGCUCCUAUCCGAGUCAACAUCCGGUCCGGUUCGACCGACUCGUUUCCCCCGCACCCCCCAUUGCGUUUCCCCUCGCGUUUCCCCUCCUCCUCCGACUCAUCAUCGCCUUCGCUUCGCAAUUGCGAAUCUGCUCCUCCACACUGCGUCUCCUCUCAGUCGACUUCUUCUUCCUCCUCCCUCCUCCGAUGAUCCCCCCAAAACCCUAACCCUAACCCGAGGUGCUGCUUCCUCCAUCUCCCAUGGCGGCGCCGAGCUCCUCCUCGUCGUCGUCUUCGGAGGCGGCGGUGGAGGGCCUGUGGGCCCUCGCGGAGGAGCUCGAGCUCCGCCGCGACUACGGCGGCGCUGCCCGGUGCCUGGAGGCCGUGCUCCAGAGCUCCUCCUCCGGCGGCGGCGGCGGCGGCGGCGGCGUCUCCCUGCUCCCCCUCUCGGAGAUCCGCACCCGCCUCCGCCUCGCCUCCCUCCUCCUCUCCCGCUCCCACAACCUCCACCACGCGAAGUCCCACCUCGAGCGCGCGCUCCUCCUCCUCUCCCCGCUCCCCUCCCCGCNNNNNNNNNCCCCCGCCCCUCCUCCCCCUCAAGCUCCUCGCCCACUCCCUCCUCUCCCGCACCUACCACCUCCUCGGCUCCUUCCCCUCCCAGCGCGCCCUCCUCCUCCGCGCCCUCCACCUCCUCCGCCACUCCCCCUCCUUCCCCGCCCCCGAAUCCCUCCUCUGGACCUGCAACUUCCACGCCCAGCUAGCCUCCGCGCUCGCCGUCGACGCCGACUACCCCGGCGCCCUCUCCUCCCUCGCCACCGGCUCCGCCGCCGCCGCCGACCUCCGCCGCGGAGACCUGCAGCUCUUCUUCGCCGCCUCCGCCCUCCACGUCCGCCUCCUCCACUGGGACGACUCCGACGCCGUCGCCGACGCCGCCCGCCGCUGCGCCGACCUCUGGGACGCCUUCCCCUUCGACCAGGUCUCUAAAUUCUGCCCCCUUGGCUGUUCUCUAAUCUUUUUAGCCUCUACACUUUUGCUCACUGUACAUUUUAGAGUGAUCAGAGAGAUAACAAAAAAACAGAUCAAAGUACAUAUAAGAAUACAUGCCACAAAAUGAUGGACGUGGGAAUUGAACUCGGGGACUCGUGGAAUGGAGGGGGCUGAGGAGCGGCUCUGAUACCGUGUAACCCAAAAAAUUAGUCUAGUAGGAUACAGCUUAGGUAUACUUUUAACACAAAUCCUAAGCUCCCGCCAUCUUGUGAGGUCGUGGGUUCGUUCUUCAGUAUUCAAUAUGAUUGCUUUACUCAUAUAUGUUAUGAAUAAAGUUGUGAUAUAAUUUUAUAGCCGCUUUAAAUUAGUUUAAGAUGAGACUUUGAGAAGUUGGAUAUGAGAGUUCUUCUAUAAAAUUUCAUAUCGAGCGUGUAUAUCAUUCGAACCUAAGUACUUGGGUUAGAAAGAUCACCUAAGUUGUGUAGUGGCAACACAAUAGAUUAAAUUCUGGCAUUAUAUUUUGAUGGGUUGAAAAUCCUAUCUUUUACCUCAUACGUCAAUUUCUCGCACCUUUCAUAUUUGUCAUGCAUGUGAACAGAGGUGUCAAAUAUAUUUCCAGGCUAUUUCCUAUCAAAGCGUUUUUUAUGGGUAACCUACACAACACCGGCUUCGUGCUUUGAUCUAAUUUGCUGAUUAUGUACUUCAGAGAGAGCAUUGCCCCGGCUUGUUUUUCUACACCGAGAUGUUGCAGGCCUUCUACCUGCUGAGGAUUUGCGAUUACAAGACUGCAUCACUGCAUGUAGAGAAGCUGGACACUGCCAUGAAGAAUGAAAUGCAUAAGCUUCGGCAGCUUAAGGAGAUGAGCUCUGAUGGGUGGGAUUCAAAUGAUGAUGAUAAGUUGGUAUUGGCGCCUCCGCCGAUGGAUGGCGAGUGGCUUCCGAGGAAUGCGGUGUUUGCUCUGGUGGAUCUUAUGGUGCUCAUGGUGGGGCGACCUAAAGGGAUCUUUAAGGAGUGCGGGAAGCGGAUUCAAUCCGGGUUGCGAUUGAUCCAUGGUAUGCUCAUGAAUUUUUUGUCGAAACAUUAUCCUAGCUUAUCUGUCGUUGAAUUUUUUAUUGUCAAUAUACUUGCAAUGGCUAAAGUUAACUUAUUCAAUUGAUAUCUCUCAUUGUCCUUGGAUUGUCCUGCUCGUCUUUGCUCAGAAGCUCUUCUUUGGAAUGAUAAUAUAUUCUAGUUCAGUAGCAAUUGGAAUAACGGGAGACUUUGCCCAUCAUUUUACUAGGUUUUUUGCUGUAAGCUUUCAUUGCAUAAUUGAUGUUUUCUGCUGUCGAGCAUUGGGAAAUUGGUGCUCUUUCACAUGUCAAUUUAGAAGUUCCUGUGCAAAUUAUAACAUCUGUUGCUUAUCUAUCUCUUACAUUUUUUGCAGAGGAACUUGGAAAACUUGGAAUCCAGGAUAGGGUAGCAGGUAAGCAUUUCGGACAGUUUCACUGUGUGAGUUGCUAAGUUGGAUAGAUACUAUAACUUUGGCCCUCCAAAGAAUGGAAUCUUAUUUCUUUUGGCUGCGUUUGGUUCGGGUAUAAGUAAGAAUUGCUUAUUUCUAGGGAUAGAUAUAAGUUCAGGUAUAAAUAGGAACUAGACCAAUUUUGCAUUUGGAUGAAAAUUGGGUUGUUUCUAGAAAUAAGCUAAAUAGUGUUUGCAUGGUUAGAUGGAACAAAGGGAAUAAGACUUAUAAUUUUAAAUUAAAAUUAUUUUAUCUAAUUAAUUAACGUCAAAAUAUUAUUUAAAAAUUAUUUAAUAAAUUAAUAAAUUUAUUAGCUAUGAAUAUUGUAUAAAAUAAUAAAAAUAUAUUAAUUAAUUAAAUAUAAAAAAUAAUUUAAUUUUUUAAUUAGUUAGUAAAUUAUUUUAGCUAGAAAACUAGUAAAAAAAUUAAUUAGAUUAAUAGAAAUAUUAAUGGUUGAUCAAUAUAAAUAUUAGUUUAUGAAAAAAUACAUUAAAUUAUCAAUAAUUAAAUAUAAAUAAUAAAUUAAUUAAUUAUUUUAUUAUUUAAGCCAUAAAUAAUAAUUUAAAUAUAUUAAUUAGAUUAAUUAAUUAUUUACUACCAUAAUUAAAAUUAUUUUUAGAUUGAAAUUAACCUUGUUCCCACCUGGGAACAAGCUUGUUCCAGGAAAAAGGGUGGAACAGCAGUUUCAGCCUUAUACCAGCUUAUUCCAGAAACUCGAGAAAUACUGUUUUCGGGUACCAAACGCAGCGUUUGGGAACAAAGGGGGGUAACAAGGGCGUAUUCCCCCCUGUUCCCGAACCAAACGCUGCCUUUGAGGCUCUGCAAUAUUAUACUGGUUAGAUAGUAAAUUAUUAUCUAUUUUAUUUUGAUCUGCAUUUAUAUCCCUGCAUGCUUAACUAAAUAUUGUUGGACGAAUUAGUAUCAGUGGGUACAAAUGUUUUUUAAAGAGUGGCAAUUUAUUUCAAUUUAUUCAUUGAAUGGCAUGUGUGAAAAUAUAGAUUUUGCUGUGCAUUUGUGUAAAUAGAUAAUUAGUGGGGAUAUAUUUGUCAAAAUUUCUAUUUUUUCAAGUUUACUCUGUUUUUUUCUUCUUUUGGUCAUGUCAGUCUGCUUUUUUGAUCAUUGAUCACGAGUGAUUACCACAUGCUCUGCAGAGGUAGAUUUGCAACACUCUACUAUCUGGAUGGCUGGAUUGUACUUGAUGCUUCUAGUUCAGUUUCUUGAAAACAAAGUCUCAAUAGAACUUACACGGUGUGAGUUUGUUGAAGCUCAAGAGGUAAAUUUUUCUGAAACAUCAUUAGUCAAGUUUAUGUAGAGUAUUUCUUUGCUUUUCUCUUAAAACAUAAUUGAUAACUAUUUUCUGAGAAUUGUUAUAAAAUAACUACAAUGAGGUCUUAGAUACUUCCAUUCCAAAAGAUAUUUAAUCGACUAUAGAAUAAACAUUGAUGCGAUAUUUAACAAUAUGCUGAACUGUGAUUGAACUAGAGCAAUGCUCUUAUUAACAUGCUUCUUUAUGUGUGGAAAUUCUUAGGAACGGCAACAAUAACUACAAACAUUAGUCUGAACUAGCGGGUUCUUUAAAUGAUCCCUUUUCUAUAUUCAGCUUUGAAUGUCAAAACUCUGUUUUUAAAGCUUAUCGCUUAUGUGGCAUGAUUGUUUUACCUUGCUAUUUUAUAGGGGUUAGUAGAGAUGAAAAGAUGGUUUGUUCGUUUUCCGACUAUUCUGCAAGGGUGUGAAAGCACAAUUGAGAUGCUUAGAGGACAAUAUGCUCAUUCUGUUGGUUGCUUCCAAGAGGCUGCUUUCCAUUUCAUUGAAGCUACUAAGGUCUGUAUUAUCAUUUUUAAUUUCUUGCUCCUAAAAUUUCUUCUUUUUUUUUUUUUUUUUUGUCGGUGCCACAAAUGAAAACUGAGAUCAUUGGCUGACCUUCUGCUCUAACUAGAAUAUGCUAGUGAUUUCAGCUGACCGAGAGCAAAUCGAUGCAAUCUAUGUGCCAAGUAUAUGCAGCUGUCUCUUACUUAUGUUUGGGUGAUGCAGAAUCUUCUUCAGAGGUGAAGUCAGUACUUGGGAUAAUAAAAAUAAAAAUAUAAAUAAACCCUUGUAAAGUUGUCUAUUUACACGUCCCUGCAAAAUCUGGAUUUGCAUAUAUGUACUUCAAUACUUAAUUCUUUUAUAAAUAGGUCCUUGCACUUAAAAAAAGGCCCUGUUAAAAAACUUUUUCGAUUACGAAGCUAAUUUCUUCCCAGAAUUGGGGGACAACCAAUUUAUAAAAAUAUUUUCUAAUGAAUAAAGUGCACUUUUGAGGGUUUACAAGGGUGUGUGUGUGUAUAUAUAUAUUCCAGCUACUAUGCUAUCAAUACCACCAAGUGCUUGGUGCUAUCUAGUUUUCCGCCGUUAGAUCUACCCUAUAUAUAUAUAUAUAUAUAUAUAUUCCAGCUACUAUGCUAUCAAUACCACCAAGUGCUCGGUGCUAUUUAGUUUUCCGCCGUUAGAUCUACCCUUUUGACUAUUUCCAUCCGUUUGAUCAUACUAUUCAACCAACCACCUAUUCAAUCCUAGGAGACCACUGUCAUCCUAACCGCUUAUCCCUUCAUCCAAGGGCCGAAAACCUAAUUGCACCAAUGACUUGGUGCUAUUAAUAGUAUAGUAGCCUAGUUCUAUAUAUAUAUAUAUAUAUAUAUAUAUAUAUAUAUAUAUAUGAUUUUAUGGAGAUAUAUAUGCAAAAGCUCCAGGAUACAAUUUAUAUUGAUUUCUGGUGGUUCUUUACCAAUCUCUGCUGUUCAUCAUCCAGCUUACAAGUACCUAUUGUCUGGGCAUUUAUGUCUUUGUAGGCGCUAGAUUUAAUUGGACCGGUUUACAGAGUCAUGGAUUCCUUUGUUGGAGUGCGAGAGAAGACAUGCAUCAUUUUUGUUUAUGGACUUCUAUUAAUGAGACAGCAUAAUUUGCAAGAAGCAAGGUAGGCAUCAGAUAGAUUUAGAUGUUCAUUAAGUCAUAUUUUCAUACAAAACUAAAAAUGAUUGUUUUACUAUAUUAACUUUGUUAUUCUUCACAACCCGAAAUAUAUCUGGUUAUAAUGUAUCUUAGUUAUAGUUGGACUUUGGUUGGUUAAACAAUGAAUAUAAUUCAUUUUAGUUUCUGUUUAGCCGUUUUAAGCAUAUUAUGCUACAACAUGAUGCAGGACUCGCCUUGCCAGUGGCUUGAAAAUAGCCUAUCAACAACUGGGUAAUAUUCAACUUGUUUCUCAGUACCUAACAAUUCUUGGAACACUAGCUCUUCAACUGCAUGACACUGGACAAGCUAGAGAGAUAUUAAAAUCAUCCUUGACAUUGGCAAAGACACUUUAUGACAUUCCAACUCAAAUUUGGGUUCUAUCAAUUCUUACAGGUUUGCCUUUUUCUCUGUAAGCCUUCUCUGGCUCAUCCUGGUUGCCAAGAAAGUUGAUAUUCUGCCUUUUCUUUUUCCCCUCUAGCUUUGUGAUUGUCAUUAUUGUAUGUAAUGGUUGUGAUUAUUUUUAUAUGUCUUCAACUGGCAGGUCAUUAUAUAUAUAUAUAGGGUCCGGCUACUAUACUAUUAUGAGGACGAUCGCUCUCGUACUCAUAAAUUGUUUUCGAUGAUAGAGCUUCCGAAUCGACGAUCCAUACCGUUAAACGUUAUUUACAGCAUUUAAAACUUCUAGAAAUCAAAUUUUAUAAUUUUUCGACAUCAUUUACCUUACAAUCAAGAGGUCACAAAUUUGACAAUUUUUAAUGGCCGGUAUGGGAUACUUGCUAAUUUAACGGUGUAAAAGAAUCGGAAUUUGUUGAAUUUUUGAUAGAAAAUUNAUAUAUAUAUAUAUAGCUCCUAGGCUCUCGAAAGUACAGAGGCCUCCGUGCUUGUAAGUUGUUUUUGAUGAUGGGGCAUCCGAUUCGGCGAUCAGCUCCGUUAAACAUGAUCUACAUUAUUGAAACUAUUUAGAAACCAAAUUUCAUAAUUUUUUAACUUCAUUUGCCUAGUGAACGACUAGGCUCAAAAUGAACGGCUGAAAAUAAAAAUCUCACAAAAAAUAGUGUUAAAAGACUCAAAUUUCAAAUCGGAAGUAUUGUCCUUACUCUUGAUUUUAACUAGAAUUUUCUAUUAAAGUUUCAUGUAAUUUAUAUUCUUCUGCACCGUUGAACUUUAAAAUGCACCACAUCGACCGUUAAAAUAGUCAUUUUUUAGACUUUUUGAUCACUUGGUAAAUGAUGUCAAAAAAUUAUGAAAUUUGGUUUCUAAAUAGUUCUAAUAGCGUAGAUCAUGCCUAACUGAACCGAUCGCCAAAUCGGAUGCUUCAUCAUCAAAAACAACUUAUAAACAUGGAAGGCUCCAUACUUUCGAAAGUAUAGGAGACAUACUAUAUAUAUAUAUAUAUAUAUAUAUAUAUAUAUAUAUGAAUUGAGCUCCUAUACUUUUAGAAGUAGCAAGUCAUUGAUGCUUGUAAGUUUUUAGCCCUUGGAUUAAUAGAUGUGCGGUUAGGAUGAUGUGGGCCCCCCUUGGGUUGAAUGGGUGGUUGGUUGAAUAGUAUAAUCUAACGGGCGAAAAUGAUCAAAGGCGUAGAUCUAACAGUAAAAAAUUCACAAGCACCAAAUGCUUGGUGCUUUUACAAGCACCAUAGCCGGACUCAUAUAUAUAUAUAUAUAUAUAUAUAGAGUUGUGCUCCUAUACUAUCAAUAGUAUAGGGACUCUUAUACUAUAGUGUUUUAAACCAUUAGAUCGGCUUUGAGAUUCGUGCACAGAUUUGAAGUUUUAAAUGAGAUGAGGAGGGAUGGAGCAACUUAACACCGUUAACAAAUUAAUAAAUAAAAUAGGAGAGAGAAUCCCAUUUCAUAAUUCAUACCACUCUCUCUCUCUCUCUCUCUCUCUCUCGAAAUCCCAACCUGAAACCUCUCUUUUUUCUUUCUCUCUCUCUCCACCCCAACAUCUCUCUCUCUCUUUCUUUCCCAUUUCUCCCAGAGGAACUCAUCUCCCACCAUCUCGAGCUCUCCCUCCCUCACCCCGCUCCUUCCCCCCGCCCCCACCUGCCGGCCCCACACGCCGGCGCAGCUCGUGGACGCUCCAACCCUAGACGCGUGCGACACUGCUCCGCAAAGCCCUCCAAACCCACCUGCGGACAUUGCCUGGACGCCGCGGCGACGUUGCUCCCCGACACCCUCCAAAUCCAAGGGCACCUCAUGCUCGAUAAAUAUGACUUGCAUAGUAACAACCACCUUCAAUUAUUAUGGAAUACUCGGCAUCAAUGGGCUCCUGUAUUUUUGAGGGACACUUUUUAAUACUCGGCAUCAAUGGGCUCCUGGAAUACUCGGCAUCAAUGUCAUAUUUCCUAUCAACCAUUUAAUAUAAAAAAAAAAGAGAGAGAGAGAUGUUGGGGUGGAGAGAGAGAGAAAGAGAAAGAGAGGUUUCAGGUUGGGAUUUCGAUCGAGAGAUAGAGAGAGAGAGAGAGAGAGAGAGAGAGUGGUAUGAAUUAUGAAAUGGGAUUCUCUCUCCUAUUUUAUUUAUUAAUUUGUUAACGGUGUUAAGUUGCUCCAUCCCUCAUCUCAUUUAAAACUUCAAAUCUGUGCACGAAUCUCAAAGCCGAUCCAAUGGUUUAAAACACUAUAGUAUAAGAGUCCCUAUACUAUUGAUAGUAUAGGAGCACAACUCUAUAUAUAUAUAUAUAUAGUCUGGUUGGGGUGCUUCUAAUAGCACCAAGCACUUGGUGCUACCGAGUUUUUGGUGGUUAGAUUUACCCCUUGGACCAUUUCUGUCCGUUAGAUCAUACAAUUCAACCAACGAUCCACUCAACCCUAGGGGACCACUAUCAUCCUAACCAAAUUUCCCUUCAUCCAAACUUAAUAACACCAAUGACUUGGUGCUAUUGGAACUACAAGGAUUUAAGUGCCAUGGCACGGGGUCGUGCUGUAAAUUUGCUGGCACGGUAUGACAUGGUGUGUGCCAGACAGUGCCGAUAUGUGCCGGUCACAAAAAGUACAUGUGUGCUGACAUAUAAUGGCAUGAAAUAUUUAUUUUCUUUUGCAACAAGAUACUCUAAUUGCUUAUUAUGUAUCUGUACUUUUGAAUUUUAUUAGGAAAAUUAUUGAUUAAUUUAAAGAAUAUAGAAUUUUAAAUUGUGCCAUCGGUAUGGGGCUAUAUUGUGCCGAUAUCUAAUGCACGAUACAAUAUGGUGGAUACGACCUGUCCCGAUGGGCGCAUAAAUCUUUGAUUGGAAGAUAUAUUAUAAGGUUUAAAGUACCAUGGUACGGGGGCGUGCCGCUGUUUGUUUGGCACGGUAUGGCACCAGCAUGCUUCCGUGCCGACACAUGGUAUGCUUGCGCACCGAUGGAUACACAUGACUAAGGAUUUAAGUGCCGUAGUAUGGGGUUGUGCCGGAAACUUGCCGGCAUGAUACGACAUGGUGGGUGCCGAACCAUACUGAUGUGUGCCGGUCAAAAAAAUAUAUUUGUCGACACGUAAUGGUAUGAAAUAUUUAUUUUCUUUAACAACAAAAUAUGAAAAUUAUUUAUUAUGUAUUUUUAUCAAAUCUUUUGCACUUUGUUGAGAAAAUUACUUACUAAUUAUAAGAAUAGAGGGUUUUGAGUUGUGCCAUCGGCACGGGAGCUGUAUUGUGCAGAUAUCUUGUUGGCAUAAUAUGGCACGGUAGAUACGGCUCGUGUCGAUGGACACUUUAAUCUUUGCGCAUGACCUUUUGCUGGCACGCUUUGGCACGGACUUAUUUUAGUUUUUUUGGUUCCAAUAAGCUCUUAUAAUAUUAUUUUAAAAGAUUUAAUCAAAUAAUUAUGAAUAUUUGCCUUGUAUAGCUUACUAUACUCAUCAAUUGAUAUAUUUGUAAGCUUUAUUGUAUGUAAAAUAUAACUAUAUCUGAUGCAGAAUAGAAAUUUUUACAGGUUAGAAUUUUUAAAAUGUAAAGACAUCUUCUUUUUUUUUCUUUCUUUUGACCAUAUUAGUUUUUCUUUUAUAAAAUACAAAAUUUUUUUUAAAAUAAUUUUAAAAAUUAUUUGAAAAAAAUUAUUUUAAAAAGUAUUUGAAUAAAAUAUUUUUUAAAUAAUUUUUUCAAAAAAUUAUUAGAUCUAUCAAAAAAAUUAAGUAAUAAAUUAUAUGACAAAUAAAUUAAAUAAAUUUAACUAUCAAUUGAUUUAAUUUAGCUUUUAAUUUUAUCAGUAUUUUCAAUCUUCUAAUGCAAAAAAAAAAUUUUAUAUUUGAUGUGCCUCAAAAUUUGUUUAUUGAGUUUGAUUUUGUUCCCCUAAUUCGUCAAAAGUUUUGCGGUGCGACAAAUUUUGAUAAAAUAAUUUGUGAAGAAAAAAUAAAUGUCUGUUGUGGAAGCGAAGGGCUCGGGCCGAUAGGCUACCAUACUAUUAAUAGUAGUGAAUCCUUGGUGCUAUUAGGUUUUCGGCUCUUGGAUGAAGAGAUGUGCGAAUAGGAUGAUAGUGGUUCCUUAGGGUUGAGUGGGUGGUUGGUUGAAUUGUAUGGUCUAACAGGUGGAAAUGGUCAAAGGGGUAGAUCUAACGGUGAAAAACUUGAUAGCACCAUGCGCUUGGUAUUAUCAAUAGUACAAUAGCCGGACUCUCUCUUUCUCUCUCUCUAUAUAUAAUCCAACUACUAUCCUUUUAGAAAGACGAAGGCUUUCGUUCUAUCAAGUCGUUUUAGAUGAUAGGGAUUUCGAAUUGAUGAUCGGAAGUUGAUCUAGAGUCUAGAAACCAAAUUUCAUAAAUUUUAAAAAUUAUUUACAUAGUGAUCUAUGAAGCACAAAUACUUCAAAUUUUAUGCCGUAUUUAGAUACAUAUCGGUUAUCGAUACUUGCUCGAAAUGUGUCCGAUACGGGAAUAAAGUAUCCGGCAUUUUUAAAAAAUAAAAAAAAUAUCGGAUACGGUUCGGAUACGUGGGACACCGGGGGGAUACAGCCAGGUUUUUUUUUGGUCUAAAAUGAUCGGAACUCAAAAUUUUUCGAGAAGCCCACAUUCGAACCCAUUGAAAAUAAGAAAAAGAGAGAGAAAAAUGUCAAUCACUUUUCAAUUUGUCAUUUCUUCUAUCUUUUUGCUUUUGAAUGAUUGAAGGCGCUCUCUCUCGUUCUAUCUCCACACAGUAUUAAGCUAUGGUUUAGUCCUUUACCAUUUCUUUUUUACUUUUUUUUCAUCUAAUUUGUCAACUAGCACUAAUCAACAAAGGCCAUAGAGAAUGAUUUUUUUUUCUUCUGUUAAAUUAAAUAGACUUAUAUGUUGAAUAGCUAAUUUUCUAGUUUGUGCGACUAAAUAUUUAUUGUUAUUAUUUAAUCAAGUUGGAUGACAGUUGGUUAAUACUUUUGAAUUAUUAUUACAUAUGAUUGAUUAUAUUUUUUUAUGAACAUACGUAGAACAAUUAUAUAAGUUAAUAUAUAUCAAAAUAUAUUUCUUAUUAUAAUCCUGAUAUCCUGAUUUAUCUUAAUAUAUCAUUACAUAUAAUCAACAUAUAUUUAAAUAUAUUUAAAAUAAUAUUUUAUUCAAGUAUACUCCGCGUAUUGUAUCCUAAAAGUUUUAGAAAUUGCCGUAUCACCGUAUCCGUAUCGUGUAGUAUUCGUAUCCCCGUAUUUGUAUCUGUGCAACAUAGGUAGUAAUUAAAGGUUCACAAAAUCGAUAGUUUUUGACGGCCUAUUUGAGCCAUGCUUGUUUAACGGUGUAGGGUAAUCUAAACUGCUUGAAUUUUUGAUAGAAAAUUCUUUAUAUUAUUUAGAUAACGUUUAAUAAUUUCAAUCAUGAUUUGAGAAAAUCCCACCUCUAUUUUAACAUGGUUAUUCCUUUUUGACCGUUCACUUUUCGACUUUUCGAUGGAUUUGAUAAUGAUUUUAAAAAAAAUUAUAUUACUCGGUUUCUAAAUAUUUCUACUAGUGUAGAUCAAUUUUAACGGUGCCGAUCAUUGAUUCGGAAUUCCAAUCAUCCAAAAUGACUUGAUAGGACAAAGGCUUUCUAUCCUCUUAUGAGGAUGGUAGCUGGACUCUCUCUUUCUCUCUCUCUCUCUCUCUCUCUCUCUCUAUAUAUAUAUAUAUAUAUAUACAUAGAACUAGGUUAUACUAUUAAUAGCAGCAAGCCAUUGGUGUUGUUAGGUUUUCGGCCCUUUGAUGGAGGGAUGUGUGGUUAGGAUGAUACUGGUCCCUUUAGGGUUGAGUGGGUGAUUGGUUGAAUAGUAUAAUAUAACGAGUGAAAAUGGUCAAUGGGGUAGAUCUAACGACGGAAAACUUGGUAGCGCCAGGUGCUUGGUGCUAUUGGUAGCACCUAUAUAUAUAUAUAGAGUUGAGCUAGAAUACUAUUGGUAGAAAACUGGGUCCAUUGCUACCAAUUUGUGUUCGAUAAUGGAGCUUCCGAAUCGACGAUCGACACCGUUGAACAUGACUUAAACCAUUAGAUGUAUCUAGAAAUCAAAUUUCAUAUUUUUUUUGAUAUUGUCCUCUUGUGCAUCAAGUGGAUACAAAAUGAAUGGCUAAAAAUAAAUAUCCUUCAAAAAGUGUUGAUAGGAUUCUUGUAAUAGAGAUCAAGAGUAUAGAUCAUGGAUUUAAGUGCCGUGCUACGGGGUCGUGCCGAAAAUUUGCCGGCGUGGUACGACACGGUAUAUGCCGGGCCGUGCCAAUGCGUGCCGGUCACAAAAAAUAUAUGUGCCGACACAUAAUGGCUUGAAAUAUUUAUUUUCUUUAGCAAUAAAAUAUUCUAACGGUUUAUUAUGCAUCUUUAUCAAAUCUUUUGAACUUUAUUGAGAAAAUUACUUACUAAUUUGAAAAAUAGAGGGUUUUGAGCUAUGCUAUUGGCACUGGGGCUGUAUCGUGUCGAUAUAUUGUUGGCACGAUAUGGCAUGAUAGAUACGGCCUGCGCCGAUGGGCACUUAUAUCCGUGGUAUAAAUUUUAUUUAAAAUAGUGUAACGAAUUUUCUAACCAAAACUCAAUUGAUUUAGUCUCUUUACAUCGUUAAACGAGCGAACACCAACUAUCAAAAUUACAAUUUUUGCAAUCCUUUGAUCAUUAGAUUAAUGAUGUCGAAAAGAUUUGAAAUUUAAUUUCUAAAUACUUCAAGUUGUAUAGAUCAUGUCCAAUGGUGUCGAUCGUCGAUGUGGAGUCUAAUUGAAAAAAAAUCGGUAGCAACAGAGCCCAUUUGCUAUUAAUAGUAUCCUCGCCCAACUCUCUCUCCCUUUGUCUCUCUCUCUCUCUAUAGUCCAGCGGAAUACUAUUGAUAGUAGAUGAAUAAUGUUUACUAUGAACUUUUUAGCUAUUGGAUCAAUAAUAGUACCUCCACCAAAUAGUAAACUCUAGGUAUCUAAGGGAUAAAAAGUAAAUAUCAAACAGUAUUUCUCUACUAUCAAUAGUAUUGUAGCCCCACUAUCAAUAGAGAGAGAGAGAGAGAGAGAGAGAGAGCAGGACUGUUGUGCUCUUAGGAGCACAGAGGCCUCCAUGCUCCUGAGCCGUUUUCGAUGAUGGAAUUUCUGAAUCGACAAUCAGCUCCAUUAGACUUGAUCUAGCGUAUUUGAAGUUUAUAGAAAAUAAUUUUUGCGGUUUUUUUAUAUCAUUUACCUAGUUUUUUUAUAUCAUUACCUAGUGAUCGAAAGGGUUCAAAAUCAAUAAUUUUUAAUGGUUGAUGUAUGCCGUUUUCAAGUAUAAUGGUGUAAAAGUAUUCAAAUCAAAUGAAAUUUUGUUACAAAAUUCUUUAUACUAUCUACAACAAGAUCAAUAUUAUAUAACGGCGUCAAUUCAGAAAUUCCACCAUCGAAAAUGGCUUAGGAGCACGGAGGCCUUCGUGCUCCUAAGAGUGUAGCAGCCCUGCUCUCUCUCUCUCUCUCUCUCUCUCUCUCUCAUAUAUAUUAUAUGUCCUGUGAAAUGGACACUGAUUUUCUCUACUACUUUCACGAAUAUAAAUUUUCUUAUAUAACCCUUCAUAACUUAGUAUAUAGAUGGGUCCUUUUUACUUGUGAAAGUUCACACUCUUAAAAAAGCUUUUUGUUAAAAAAAAAAAAACUAACUAAACCCAUGAAUUGGAUUAUUUCCGCACGAAAUAUAGGGCAUAUAUAUAUAUAUAUAUAUAUAUAUAUAUAUGUAUGUAUAUGUAUCCCUGUUAAAUGAACACUUUGGUUUUUCUUUACUAGUUUCAUGAAUGUAAAUGUUCCUAUAGACCCUGCAUAACUUACAUAUGCCCUUUUUACUUGCCAAAGUUUUUGUUUCUAAAAAGCUUUUUGUAUUUUUUUUUUUCUUUUUUAAACACUAGCUUAACACAUGAAUUAGAUUAUUUUGCAACUUUAGGGCAUUUUUUAAGGAAUUGCACUUUGCCUGGUUAUGUACACAAUUCAUACUUGAGAGGAGCAAGUAUGUAACUAUAUGAUGUUGCAGCUACGUAUAUUCCCGAGCCCCAGUCUUCAGUUUUCUGUUGUUAUGAAGCUUCUUGGAUGAGAAACUGAGCAUGAAUUAUUUGGUGCAUGUUAGUAAGCAGCUUACUGUUUUUUCAGGAUUGUAUCGAGAGUUGGGAGAAAGGGGAAAUGAAAUAGAGAACUCGGAGUACGAGCAGAAAAAGGAAGAUGAUUUACAGAGGAGACUCGCAGAAGCUCACUCGUCCAGUCAUCAUCUUGCGCUGGUACGUGAGAGAAAAGAUGUUCUCAUUUUAUAAAUGUUUAUUUCGGGUUAAAUAAUGGUUCUUGCAUCAAAAUGUCAUCUUCUUAAUCUUAAUCUAGGUGUUGGAGCACUACCGAUAUAACCUCGGAAAUGGCAAAAUCCUAAUUCAUGCUAUUAUUAUCCUGAAUAAUAACGUAGAAGUUGUUAUUUCUCUAGAAUAUAUGCACGUUGAGAAGAACCAUUUCAGAUAACCAUGAGCACAUGAGCCUAAGCUGCUGGCAUUUUGCAGGCGCCCGUUUUACUCGCAGGUUGGUGCCAGGUUCGCUGGUGGUUGGUAAACAUGUCAGUUCUUUCUUUGAGGCUUAGUUGUUACUAUGCUUUUUUGAACCCCAUUGUCCAGAAAGGUUUUGGAAGGUUACCCUGCAGCUGAUGUAUCAUUUUACAAGAUAAGACAUCGGCUGAAAACUGGGAUAAAGCUCUUUCAUAUUUGGCAUUUACCAUUGUUGAUUGUUGCGCAUUGUUUUGAUAGAGAGAAUUAGUCGUAGGAGAAGCCAGCCAUAUACUGUUCAGUUAGAAUAGAUUUUCGACAUUUUGUUGGUAGUCGCUACGUGACCGUGAUAGGACCAAGUGACAUUUGAAUAUCUUUUGAAGAAUAUUGAUUGCCACUUACUGUUCAGUAAAGAAUAUUGAUUGCCAAUAAAAGAUUUUUAGUUUCUAGAUAUUUGAAAUAGUUUCCACCAUAUCUAGCAAUACGAAUCAUCAAUAAAGAUGCAGGCGUGCGCACAUGUACACAAACACUUGUACACACACACAAACACACACACACACACACACACACACACAUAUAUAUAUAUAUAUAUAUAUAUAUAUAUAUAUAUAUAUAUAUAUAUAUAUAUAUAUAUAUAUAUAUAUAUANUUAGUAUAUAGAUGGGUCCUUUUUACUUGUGAAAGUUCACCUCUUAAAAAGCUUUUCUUGUUAAAAAAAAAAAAAACUAACUAAACCCAUGAAUUGGAUUAUUCUCCAACUGAAUAUAGGGCAUAUAUAUAUAUAUAUAUAUAUAUAUAUAAAUGCAUUUAUGUAUAUGUGGGCCAACAAAGUGUUACGCGUUUUAUAAACAUCUAGAUCUUUCCCCAAAAGAACACUUCUGCUAUGAUACCCUCCUGUAUCAGUCAUUCUAGUGUAGAAGGCAGAUUGCUUUUGUUAAUGAUUUCAUCUCUUGAAAGUUGGAAAUUGAAAUGCAGAUAGAGAAGGCGAGGUUCAAAGCUCAGCCGCUGCACGAAGUUGCCAUGAAGCGAGCGAUCGCGGGCCCCUCCACGAAGGUUGAUCUCGACAUCCCAGAAUCCGUCGGCCUCCCCGCUCCUCAACCAGUGGCUUCAGCUUCAAGGUUACGCGACAUGGAUUCAGUAAGGCGUGGUAAAAGGAAAAUAUAGGAAGAACGCUUUUUGAGGAUCUUACUAUAACGUGAAAAAAAACAAAUUGGCGAUCCGAACUAUUUAAUUUCGAUCGGUGAUACUCCAGUUUGCUGCCGAAGUUAUUUGCCUCGAGAAGCGUCGGCGCAUUAAUCGUAUCUUUUGUAUAGUGAAGAAGAGCUUUGAUUCAUUAACUGUUAUGAUGCAUUGUAUAUUUAGCAGAGAAAAUAGUUUUGGUUGUUGCCACCAUCUGUGAAUUUUUCUCUCUUUUCUCUGGGUAAAAGCAUACGGGGAAACCUUAAAAUAUAGGGGUUUUUUUGCUUUCAGGCUCCUCAAAAAAAAAAGAAAAAAAAAAGAAAAAGAGAUUCACAACUAAUCUUAUAAAAUUUAUAUUUGCAAGAUUGGUACUAUCUCCGUCGUGCAAGCGUCACGUUAGUGUGGACGGCAGCUUAGGGUUUAAGUUGAACAUGAUGAGCCAUUCAUCGUGUUUGGCACUCCUUUCAUGCCCUGGCUUCCCGCCAGGAGUGCCGCAGCAGCUGUUGCCAUCGAGGCAGUGUGUCUCUGAGUUCUCGACCUCGUCAGCACCUUCACCUCCGAGGUCCGUAUGGCAGCAUGCCUUGGCCUUCUCGGCCCUGGCCUCACCUUUGUUGGAAGGAACUCCUUCGAGAUCAUCGCUUUUGCGUUUGCAUUCCAAAUUCGUGAUGGUGGCAGUGGGUGUGAUGCCUCACGUUCCAAGAGGGUCAUUCAUUAUAGAACUACUCUUAACUUUCCAACAGGGUCACUUGCGAGGUUAGAAACAGCGUAAUCUUUAGAAAGACCCUGUUCGAUCCCCCGUCUGUGGUCUAUAAGAUUAAGCGUUGGGCGAACCUCUGGAAACAAUCUCUUUUCGAAAAUCGCCGCUCUUGUAAUUACUAGUUUUCUCUCUCUCUCUCUCUCUCUUUUUUUUGUUUUCAGGUGGUACGUCCGAACUGAGGCCUUCGCUGCCUUACCUCGUUUUACCUAAUUCAUCUUUCGAUGAAUGAAGUGGGUAGCAUGCUACAUUUUCCUCAAAAAAAAAAAAAACCCCUCUCAGCCUCUUGGAUUUAGCGACCGCCUAAAAUGCUAUAACUAGGAUAAAAAAUUUAAUCCUAUUAUACCUUAUAUAUAAGAUUAUUUCAAAUUUGGAGUGUCACAUUCUUCUUCCCUUUAAGCUCUAACGUUCUUGUUAGGCUCAAAUACACUCAUAAGUAUUAUGCAAUAUGAGACUCAUCUCAUUAGUCUUAGUCAAUCUUUUGGGGCGCCGCACUCUACCCACAACGACCAUUAAUCAAGGAGUCAUACCAUACUUGCUGUAUGACCCUAGUUAAAUCAGGACUCAUUUUACACUUUUAGUUGAUGAUUGACUCUGGUACCAACUAUAAUGCUCUACUUUUCAAGUGUGUCAUUUAUCCUAGAACUACUCUAGCCCUAGUAUGAUUAACUCUCUUAAACCUUAGGUUUAGCCACUACCCAAGUUGCUAUAGUUGGGUUAAGAGGUUUAGCCCUAUUAUACCUUCGUUUCUCAAGGGGGACACCUAUUCUAAAAUUAUUCUAGUUCUAACACGCUUAACCUUUUUAAUCUUUUGGACUUAGUUAGCGUCCAAAAUAGUAUAGCUAAAAGUUUUAUCCUCGUCGGUCUUAAGCACACUCACAAGCAACAGGCAAUGUAAGACUCGUCUCGCUAGUCUUAGUUAACUUUAUAGAGAGUUGCGCUCCACUUGCAAUGAUCAUCAAUUAGUGAGUUACGUUCUGCUUUCUGUAUGACACUAGCUCAUGUGAGACUUAUCUCAGAGUGUCUCAUUUGAGACUCAUCUCAUACUUCUCUGGCUAGCGAUUUGAUAUUAACUGUGACGCCCCACUUCUCAAUGGGUCAUCUAUUCAAUAACUACUUUGGUCUUGUAACACCUAACCCUUUUAAACUUUUAGAUUUAGCCACCAUCCAAAAUAUCUUAGCUAGAUACCUAUGAUAUAUUAUAUAUAGGACUAUUUCAAAUCUCGGGGCUAUCACAAUGGUGGAGAAGGAGGAGGAGGUCGGAAAGGAAGGGGUAGGGGUGGAAAGCUAGAAUGAGGAAGGAGAGCAAGGGAAUGAUGACGAUGUCAGCGACGAUGGCGUCAUGAUGAAGGAGACGAAGGACGUGAGAGAGAGAAAAAGGAGAGAGAAAAGAGAGGCUCUUUAGACAAAUUUCUAAAUAACUGGCUUGAAUCUGCAGAAUAAAAAAAGAUAAAUCAAUUUUGUCAAAGUGCAAAACUUGGUGGUUUUUUUUUUUUUGUGAAAAUAGACUUUUUAUUAAAUUUUAUAAUUUUGUUUUUUUUUGAAUAAAUAAAAUAAAAGUAAUUGGUAACUAAUCAUUAAUAGAUAAUAAAGUUAUUAAAUUAAAAAAAUCCUUCACCAACUACAAAAAAAAUUACGACAAUGCUACCUAUACACUCCGAAAAGGGUGUAAAUCUUGCACUCAUCCGUGGGCUUUUUUUUUUUUUUCGUUUUUUUAAUUUUGUGUAAAAUUAAAAUUUCAAAGAGAUUUAAGAAUUUUAGAAUUUGGGGUGUAAGAGAAGGCUUGUUUGGCGUAACUUUUGAAAAAGUGAUUCUCUUUUAGAAAAAUUAUUUUUAGUUAAAAACUGUAGGGCAUUUGAUUGAGUCUAACACGAAAGUAAUUUUGUGAAACUAUUUAACAAUUUUUCUAAAAUAAUUUUAUACAAUUAAAAAAAAUUUAAAAUUUAAAAUUAAAAAUAAAAAUUAAAAAUUAAAAAUUUAUUAUUACAAAGUUUUAAAAAUUAAAAUUUAUCUUAAAUUUAAAAGUUAAAAUUUUAAGAUUUUAAAUUUAUCACUUUUUGAAUUUAAAAUAAAACCAGAAUCUAAAAUUAAAAUUUUAGUUUGAAAUUUGAAUCCAAAAUUAGAAUCAAAUUUUAAAAAGCAGAUUUUAACUGGUUUUGAUCUUGGACUUUCUAAAAUAAGAAACUAAAAAUCAUAACCAAUCUUUACAAAAAAAAAAAAUUUACCAAAUGCUCUAUUAAAAGAAUUAUUUAACCUUAUAAAAUUACUUUCAAAGGGUUAGGCCAAACACUGAUGUAAUUUUUUUUAGAUGUAUAACUAAUAUUUUUUUUUUAAAAUCUGUUAUAGAUGAGUGGGUCUCCGUACAUUUGUUUUUGGCCUUUUUUUUGGUGUCUUUCCAUUAAAGAAAAUAAAAAUUCUAAACACCGAAGUUUUGAAUGCUUUCUUUCUCUCAUAAAACUUUAGUAAAAAGCUUUCUGACGACAUCUCAAAUAGCCUCAAUCUAAUGUCGUCAUAUCAAUUUUUCUCUCAUCUAAAACUUUAUUAAAUUUCUCUUAAUACUAAGAUUAAUAUUUUUUUUAAUUUAAAAAAUAUAAAGUUUGAGUAGAAAUAUAAACUGUUAUGUUACAACAAAUGGAAGACAUCUCAAGGAAACUUUAGAAGCUCCCACUGAAGCUUUCUUAUUUUUAUUUUUAUUUUUAUUUUUUAUUUUCUCUCUCUCUCUCUCUCUUUCUCUCUCUCUCUUUUUGUAGUCUGUACCUCCAACAACCAAUUCCUUAUUCUUCUGCCCCCCACCCUUACCCCCUUGAGAGACAUUUAUUCCCUUUUUGGAAAAGAGCCAUUCCCCCCCUUCUAUCUUUUUUCUUUUUUUUAAGUGGUUUCCUUUCCUGCAACAAAGGACACACAAUAGUAGACAGAUAAAAGAAAACAACAAAAGAGAGAAAAAAAGAACAACAAGAGAGAGAGAGAGAGAGAGAGAGAGAGAGAGAGAGAGAGGGAUGGGUGAAGAAGGAGAGAGCAAGAGUGUGACCCUGGAGGACCUGAGGAAGAAGAUGGCUGAGUUUGCAAGGGAGAGGGACUGGGAGCAGUUCCAUAGCCCUAGAAACCUCCUCCUUGCCCUGGUACUAUUGCUUUCACAGUUUUACUCCCCCCCCUCCAAAACCCUAGAAACCCUUGUCUCUUCUCCUCCCUCUUUCCACACCAUUUUUUGUGAUCUAACUGGGUUUAGGGUUUAGGGUUUAGGGUUAAAAGAUGUUUUCACCUACCAUCUUUAACUUUUGGGUUGGGUUCAAGUUCAUUUAUAUUAUAUAAUAUUAGAGCUAUAGGUUUAGAACUAGUCUAGUGACCUUGUGCUAGAAAAAGAAUUCUAACCACAUGUAACAAAAAAAAAUCUGACUAACAUAUAAUGUGCAAAGAAGAUAUUUUCACCCAUCAUCUUAAAUUUUUGGGUUGGAUUUGAGUUCAUAAUAGUAGAGCUUGUUUUUUUGGCUUUUAUUUCUGACGAUAGCCGAAAAUCUACGAGCACCAAUAAUUCGGUAAUUUCAAUUCUAUUUUCACCUGUUUAUGAUCUUUAAACUUUCUUUUGUGUUGGGUUCGAGUUCUUGUAUAUAUAAUAUUAGAGCUUGAUUCAACCUGACCAGUACGUAAAGUUGUUCGUGCCACGUGCUAGCUAACGGCAAAUCCGACAUGGGUGUGUAUGGUGUGCAUUGUGUUUAAGCAAAACCAAUUAAGCAGUCUGGGAUUCUUGUUCCCUCUCUUUGAUCAAGUUGUCUCCUUGAUGCAUUUCUUUGCACUUGUUUUUAGGGUGGAGAAAAAGGCAUGGGGUUUAUGCCUGUCCCCUUUUUUUGGCCAUAAAGCCCCCAGCUUUUACUUUUAUUGUACUGGUUGUGUUGGGGGACUACAUGUUACCUUUUGUGGUCCACUUGAAACACACCCAAAAAAGCUAAAUGCUACAAGGGUUUCAUUUCUCUUUCCUGGUUAAUCUUUCCAGUGGGUCAUUUUAAUCCUUUUUAUUUUUCUUUUCCUUCUUUGGCUGAAGUACCAUUUAUCCAUGGAUUUGUGGCAUCUUGCAUAGGCUCAAUUUUUUUUUAACAAAAAAAAGAACCAUUUUUCUCUUCUGAAUGAUAUAAUAAUCGCAUCUGUAGAAUUUUGCAAAAUGAUCGAUCGAGUGUAAAAUGUACAUAUUACUAGCUAGUGUCAAUCUUUUCAAGGAGUUCAACUAUGGUCCUCUUAUGAGCGAGGACUUAAGUGUCCAUUGGCAUGGGAUGUAUCCACUGUAACGUAUCGUAUCAACAAGAUAUUGACAUGUGUCGAUGACAUAGCUCAAAACCGUCUAUUUUUUUAAAUUAGUAUGUAAUUUUCUCAAUAAAAUUCAAAAGAUUUGAUAAGGAAACAUAAUAAGCAAUUAGAAUAUUUUGUUGCUAAAGAAAAUAAGUAUUUCAUGCCAUUAUGUGUUGGUACACAUGUAUUUUUUAUGAUCUGCGCGCAUCGGCGCGACCUGGCAUGCACCGAGCCGUACCGUGCUGAUAAGUUUUCGGCAUAAUCACGUACCACGGCACUUAAAUCCUUGCUUAUGAUGAUGUGAAUAGUUCAUACCAUAGAUUUUUUCUUUUAGCCCUCGAAUGCCUAGUAUGUGCUAUUCACGUCGUCAUAAGAGCAUAGCAGUUGCACUACUUUCCGAGCGUAAUUAUUAUAUCAUCCAGGAGAGUAAAUUACAUAAUAUAUUUUGUUAGCUUAGCGGUUAUGCACAGAGCGAGAAAUAUCGAUGAGUUGAGUAAGCUGCUUUGCGGUGUGUACGCAGGUGGGAGAGGUUGGGGAGCUCUCAGAGAUCUUUCAGUGGAGAGGGGAGGUCCCAAAAGGGCUUCCAGGGUGGGGGGAGGAGGAGAAGGAGCACCUGGGGGAAGAACUUUCUGAUGUGCUGCUCUACCUUGUGAGACUGUCUGACAUAUGUGGGAUUGAUCUGGGAAAGGCUGCUCUCAGGAAAAUGGAGCUCAAUGCUCUCAAGUACCCAGUUAACCAGUGCAAGGGCUCUUCUAGGAAACACACCCACUACUCCUCCUCUACUAUUCCCAUCUCCACCAACAUUACUGCUCCCACUCACUGUGAGUGUGAGGAAUCCAACAAAUAGUCCCCAUGAGAGCCUCUGAACCUAUAGUAUUGAUACAUAUUAUUAAUAUGCUCUUGAAUCUAUUCCUAGUAAUCCUCCUUUUGGUAAGUUUUUGUGGGGGCAUAGGAUAGAAAAGAAAAAGUAGCAAGUUUCUUGGUGGGUUUCCCCCUUUUUGCUGCUGCAUGGGCACCAUCUUGGGUGGUACUGAUGUUAAUGCAGGACAAAUGUUUAAUAGAAUGUCUUUCUUUUGUUUUUGUUUUUUUGGAUUCUCCUCCCUUCAUGAGCUGCCUUAAUUUCUGUGCAUUUCAUGCAAGUUUGGUUUGAAGGAAAGUCUCGUGCGUACGUACGAUUUCGUGUUAGUCUCUAGCAGGUCUGGUUCUCUGGCUUCUGUUGUUUGUUUCAAUGGGAUUCUGAGCUGGUAAGAGUGAAGUACGUUGAUUGUCUGAUGGAGAAUAAUAGUUUGUUAUUCUUUGUUGAAGCUGCGUAGUAGAGGAAGAUGAUUUAUGGUAAGACGCGGAAACAUGGAAGUUCUCUACUUUUUAUGUUAUGAAACUAAUUUUCCCCUUCACUUGCACUAAACCAAACUUUAGUGUUGCGAGUCUUUUAGGGUAUAUACUCUACACCAAUUGCACUGUUAAUUGGAAGAGAUUCUAUCAUGAACACACAACAGCCAUAAGUUUCAGGUGGUCCCUUUUGGUGCUUUAUAUAUUUGAAUCAGUCUCGUUGGAAUCUUAUUGAAAUUUAAUUUUGCAAUUAUUCUAUGCUACUGCCUAAGUGUUGUGGGGACCCAUGUAUACUUUUGGUUUCUUCAUGACAUGAGAUUUGCAGGUCCCCACAGAGAAGUUGAGCUUGACAUGACUCUUUCUAUGGAUGCAGGUACCAUCUAAUUACUUUGCAUAUGCUAUGGUUGUAAAGGUUCCACAUAUCCUUCACCUUGGUUUAGAUUUUCACAUUAGAUACUUUUCCUCAUCGAAAACCAAAUUUAAUUACACUGGUUUGAACUUCUGAUCCUACCUUAGUAUCGUUUAUUUUUAUAGCGAUCAUUAUCUACGUGUCUCUUUUUUUUUUUUUUUUUUUUUUUUUCCAAAUAGUGGUACUCUUUUGUUAAGCAAAUCUCUUGUUGUUUGGUUGCAUCGUCAUCACGAAACGACAGAAUCUCAGUUUGUCUUUGUUAUCAAUGCGACUUCUUAGUUUUCUUAAAUGUUUUUGCGGCGUUUACAAUGUUUAAUUCAGAUAUAUUUGGGCCAUUUUAUGGCUCCUCUUUAUUGUUGGCACAGAGAACUUAAUUAUUCUCUGAUUAAAUACUAUUACACAGAUAUAAUAUUAUUUAUCUCUUAUUUUCGAUUGGUAUAGUGUUGUUCAGUUAAUCUUGUACAGGAAAUGCCUGUAACUUGAGAUUGAAACAAUCCACUUCAUGUUGUCAUUUGACUUGAUCGAUGCUCAUAUUUUUGUAAUUAAAGUCUACAUUGAAUGGUGUAUCAUCUCAGGUGAAUUCUAUUGAUAAUACUAUUUGCUACCCGAGAAGAGGACGAUAUUCGAGGAAUAUCCCAACUAACAUGAAAGAUUUUAUUCAUAUUGUUGGAAUUAGAGGACAACGGAAACUUACCAGCCUGACUGCGCUCGAGUAUGUGAAGGACCCCAAUUAAGUACUAUGGCAAGAUCAAGCAUACAGACAUUCCUUUUCACUAUAUUCGAGAGAUAAUCAGAUUAGGCGAGGUCACUCUUAGAUAUAUCUCCACUACUAGAAUGCUGGUCGGCAUUUUAUGUGGAUUGGGUUGAAUUUGAACCGGCCAAUAUGAAUACACGACAUGGCAACACAUUUCUUGUAUUAUUAUAUUUCAUAAAUAGGAGUGCUAGAAUGCACCAGAUUAAAUGAAAUCUUUCUAACUUAAUUUUUGCAUUUUAGGAAGGUAAAGCAUGUUAAUGACAUGACAAUGUAUGUGAAGCUGCAUUUGUUAAAGCACCAAUUUGCAUUUGUUGCAUUAUUUGGAUUAAUUAGUUACUUCAGCAUCUACAUCUAAGUUUUCACAGCUUCAAUAGUAUAUUAUCCAAUGUAUGAAAUGAUUACUGCAUCUCAGUUUUUCCAUUGUUCUUGGAUCAAUUAAAGCCUAUUUUGAUCAAAUAUCCAAAUACAAGGCUAGUAACUUUCGGCCGAAGCUUUUCUAAAAGUGUUGUUUCAGUGAAAUUACCGAAGAAAAAUGUUCAUUAAAUUUAGACAUCGCAUCCGUCUUGUCAUUUUUUAAAAAAUUAACGUGAUAAUUGAAUUUUAGUGGUGCUGAGAAAUCGUUAUGUUAUAUGUAGAAGCUAGAUAAUAUGGCAGCUGAAUCAAUUAUCACAUUCUUGUGUCAAGGAGUAAUUCGAGGAGUAAUUCGAUUGAAGCGGAAAUUGAAGUUCAGUAAUUUUGUAACAAUCUUUUGGGAGGGUAAUUUUAUGAGCAACCUGAAAUAAAUGUACCACUGAAGGUAGGUAGGUACCUGCUGACAGCAGGGUAAUUGGGUACUUGUGGGAAUUCAAUGGCGGGUAGAGAGUAUGCAGUUGGAAUUAGUUUUCUUGGUUGGGUCAGCAUUGAAAGGAGUAAGGUACAUUGAAUGGUACACUCAGAGAGGCAAGUUUGUGUGUUGGUGGGUGAAUCCAAUUUUUUUUUUUGUUUUUGUUUUUGUUUUUUGUUUUUGUUUUUUGUUUAACAGUAUUUUGCAGUACAUGACUCUCUGUCCAGCUCUGCAGCCAUGUUUAGUACGACUGACGGGAGCUUUCUACACAAUAAUCAUCUAAAAUUUUAUUAUGUACGAAAUAAUUCUAUUAAAUUUAUAUUUAAUAAAUUAACUCUCAAAAUGCGAUGAGUUAUUCACCGCAUUCUGAAAGUCUCUAAGAUCUUUUAAAGACAGUGAAUCAUUCACCUUCUUUUUCAUAAUUUUUUAAAAAAGAGAAAAAAAUAAGGUUGUUAAAAUUGUACGUAGAUUAUAGGAAAAAAAAGAGGUUGUUAGGAUUGUGUGUAGAAUAUUAAAAUUUUUGUUUGAUUGUUAGAAUCGAAUAGAUAGAUUAUUAAAAUUUUUUAGAUUAUUAGAAGGGUUAAUUUUAUACAGGUCCCCACAAACAUAGUGAAUAGUAGAUAUAUUUCUGCAAAGUUCAACUUUUAUAAGUUAUUCCUGUAAAAGUCCUAAUGUAUGCAGAUAUGUCCCUGCCAUUAAUAUCCGUUAGAGAAAUCUAAUGUCCCUGCCAUUAAUAUCCGUUAGAGAAAUCUAAUUAACCACAACUAAAAUACUUAACCAUGAUCAGUUAAUAAGGUAAAAUGACAUUUUUUCCCUUCUGCCUCUUCCGCUUCCUCUUCUUCCUCUUCUUCCUCUUCUUCAUCUUCUUCUUCUUCCUCUUCUUCUUUUUCUUCAUCUUCCUCUCUUGCUUCUUCUUCUUCCUCUUCUUCUUCGUAUCCUCAUUUUCCUCUUCCUUUUCUUCUCCUUCUUCUUCUUCUUCGUCAUCGUCAUUGAUGAUUCGAUCGUUGUCCCCGUCAUGGUGCCCGCGUGGGCCGUCGUCAUGGGCGUCUCCAACGGCAUCGGCCGCGCCUUCGCCUUCUGCCUCUUCCUAGUCCUCAUUGGCCGUAACCCCGACAAGUUCCGCAAGGUCGCCGUCGCUGCCGCCGCCAUCUGCUCCCACAGCCUGAAGAGGAAGAGGAAGGGAAGAGGGUAAGGGCAAAAUUAUAAUUUCACAACUCUACUGUUAAAAAAUUAACAAUUCUCUAACGAAUACUAACUAGAGGGACAUAUCUGCAUACAUUAGGACUUUUAUAGGGAUAAUUUAUGAAAGUUGAACUUUGCAGAGAUAUAUUUAUUAUUCACCAUGUUUGUGGGGGCCUGUAUGAAAUUAACCCUUAUUUAUAUGAAUAUAUUAUUUGGAUUUUCAAAUUGUUAAGAUUAUAUGUGAUGUUUGAUUAUUACGAUUGUAUGGAUAGAUUAUUAAGAUCUUUUUUAUUGUUAGGAUUGUAUUGAUAGAUUAUUAGAAUUUUCAGAUUGUUAAGAUUAUAUGUCAUUUGUUAAAAUAUUUAUAUAGUUGUUAGGAUUGUAGAAAGAAACAAUAAACAAAUGAAAGGCGGUGAAUGAUUCACCGUUUUUCUGAGAAAUUAGAAUCUUUAUAAAAGGAGUGAAUAAUUCACUGUCUUUAAGAGAUUAAUUUUUUAAAUAUAGUUUUGACAAGAUUAUUUUGCGUUUAAAAGGUUAUUUUAUAAAAAAGUUCCCACACUACCGCUUUGUUUGGUAUUGUGGCGGCUAAAAACAACUGCGUUUAUAUUCUAUCCUCCAAUGUUAUAAAAUUGCAACCAAAACUAUUGAUGCUAGGAAUGUCAACGGAUCGGAUUCGGGAUGAAUUUUUUAAAAUUUGAAUAUGAAUCCGACUAUCAAACUCGAAAUUCGAAACCGAACCUAAAUCCGGUUGAUUUUAAAAUUUCAUAUCCAAAUCCGAAUCCGACCAAAAAUUUGAAAACCGAACUUGAACAGGCAAACCCAAAUCCGAAACUAUUAUUGGUUAAAAUUCAUAUCCAAAUUCAAAUCUUUCAGAUUUUUGCUUUUGAUAUUUAUAUUCGAAAUUAUAUCCAGAAGCAUGUGACUAACCAUUUUAUGCGAGACAACUCUCGACUUCUAAUUUUUUUUUCCUUCAAUUUAGGAUAAUAGUUUAUUAAAAAUGUUUGUUUAAUUUCAUGAUUCAAUUAGCUAUUAGUAGUUAAGUAAUCUAGUCCUAUUUACUACAAGUAGUUGAAAUUAUUAUAUUCGAUAAAUUUAUCAGUGAAUUUGGUAAACUUUUCUAUUUAUUUGGCUAAAACCACUCAAUUUUUUUUAAAAAAUAAUAAAUUUGAAGGGAUCUCAAUUGAAAAAAUUGCAGUUCACGGGCCAUUUCAUAAUAAAAUAUAGUUGAGGGGUCUCCAAAACAAAAUAAUAAUAAUAUAUAAUAAAAAUAGAGAGACUUUUAUGUGCAUUUAGGUCUUUCAUUAGAGCCUUUAUAAAGUAGCAAAGUGGGUUUAGUUUAUGUUUGUGCUUAGUUAUUCGAAGGUAAAAUUCUGUAGAGACCCCUCAACUAUACGGCAUUCUAUAAUAGACACCUCCACUUUAUUAUUAUUAUUUUUUGAUAAAUACCUCUUCAACUUCUAUUUUUUUUAUUUUUUAGAAUUAAGUUGUUUUAGUCAAACAUUAGAUUUGGGGAUUUAUCAAAUUCACUUCUUUUAGCAACUAAACUAGAUCAAUUAAUGGUUAAAGUUUUUAACUUAACUAGGUAUAGAAACUCAAAUGGUCCUCAAACUUUGAUUCAUGUGAUAAUUUGGUCCUCAAACUUUAAUAUGGUGCAGUGAUUAGCUUAAACUUUCUAAAUUAUUGGAAUUAACUCCUAGUGUCCAAUUUAAUUAACUAAACACUGAUAUCGCAGUAAUAUGAUAUCUUAGAAAUAGCCACGUUAUCGAUUAUGUCACUAUUAUAUUAGCGAUACAUCAUUAUAACCACGCUAUGUAUUGAUUCAUUGCUUGCAUACGUGGUGGAUAUUAGGUGAAUUAAUUAAUUAUGCCACGUGCAUUGACUAGAGAGUCAGAAACUCUUGGAAGAAAGAGAGGUUAGGAUUGACUCUGAUACCAUGUUACUCAAAAAAUUAAGAGAAAACUUCAAAUACCACAUCUGUGGUUUUGCACUUUUUUAUUUUAGUACCUUAUGGUUUAAAGUGUAUCAAUUUAGUAUCCGUGAUUUCAUUUUUUUUUAAUUAUCCCUUUCACUAUUUUUUUUUUUUAAAUCAGUGAAAAAUUAAAACUAAAAGAUAUUAAAGUGAAUAUUCGAUAAACCUAGAUAGGGUAUCUGAAGUUUUUUAUAUAUAGUUUAACAAAAUGUUAACGGAGGAGUUGACGGAAAAAAAAAAGAAGAAGAAACCACAGAGUACUAAAGUAAGAAAGUACGAAGCGACUAGGGUGAUAUUUGAAGUUUACCCGAAAAUUAAUCUUAUAGAAAAUGACCUAGUAUAUAUUAAUCUUUACAAUAAAUAAUAUCGUAUCAGACUAAGAAAAGAAAAAAAUAUAUCGCACUAGUCUGCAGCUUUUAAAAGUGAUGUUUGAGCAGAGCCAUCUGAAAUAGGUCUACGAAGGCAUCCAAAUAUUUGCGGAAUCUUUAUCAAUAAUUUAUGAUGUAGAGAUUUUUUAUUUUUUAUUUUUAUUUUUGUUUUUAAUUUUUAUUUUAUUUUUUUUUUUCUGAUGAAGGUGAGGAGCCUGUAGGCAUUCAAUAAAGCUGAUGUGCCUGCAGGCAAUAAUUUCUAGACCAACCCAACUCUAAAGUGAAAGCUGAAGUCCCUAAUUGCAAACAGCUCCUUAUAGACUCGUCAAAUUAUGAAUAUAUCCCUUCAUAAUUUAAGUGAUGAAAUAUGCCCCUCCAAAAUUUAAGACUGUUUCAUGAAUAUCCCUAUCGUUAGAUUCAGUUAGUAAGGUUAGUAAAGUUUGUUUUUGCCAUGAGUAAAGUAGAACCAAACAACUUAACCAUUAAUUGAUUGGUACGUAAAAAUAACUUUUUUACCCUCUCCAGAGCCCAUCUCUUAUGUUUAAAUAAGUCAAUUGCAUAUGGAUCCCUGUAAACACAUCAAAUCCUGUAUAUAUCUAUCAAAUUUAUCCCUUCAAAGAGUAAAUUAUCAAAUUUGUCCCUUCAAAAUUCAAGAUUUGAUAUUCAGAUCCUGCAAGUUUUAAAGCAGUCGCACAUGGAGAUUUUGCUGCUAAAUUAAAGAAGAAGAAGCAACCACUUCUUCAUGACUAAGAUGGGUUAAUUCAUUGCAAAUAGCGAAAUUGUAGUGAGGGGAAGUAAGUUAUAUAAGGGAGAAGAGGAGAUGGUGUUGGAGGUGAGGGAAAUAGGUGAAAGAUAAAAGGAUCAGCAAGAGAAGAGAUGUAGAAGAGGUGUUUGAAGAUGAGGAUUAUUUGGGUGAGAUUUGAAAAGGAGGAAGAAAUUACAUAAGAAGAUCAUUGGAAAGGGCAUUAAUUUUGCAUCAUUUCAACAUCUGGAGUGACAUAUUUGCAAAGAUGAUUGUUAAUUCCAGCAUUUGGAGGGACGUAUUUGCGAAGAUAAUCAUUGUAUGUAUGCUUGUGGGGAGGAUAUUUUUGUACACUUUUUACUACAAUACUACGUAGCAUUUAGAGGUAGUCAUUUCACUUCUUAAUUAUUAAAAAGGGUUGAUUUCAUACAGGCCAUACAAACAUAGUGAAUUGUAAAUAUAUUCCUAUAAAGUUUAAUUUUUAUAUAUUGUUUCUGUAAAAAUUCCUAAUAUUUUCAAAUAUGUCCCUACCGUUAGAAUCCGUUAGAAAACUUUAAUUAAUCAUAGGUUAAAUGCUUAACAUUAAUUUAUGAGAUAACUUGAUAAUUUUGCCCCUAUUAUAUUGUACUGUUGUGGCUUUUGGAAGUAUGCUUUUGGAAGUAUAUAUUUGUGACGGCAAAAUUGACAUUUUAAUUAAAAUAUAAACAGUUCUAAAAUGGUAACAAAUCAGAGGGGCAUAUUUGAAAAUAUUAGAACUUUUGUAGGGACAACAUAUAAAAGUUAAAUUUUAUAGAGACAUAUUUAUAAUGUACUAUAUUUGUAGGGACAUUAAUGUAUAUUAAAAAUGAACAAAGAACUAACAGAUCUGAACUAGAGGGAAAAUAUUAACACAUGAGCAUAUUUGGAGAGACAUAUUUGAUCACUUAUACUUGGGAUCAAGAAUAUAUCUACAAUUUUAUAUAUUUGCAAGAAGCACUGUGUGCAAUUAUCUCUUAAUUAAAUUGUAGGACCAGAUUAAAUUGUUAUUAGCAUGGUUGGUUGAAUAAUUUAUACAUGUAGAUAGGAAACAAAAUUCUUGUAGAUGGGAAACAAAAUUAGGCAUUCAAAGAAAUGAAAGUGUAAAACAAUCAAUUAACUGUCCUGGAGAUACUCUUAACAUAAUAUAUAUUCAAGAUUUCGUUUUGUAUCUAAUAUAGGACUAUUAUUCUUAACUAAUCUGCUUGACACAUGCCACAUAGCACAUAUCAAACCUCUAUUAAUAUAUGAUACGAAUCCAAUCCAAGUUGUCGCGGACUUAAUGAUUUGCUUACCAAAGCCCAUGCAGCGCCCAUCUUCCUCUGUGAAGAUGGGAAAGCCUGUCUCGAUUUUACUAGUCUGAACCCCGGCGCCUUCAAAGACUAAGUGCAAAAAGGAGAAAGCACGUACGAGAGAGAGAGAGAUAGAGAUUCUGUAAAAACUAAGUACUUCACUAUUUAGAUAUAGAAAUUGCAUGCACUUCUAUACUCUUCAUUGGCCUUAGCCAACCCUCUAUUUAUAGGCACAAAUAAUAGUGAACAUAGCCCACAAUGACUCGCCCAUUAAGUACACAUUAACUCAGCUACUAUUACAUAAUAAAGAGCUCUCAUAAAUGCAAGGUGAUUCUAAAAAUUAUUCAUGACUCUUGGAUUUUCAUUGGCAGUUUCCGAACUAUUAAGUUUAGUAGUUGCAUAAUCCUUUGUCUCUCAUAAUGACUACUGGAUUGGUGACCCUUUGGCUGCCCUUUUGGGCCAAUGAUUUGGGCCGAGCUGAAAAAUUACGAAGUCCUCGACAACAUCCUAGCUAGAGAUGACUAGCAUAUAUAUGGGGAGACAGACAUCACAUACUAGACAUGACAAUAAAGCAGCCAGUGGACUGACCGAAACUUUGUAAACUAAGUUUUGAUACCAUAUGAAACAAACAAUAGCCUCUAAAAGCUUAAGCUGAUAAAUCGAGAUACCCUCAUACUAUGUACAUGUGAAGAUUUUGUUCUAAACUAUCAUUCUUGAUAUGUAGAGUAAAUUACACUUUUGUCCUCAAACUAUGAGUCGCUUUACAGUUUGAUCCUCAAACAUUAAUUUAUUGUAAUUUUUCAUUCAAACUUUUGUUUCAAACUGUCAUUACAUCCAAGUCUGUUGGAAAUAAUAAUCCAAACUUAAUUAAAAUAUAGUUACAGAGAAGUUUAAAUCGUUUAUUUGAUUAUGGUUAGGAUAUGUAUUUAUCCAAAGUAAAAUUAGAUUUAUCAUCUGUUAGGAUUUGAUGGCUAUAUAUAGUUAGGCACGGGUUAAUUAGAGAAAUAAACCAUGGUAGAUAUGGUUGUAUAAGUGUUAAGGAGAAUGUAAUUAAUUGCUUUUUAUUAGUUUAGUUAUCUUUUUCCUCCUCCAAUAUUUUUUCUUCAUAUUAUUUUGUUCUAUUUUAGAUCUUGGGUUAUAUAAUCGGUAUCGGCACAAAUACCAGUUCCAACAAGUGGUAUAUAUCAGAGCAAAUCACGUUUCAACAAGGUCAAAAUUUUGUUCUGAACUAUUAUUCUCAACAUAUAGGCUAGAUAAUCUUUUGGUCGUCAAACUAUAAGAGUGCAAGUGUGAUAUUAUGAUUCUUAAACAUAUGUAUAAGACAAUCUUUUUUUGCAAGGCAAUUGAUGUCACCAAAGCAGUUUUCACUAUUAUGAGAGUACCAUACAUUGUAUCUAGUUAUGGUUUAGAUUUUUUUACCAUGGGGAUCAAAACAAUUGCUUGGGCAAUGAAAUCUAUAUACAUACUGUCCCUACCACAAGUGGCAAAGAACUUAGUUGUUGGUACUUGAGGUUUCAUGUUCAAAUUCUAAUUGAUUCACAUUUCUAGCUAAGUUUAUUUCUAAUAAAAACAUAUAUAUAAACGAAGCGGAUAGCAUGCUACCUAUCUCUCUCUCAAAAAAAAAAAAAAGAUUUCGAAUCGACGAUUGACACCAUUCAAAUAUGAUUUGAAAUAUUUAAAAUAUAUAAAAAUCAAAUUUCAUCAUUUUUUUUUGAAAAUUAUUAUCUGGUCCACUGAAAAACAAACAAUCUAGUGAAAAUACAGUUAGAGCUUCUCUAUGCAAGAUCGAGACUUUCAAACGUGAUUUAGAUAGUAAAAGAUCUGUCCAUCACAAAUUUAACAGAGUUAAAUUCUCAGACGAUUAAACGAGCAAACGGCUCAUGUAGGUAGUAAAAAAUUAUUAAGUUGAAGCCUUUUCAUUACUAGCUAAGUAAAUAAUUUUUAAAAAUAGCCAAAUUUGAUUUCUAGGCACUUCAAGUGAUUUAACUUACGUCGUUUAAUGGUCCUGAUCAUUAAUUCGGACUAUCGACACAUAUCUACAAGUUGAGAUAUAUUGAAGGAAAAUAUGAUGCUGAUCCGAUAUUGAUAAUUUAAUUUGAUGCCAUGCAACACACAAUACAUCAAUUAUUACUGCAUAUAUAGCUCAUAAGAUUGAAGAUAACAAAGGAGGUCUCACACACAGUUAACCACAAGCUACACACGUACCAUGCAAUCCCAUGCACGUGUAUAUAUAUAUAUACGUACCCCUUCCUAGCUAGCUAGGGUUCCAUGCAUAUGAAGAUACUAAUUAAGUACUAAAAAGAGUACGUAACAUUAAUUUUUGUUACAUGCAUUGCUUGGGCACAGGGAGCUUGCACUUGGCGGGAAGUUGGACGGCGAGACCCGGCUUGAUGCCGAGCUUGGGGAGAUCCGCCGAGUUCUUGUAGGCGCAGAGGCAGGGCAGGUCGGCUUUCUUGAGCGCCUUGCAGCACUCGGCGGGCGGAG